UGGCCUCUUUCGGUUGGCGGCAUGCUAUUCUAAUUGUAAAGAAUCUCGUGAAGAUCAUCGGUGUUGUAUCAGUCAGUCCUCAUCGGAUGGAUAUGAACCUGUUGAUAAGAUAAGGUCAUAUUAUUGGCAGAUUUGCUGUUGUUCAUUCCGCAGCUCUCCUGUAGCAAUAUCCUAAUGUGAGGAAGCUCCAGAGGUUGCUGUCAAUCCAUGAUGCAACCUCUGCUAACCGACUCCAAAAGGUUUGGCGCACAGCAGCACACCUGACUGGUUGAGUUGCUUGCAAUCCUUGAUGCAACCUUUUGGUAACCGACUCCAAAAGGUUUUGGUACACAGGACACCUGGACGUACUAGUGCCAUGCUCAUCCGCCUGACAUGGGAUUAGUGGAUGGUCUGUUAGAGCAACUUCAAAAAGCGUGCUUUGUUCGUUUUUUUAUUUGUUUGGGGUACGACCAACGUGUAGACCCAUUUAAUGUUUGCAUAGAUUUUUAUUUUUUCAAAAAGAAAGGGGUUUCCUUAUAGCCUUGAGAAAACACCACACAGUUCAUGCGUCAGUGGCCGACGCACAUGUCGUCACACACUUUUUUUUCGUUGGUCUUGGUAUUGUCGGCCUUGAUCUUGAGCUUCUCUUAUUUCUCCGCCUACAUCUUGGCUUGCUUCUUUGCAUCUACUUCAAGCCUCCUCCUUUGGAUUUUGAUGAAGACGUUCAUUUGAUCUUCCUUAGCUUGCCGACACUUCUCCUCCCUUGUGUCCUUGCUCAUCAUGCCCUCCAAAAUGGCAUGCAAGGCAAUCGCCGCCGCAUCACGCUUGUCCUCCUUGGAGUUGGUCUUCCCCCAUGAUCGUGGCUUCUUGCCCUCCCUAAACCCUAGGCUCCCCCUCCCCCAUGCGCCUUGGCGGCGGCAUAUUGCGUCUUAAACUUCUCCCUGUUGAUGACCAUCCAACAAUGGGUGAGGUUGAAGGAUAUGUCGUCGUGUUGGGCCAUGAAUUGUUGCGGAACGCGUCGCAUGGGAAAUAGGGAAGACCUAUCAUGGUGAUGUCCAUCUACGAGAGGGGAUGAGUGAUCUACAUACCCUUGUAGACCGUACAACAGAAGCGUUAGAGAACGCAGUUGAUGUAGUGGAACGUCCUCACGUCCCUCGACCCGCCCCGCGAACAAUCCCGCGAUCAGUCCCACGAUCUAGUGUCGAACGGACGGCACCUCCGCGUUCAGCACACGUACAGCUCGACGAUGAUCUCGGCCUUCUUGAUCCAGCAAGAGAGACGGAGAGGUAGAAGAUUUCUCCGGCAGCGUGACGGCGCUUCAGAGGUUGGUGAUGAUCUUGUCUCAGCAGGGCUCCGCCCGAGCUCCGCAGAAACGCGAUUGUCAUAUUCUAUAAAGAUCUUAUCCUUUGAACCUCAGUGCCAAGGAUUCAUAUAAUCCCGUAUGUCAUUCCCUUUGUCCUUCGGUAUGUUACUUGCCCGAGAUUCGAUCGUCAGUAUCCGCAUACCUAUUUCAAUCUCGUUUACCGGCAAGUCUCUUUACUCGUUCCGUAAUACAAGAUCCCGCAACUUACACUAAGUCACAUUGCUUGCAAGGCUUGUGUGUGAUGUUGUAUUACCGAGUGGGCCCCGAGAUACCUCUCCGUCACACGGAGGGACAAAUCUCAGUCUUGAUCCAUACUAACUCAACUAACACCUUCGGAGAUACCUGUAGAGCAUCUUUAUAGUCACCCAGUUACGUUGCGACGUUUGAUACACACAAAGCAUUCCUCCGGUGUCAGUGAGUUAUAUGAUCUCAUGGUAAUAGGAACAAAUACUCACGCAGAAAACAGUAGCAACAAAAUGACACGAUCAACAUGCUACGUCNNNNNNNNNNAUGAUUCUCCUAAUGAUGUGAUCCCGUUAUCAAGUAACAACACUUGCCUAUGGUCAGGAAACCUUGACCAUCUUUGAUCAACGAGCUAGUCAACUAGAGGCUUACUAGGGACAGUGUUUUGUCUAUGUAUCCACACCUGCAUUGUGUUUCCAAUCAAUACAAUUAUAGCAUGGAUAAUAAACGAUUAUCAUGAACAAAGAAAUAUAAUAAUAACUAAUUUAUUAUUGCCUCUAGGGCAUAUUUCCAACAGUCUCCCACUUGCACUAGAGUCAAUAAUCUAGUUCACAUCACCAUGUGAUUCCAACGAAUCCAACACCCAUAUGGUUAUGGGGUCUGAUCACGCCUUGCUCGUGAGAGAGGUUUUAGUCAACGGUUCUGAAACUUUCAGAUCCGUGUGUUCUUUACAAAUAUUUAUGUCAUCUUAUAGAUGCUGCUACUAUGUGCUAUUCAGAAAUACUCCAAAUAUCUACUCUACUAUACGAAUCUGUUUCACUACUCAUAGUUAUUCGGAUUAGUGUCAAAGCUUGCAUCGACGUAACCCUUUACGACGAACUCUUUAACCACCUCCAUAAUCGAGAAAAAUUCCUUAGUCCAUCAGUUACUAAGGAUAAAUUUUGACCACUGCUAGUGAUUCAAUCAUGGAUCACUCUCUGUACCUCUCAACAGACUUUGAGUCAAGGCACACAUCAGGUGUGGUACCCAGCAUGGCAUACUUCAGAUUCUACGGCCAAGGCAUAGAAGACGACCUUCAUCUAUUCUCUUUAUUCUGCCGUGGUCGGUUAUUGAGUCUUACUCAAAUCCACACCUUACAACACAACCAAGAACUCCUUCUUUGUUGAUCUAUUUUGAACUCCUUCAAAAACUUGUCAAGGCAUGCAUCUUGUUGAAACUUCCAUUAAGCGCUUUCGAUCCAUCUCCAUAGAUCUUUGAUGCUCAACGUUCAAGUAGCGCAAUCCAGGUACUCCUUUGAAAACUCCUUUCAAACAACCUUGUAUGCUUUACAGAAAUUCUACAUUACUUCUGAUCCACAAUAUGUCAACCACAUAUACUCAUCAGAAAUUCUAUAGUGCUCCCACUCACUUCUUUGGAAAUACAAGUUUCUCAUAAACCUUNNNNNNNNNNNNNNNNNNNNNNNNNNNNNNNNNNNNNNNNNNNNNNNNNNNNNNNNNNNNNNNNNNNNNNNNNNNNNNNNNNNNNNNNNNNNNNNNNNNNUUCCAGCUGCCUGAAUUCUCCCUCUUCAAAUAAACCUUGCAAAAUAAGAGAGAAAAGGCAUAAAUAUGGUACCACAAAGUAAUAUAACAGUCCAUAAAGCAAUAAAUAUCAACAUGAAAGCAUGAUGCAAAAUGGACAUAUCAACUCCCCCAAGCUUAGACCUCGCUUGUCCUCAAGCGAAAACCAAGUUCCAUAAAUAUGUCCACAUGUUUAGGGACGAAGGUGUCGAUAAAACAUAAUACGGACAUGAGGGCAUCAUGAUCACACAUAGAACAACAAUACAUCAUAAAGAUUCUUAUGGGAAAGUAACAAUUCCUUCACAAAUCAAAGUAUGAAGCGAAAACCUUACCGAGAAGUAACCAACAACAGUCCAAAGUCAUUGAAGCAAUUGCAAUUUAUCAUAACAUCAGAAAGAGUCAAAUAAAAGCUUGUAAGGCAAACCCACAUACUCAAUCAUCUCUUUUAUUUUCCACAAUUCUUACAACUGACGUGGUACUCAUGGUGUCAAAGUUUCAGUUGGACACAGAGGAAGGUAGGGGCUUAUAGUUUUGCCUCCUAAAUAUUUACCUCAAGGGUAAACUCAACAAUAAUAAAGCAUAAGUACUCAACUCCAAGUUGAUAUAUGAAUAUAGAUCUUUCCCAAGCAUGUGACGGUAGCCAAGACAAAGGCAAAAAUAGGGAAUUGGUGAAGAUCAUCAUGACUCUUACAAGGGAAAAAAGUAAAGGUACAAGAUAGGCCCUUCACAGAGGGAAGCAGAGGUUGUCAUGCGCUUUUGGGGUUUGAAUGCGUGUUCUCUUAGUGCGGAGGAACUUCACUUUAUAUUGCCUCCUAUGAUAAAGAACUUUAUUAUGCAGUCUGUCGCUUUUAUGUCUUCCUCAUCACAUGUUCGUACAAAGCUUAUUUUCCACGCACUAAUAGAUCAUACAUAUUAGAGAGCAAUUUUUAUUGCUUAUACCGAUGACAACUUACUUGAAGGAUCUUAUUCAAUCCAUAGGUAGGUAUGGUGGACUCUCAUGGCAAAACUGGGUUGAAGGUUUAUGGAUGCACAAGUAGUAUCUNNNNNNNNNNNNNNNNNNNNNNNNNNNNNNNNNNNNNNNNNNNNNNNNNNNNNNNNNNNNNNNNNNNNNNNNNNNNNNNNNNNNNNNNNNNNNNNNNNNNUCACCUUCACUGACGAUUUGAGUAGAUAUGGUUAUGUCUACUUAAUGAAGCACAAGUCUGAAACAUUUGAAAAGUUCAAACAAUUUCAGAGUGAAGUUGAAAAUCAUCGUAACAAGAAGAUCAAGUUCCUACGGUCUGAUCGUGGGGGUGAAUAUCUGAGUUUCGAGUUUGGUGCUCACUUAAGACAAUGUGGAAUUGUUUCACACUUGACACCGCCUGAAACACCACAGCGUAAUGGUGUGUCCGAACGUCGUAAUCGUACUUUAUUAGAGAUGGUGCGAUCUAUGAUGUCUCUUACCGAUUUGCCGUUAUUGUUUUAGGGUUAUGCAUUAGAAACAGCUGCAUUCACUUUAAAUAGGGCACCAUCAAAAUCCGUUGAGACGACACCAUACGAACUGCGGUAUGGCAAAAGGCCAAAGUUGUCGUUUCUUAAAGUUUGGGGAUGUGAUGCUUAUGUCAAAAAGCUUCAGCCUGAAAAGAUGGAACCCAAAGCGGAAAAGUGUGUCUUCAUAGGUUACCCAAAAGAGACAGUUGGGUACACCUUCUAUCUCAAAUCCGAGGGCAAAGUGUUUGUUGCUAAAAACGGAGCUUUUCUCGAGAAGGAGUUUCUCUCGAGAGAAUUGAGUGGGAGGAAGAUAGAACUUGACGAGGUUGUCGAACCUCUCAUCCCUCUGGAUGGUGGCGCAGGGCAAGGGGAAACCUCUGUCGUUGCGACGCCGGUUGAGGAGGAAGUUAAUGAUAAUGAUCAUGCAACUCCGGUUCAAGUUUAUGUCGAACCACGUAGGUCGACGAGACCACGUGCUGCUCCAGAGUGGUACGGUAAUCCCGUCUUAUCAAUCAUGUUGUUGGACAACAAUGAACCUGCAAAUUAUGAAGAAGCAAUGGUGGGCCCAGAUUCCAACAAAUGGCUAGAAGCCAUGAAGUCCGAGAUAGGAUCCAUGUAUGAGAACAAAGUGUGGACUUUGGAGGUACUACCUGAGGGCCGCAAGGCUAUUCAGAACAAAUGGAUCUUUAAGAGGAAGACGGACACUGACGACAAUGUGACCGUUUAUAAAUCUCGACUUGUGGCAAAGGGUUUUUCACAAGUUCAAGGAGUUGACUACAAUGAGACAUUCUCACCCGUAGCGAUGCUUAAGUCCGUCAGAAUCAUGUUAGCAAUAGCUGCAUUUUUCGAUUAUGAAAUCUGGNNNNNNNNNNAAGGUACUGCCUGAGGGCCGCAAGGCUAUUGAGAACAAAUGGAUCUUUAAGAGGAAGACGGACGCUGACGGCAAUGUGACCGUUUAUAAAGCUCGACUUGUGGCAAAGGGUUUUUCACAAGUUCAAGGAGUUGACUACGAUGAGACAUUCUCACCCGUAGCGAUGCUUAAGUGUGUCAGAAUCAUGUUAGCAAUAGCUGCAUUUUUCGAUUAUGAAAUCUGGCAAAUGGAUGUCAAAACGGCUUUCCUUAACGAUUUCCUUAAGGAAGAAUUGUAUAUGAUGCAACCCGAAGGUUUUGUCGAUCCUAAGAAUGCUAACAAGGUGUGCAAGCUCCAGUGAUCCAUUUAUGGACUGGUGCAAGCAUCUCGGAGUUGGAACAAACGCUUUGAUGAGGUGAUCAAAGCAUUUGGGUUUAUACAAGUGGUUGGAGAAUCUUGUAUUUACAAGAAAGUGAGUGGGAGCUCUGUGGCGUUUCUAAUANNNNNNNNNNNNNNNNNNNNNNNNNNNNNNNNNNNNNNNNNNNNNNNNNNNNNNNNNNNNNNNNNNNNNNNNNNNNNNNNNNNNNNNNNNNNNNNNNNNNCAUCUUGCAAGCAUAGAAUUUAUCGGAGGUCUCAUACCUAUCGAUCCGGGCGUUCUUCUGAAAGAUAAACUUCAACUCCUGGAACAUCUCAAAUGCUCCAUGACGCUCAAAGCGACGUUGAAGUCCCGGUUCUAAGCCAUACAAGACUGCACAUUGAACUAUUGAGUAGUCCUCCUUACGUGCUAACCAAGCGUUCUUAACAUCCUGAUCAACCGUGGCAGGUGGUUCAUCUCCUAGCGCAGCAUUAAGGACAUAAUCCUUCUUCCCAGCUUGUAAGAUUAGCUUAAGAUUACGAGCCCAGUCUACAAAGUUGCUUCCAUCAUCUUUCAACUUAGCUUUCUCUAGGAACGUAUUAAAAUUCAGGAUGACUGUCGCGUGAACCAUGAUCUACAACACAAAUAUAUACAAAGUGGACUUAGACUAUGUUCAAGAUAAUUAGAGUUCAACUUAAUCAAAUUAUAUGCUAAACUCCCACUCAAAAAGUACAUCUCUCUAGUCAUUUGAAUGGUUCAUGAUCCACUUACACUAUCCCAAGUCCGAUCAUCACGUGAGUUGAGUAUAGUUUCAGUGGUAAGCAUCCCUAUGCUAAUCAUAUCAACUAUAUGAUUCAUGAUCGACCUUUCGGUCUCAUGUGUUCCGAGGCCAUGUCUGCACAUGCUAGGCUCGUCAAGCUUAACCCGAGUGUUCCGCGUGCGCAACUGUUUUGCACCCGUUGUAUGUGAACGUUGAGUCUAUCACACCCGAUCAUCACGUGGUGUCUCGAAAUGACGAACUGUAGGAACGGUGCACAGUCGGGGAGAACACAAUUUCGUCUUUAAAUUUUAGUGAGAGAUCACCUCAUAAUGCUACCGUCGUUCUAAGCAAAAUAAGGUGCAGGAAAGGAUUAACAUCACAUGCAAUUCAUAAGUGACAUGAUAUGGCCAUCAUCACGUGCUUCUUGAUCUCCAUCACCAAAGCACCGGCACGAUCUUCUUGUCACCGGCGCCACACCAUGAUCAUCCAUCAACGUGUUGCCAUCGGGGUUGUCGUGCUACUUAUGCUAUUACUACUAAAGCUACAUCCUAGCAAAAUAGUAAACGCAUCUNNNNNNNNNNUGUGCUUCUUGAUCUCCAUCACCAAAGCACCGGCACGAUCAUCUUGUCACCGGCGUCACACCAUGAUCUCCAUCAUCAUGAUCUCCAUCAACGUGUCGCCAUCGGGGUUGUCGUGCUACUCAUGCUAUCACUACUAAAGCUACGUCCUAGCAAUAUAGUAAACGCAUCUGCAAGCACAAAUGUUAGUUUAAAGACAACCCUAUGGCUCCUGCCGGUUGCCGUACCAUCGACGUGCANNNNNNNNNNACACCGGCAUGAUCUUCUUGUCACCGGUGCCACACCAUGAUCUCCAUCAACGUGUUGCCAUCGGGGUUGUCGUGCUACUCAUGCUAUUACUACUAAAGCUACAUCCUAGCAAAAUAGUAAACGCAUCUGCAAGCACAAACGUUAGUAUAAAGACAACCCUAUGGCUCCUGCCGGUUGCCGUACCAUCGACGUGCAAGUCGAUAUUAACUAUUACAACAUGAUCAUCUCAUACAUCCAAUAUAUCACAUCACAUCGUUGGCCAUAUCACAUCACAAGCAUACCCUGCAAAAACAAGUUAGACGUCCUCUAAUUGUUGUUNNNNNNNNNNNNNNNNNNNNNNNNNNNNNNNNNNNNNNNNNNNNNNNNNNNNNNNNNNNNNNNNNNNNNNNNNNNNNNNNNNNNNNNNNNNNNNNNNNNNNNNNNNNNNNNNNNNNNNNNNNNNNNNNNNNNNNNNNNNNNNNNNNNNNNNNNNNNNNNNNNNNNNNNNNNNNNNNNGUAUGAAUUGCUAUUUAACCUCAUCCAAGGACCUCCUCGGUCAAAUCCGAUUCAAUUAAAGUUGGAGAAACCGACACUCGCCGGUCAUCUUUGAGCAACGGAGUUACUCGUAGCGAUGGACCAGUCUCUCGUAAGCAUACGAGUAAUGUCGGUCCGAGCCGCUUCGAUCCAACAAUACCGCAGAAUCAAGAAAAGACUAAGGAGGGCAGAAAAACGCACAUCACCGCGCACAAAAACUUUUGUGUUCUACUCGAGAUUACAUCUACGCAUGAACCUAGCUCAUGAUGCCACUGUUGGGGAACGUCGCAUGGGAAACAAAAAAUUUCCUACGCGCACNNNNNNNNNNNNNNNNNNNNNNNNNNNNNNNNNNNNNNNNNNNNNNNNNNNNNNNNNNNNNNNNNNNNNNNNNNNNNNNNNNNNNNNNNNNNNNNNNNNNGACACACUUUUCCGCUUUGGGUUCCAGCUUUUCAGGCUGAAGCUUUUUGACAUAAGCAUCACAUCCCCAAAUUUUAAGAAACGACAACUUUGGCCUUUUGCCAUACCACAGUUCGUAUGGUGUCGUCUCAACGGAUUUUGAUGGUGCCCUAUUUAAAGUGAAUGCAGCUGUUUCUAAUGCAUAACCCCAAAACGAUAACGACAAAUCAGUAAGAGACAUCAUAGAUCGCACCAUUUCUAAUAGAGUACGAUUACGACGUUCGGACACACCAUUACGCUGUGGUGUUCCAGGCGGUGUUUAACUGUGAAACAAUUCCACAUUGUCUUUAAGUGAGUACCAAACUCGAAACUCAGAUAUUCACCCCCACGAUCAGACCGUAGGAACUUGAUCUUCUUGUUACGAUGAUUUUCCACUUCACUCUGAAAUUGCUUGAACUUUUCAAAUGUUUCAGACUUGUGUUUAAUCAAGUAGACAUAACCAUAUCUACUCAAAUCGUCAGUGAAGGUGAGAAAAUAACGAUAUCCGCCGCGUGCCUCCACGCUCAUCGGACCACACACAUCGGUAUGUAUGAUUUCCAACAAGUCACUUGCACGCUCCAUUGUUCCGGAGAACGGAGUCUUAGUCAUCUUGCCCAUGAGGCAUGGUUUGCACGUGUCAAGUGAAUCAAAGUCAAGUGACUCCAAAAGUCCAUCAGCAUGGAGUUUCUUCAUGCGCUUUACACCAAUAUGACCUAAGCGGCAGUGCCACAAAAAUAUGGCGCUAUCAUUGUUAACUCUAACUCUUUUGGUCUCAAUGUUAUGUAUAUGCGUAUCGCUAUCAAGAUUCAAUAUGAACAAUCCUCUCACAUUAGGUGCAUGACCAUAAAAGAUGUUACACAUAGAAAUAGAACAACCAUUAUUCUCUGACUUAAAAUAGUAACCGUCUCGCAAUAAACAAGAUCCAGAUAUAAUGUUCAUGCUCAACGCAGGCACUAAAUAACAAUGANNNNNNNNNNNNNNNNNNNNNNNNNNNNNNNNNNNNNNNNNNNNNNNNNNNNNNNNNNNNNNNNNNNNNNNNNNNNNNNNNNNNNNNNNNNNNNNNNNNNNNNNNNNNNNNNNNNNNNNNNNNNNNNNNNNNNNNNNNNNNNNNNNNNNNNNNNNNNNNNNNNNNNNNNNNNNNNNNNNNNNNNNUCGCCAGCCUUCAUCUAUUCCGCAGUUCCUGUUUCGAGUUGCAAAUAUGAGCAACAGAACUGGUAUCGAAUACCCAUGCACUACUACGAGAGCCGGUUAAGUACACAUCAAUAACAUGUAUAUCANNNNNNNNNNUUUAAGUUCAUCACCAAUCCUGAUGGUAACUGAAGUGAAACUGUGCCGACGGCGAUUGCAUCAACCUUGGAACCAUUUCCUACGCGCAUCGUCACUUCANNNNNNNNNNCUCAAGUUCAUAACUAAUCCUGAUGGUAACUGAAGUGAAACUGUGCCGACAGCGAUUGCAUCAACCUUGGAACCAUUUCCUACGCGCAUCGUCACUUCAUCUUACGCCAGCCUUCGUCUAUUCCGCAGUUCCUGUUUCGAGUUGCAAAUAUGAGCAACAGAACCGGUAUCGAAUACCCAGGCACUACUACGAGAGCCGGUUAAGUACACAUCAAUAACAUGUAUAUCAAAUAUACCUGAUCUUUCUUUGGCCGCCUUCUUAUCUGCCAGAUACUUGGGGCAAUUGCGCUUCAAGUGACCCAUACCCUUGCAAUAGUAACACUCUAUUUCAGGCUUAGGUCCAGCUUUGGGUUUCUUCGUCGGAUUGGCAACAGGCUUGCCGCUCUUCUUUGAAUUACCCUUCUUGCCUUUGCCGUUUCUCUUGAAACUAGUGGUCUUAUUCACCAUCAACACUUGAUGCUCUUUACGGAGUUCAUACUCUGCGACUUUAAGCAUCGCAAACAACUCGCCGGGAGACUUGUUCAUCCCUUGCAUGUUGUAGUUCAACACAAAGCCUUUAUAGCUUGGCGGCAAUGAUUGAAGGAUUCUGUCAGUGAUAGCCUCUUGCGGGAGUUCAAUCCCCAGCUCAGCUAGACGGUUUGAGUACCCAGACACUUUGAGCACAUGUUCACUGACAGACGAGUUUUCCUCCAUCUUGCAAGCNNNNNNNNNNNNNNNNNNNNNNNNNNNNNNNNNNNNNNNNNNNNNNNNNNNNNNNNNNNNNNNNNNNNNNNNNNNNNNNNNNNNNNNNNNNNNNNNNNNNAUAUAAUAAUAACUAAUUUAUUAUUGCCUCUAGGGCAUAUUUCCAACACUCACCUCUCGAAUCACGAAGAGAAGAAGUUAUUGAAAACUUUGAGGAAGCACCGUGCUGCUAUUGGAUACUCGUGAUGAUCUAAAAGGUAUUAGUCCCACUCUAUGUGAGCACAAGGUUAAAACCGAUCCUGAUUCUAAACUAGUUACUGAUCAUCAACGGAGACUAAAUCCGAGGAUGAAAGAGGUCGUGAGAAAAGAAAUAUUAAAGCUUCUGGAAGCAGGAAUCAUCUAUCAUGUUGCUCAUAGUGAUUGGGUAAGUCUAGUACAUUGCGUACCUAAGAAGGGAGGUAUCACCGUCGUUCCUAAUGAUAAGAAUGAACUAAUCCCACAGAGGAUUAUUACUGGCUAUAGGAUGGUGAUAGACUUCCGGAAACUGAACAAGGCAACCAGAAAAGACCAUUAUCCUUUGUCGUUUAUCGACCAAAUGCUAGAAAGGCUAUCUAAACACACACACUUCUGCUUUCUAGACGGUUAUUCAGGUUUCUCGCAAAUACCUGUUGCACAAUCUAAUCAAGAAAAACCACCUUCACAUGCCCCUUCGGUACCUUUGCUUAUAGACGUAUGCCUUUUGGCUUGUGCAAUGCACCUGCCACCUUUCAAAGAUGUAUGAUGGCUAUAUUCUCUGACUUUUGUGAAAAGAUUGUUGAGGUUUUCAUGGAUGAUUUCUCCAUCUAUGGUUCUUCCUUUGACGAUUGCCUCAGCAACCUUGAUCGAGUCUUAUAGAGAUGCAAGGAUACCAACCUCGUCUUGAACUGGGAGAAGUGCCACUUCAUGGUUAAUGAAGGCAUCGUCUUAGGACACAAAAUCUCUGAGAAAGGCAUUGAAGUUGAUAACGCUAAGGUAGAUGCAAUUGAGAAAAUGCCUUGCCCCACAGAUAUCAGAGGUAUAUGAAGUUUCCUACGUCAUGCCGGUUUCUAUAGAAGGUUGAUUAAAGACUUCUCUAAGAUUUCUAGGCCUCUUACCAACCUCUUGCAGAAGGAUGUUCCGUUUGUUUUUUAUGAGGACUGUGAGGAAGCUUUCGAAAUUCUUAAGAAGGCCUUAAUAACCGCACCUAUUGUUCAACCACCUGAUUAGAACUUGCCCUUUGAAAUCAUGUGCGAUGCUAGUGAUUAUGUCAUUGGUGCUAUUCUAGGACAAAGAGUUGACAAGAAGUUGAAUGUCAUUCACUACGCUAGUAAAACUCUAGACAGUGCCCAAAGAAACCAUACCACUACGGAGAAGGAGUUUUAGCAGUCGUGUUUGCAUGUGAAAAGUUCAGAUCUAAUAUAGUUGACUCCAAAGUCACUAUUCACUCUGAUCAUGCUGCUAUUAAGUACCUCGUGGAGAAGAAGGACGCUAAGCCUAGGCUAAUCAGAUGGGUUCUCCUGCUACAGGAAUUUGAUUUGCACGUUGUUGACCGAAAGGGUGCUGAUAACCCUGUAGCAGAUAACUUGUCUNNNNNNNNNNGACCUAUUGAUGGCAGCUUUCCUGAUGAGCAAUUGAAUUUCAUCCGCACUUCACAUAGUGCACCGUCGUAUGCUGAUUACGCAAACUAUAUCGUAGCCAAAUACAUACCACCCAGUUUCACCUACUAGCAAAAGAAGAAAUUCUUCUUUGAUUUGAGACACUACUUUUGGGAUGAUCCUCACCUUUAUAAGGAAGGAGUAGAUGGUGUUAUUAGACGUUGUGUGCCUGAACAUGAACCGGGACAGAUCCUGCAGAAGUGUCAUUCCGAGGCCUAUGGAGGACACCAUGCUGGAGACAUAACUGCUCAUAAGGUAUUGCAAUCAGGUUUCUAUUGGCCCACUCUCUUCAAGGAUGCCCGUAAUUUUGUCUUGUCGUGUGACGAAUGCCAAAGAAUAGGGAACAUCAGUAAGCGUGAGGAAAUGCCUAUGGGCUUAUAGGAGUGCUUAUAAGAAUCCCAUGGGCAUGUCGUCGUAUAAACUGGUUUACGGUAAGGCAUGUCAUUUACCCCUUGAGCUGGAACACAAAGCUUAUUGGGCAAUCAAAGAGCUCAACUUNNNNNNNNNNNNNNNNNNNNNNNNNNNNNNNNNNNNNNNNNNNNNNNNNNNNNNNNNNNNNNNNNNNNNNNNNNNNNNNNNNNNNNNNNNNNNNNNNNNNGAUCUGGACGACUCUAAGUCGGAGACCGGAUACGUAUUUAUUCUUAAUGGGGGUGCAGUAAGCUGGUGCAGUUCCAAGCAAAGCGUCGUAGCAGAUUCUACAUGUGAAGCAGAGUACAUGGCUGCCUCGGAGGCGGCUAAGGAGGGUGUCUGGAUGAAGCAGUUCAUGACGGAUCUUGGAGUGGUGCCAAGCGCAUUGAAUCCAAUAACCUUGUUCUGUGACAACACUCGUGCCAUUGCCUUAGCAAAGAAACCACGGUUUCACAAGAAGACCAGACACAUCAAACGACGCUUCAACCNNNNNNNNNNAGAGGGUGUCUGGAUGAAGCAGUUCAUGACGGAUCUUGGGGUGGUGCCAAGCGCACUGAAUCCAAUAACCUUGUUCUCUGACAACACGGGUGCCAUUGCCUUAGCAAAGGAACCACGGUUUCACAAGAAGACCAGACACAUCAAACGACGCUUCAACCUCAUCCGCGACUACGUCGAGGAAGAGGACGUAAAUAUAUACAAAGUGCACACGGAUCUGAAUGUAGCAGACCCGCUGACUAAACCUCUUCCACGGCAGAUUUAUUACAAUGUAAUUCACAUGGUGAUGUGAGGGCUAGAUUAUUGACUCUAGUGCAAGUGGGAGACUGUUGNNNNNNNNNNAUAGUUAUUAUUAUAAUUCAUGUAUCAAGAUAAUAGUUUAUUAUCCAUGCUAUAAUUGUAUUGAAUGAAGACUCAUAUACAUGUGUGGAUACAUAGACAAAACACCGUCCCUAGCAUGCCUCUAGUUGGCUAGCCAGUUGAUCGAUGAUAGUCAGUGUCUUCUGAUUAUGAACAAGGUGUUGUUGCUUGAUAACUGGAUCACGUCAUUGGGAGAAUCACGUGAUGGACUUGACCCAAACUAAUAGACGUAGCAUGUUGAUCGUGUCAUUUUGUUGCUANNNNNNNNNNNNNNNNNNNNNNNNNNNNNNNNNNNNNNNNNNNNNNNNNNNNNNNNNNNNNNNNNNNNNNNNNNNNNNNNNNNNNNNNNNNNNNNNNNNNACAACAUAAUGAAUUGUGUUUUCUUGGUUCCAAACAAUGUUAUAUGAUUAGAGAUCCCUUAGCAUGUGACGAUUGCUUCCACCUCAUAUUAGCCAAAACUCCCGCACCAAGUAGAGAUACUACUUGUGCAUCCAUAAACCUUCAACCCAGUUUUGCCAUGAGUGUCCACCAUACCUACCUAUGGAUUGAAGAAGAUCCCUCAAGUAAGUUGUCAUCGGUGCAAGCAAUAAAAAUUGCUCUCUAAUACGUAUGAUCUAUUAGUGUGUGGAAAAUAAGCUUUGUACGAACCUGUGAUGAGGAAGACAUAAAAGCGGCAGACUGCAUAAUAAAGUUCUUUAUCACAAGAGGUAAUAUAAAGUGACGUUCCUCCGCACUAAGAGGACACACAUCCACACCUCAAAAGCGCAUGACAACCUCUGCUUCCCUCUGCGAAGGGCCUAUCUUGUAUUUUUACUUUUUUCCCUUGUAAGAGUCAUGGUGGUCUUCACCAAUUCCUUAUUUAGCCUUUUCCUUGGUGAACGUCAUAUGCUUGGGAAAGAUCUAUAUUCAUAUAUCAACUUGGAGCUGAGUACUUAUGCUUUAUUAUUGUUGACUUUACCCUUGAGGUAACUGGUUGGGAGGCAAAAUUAUAAGCCCCUAUCUUUCUCUGUGUCCAACUGAAACUUUGAUAUCAUGAGUACCGCGUGAGUUGUAACAAUUGUGGAAAACAAAAGAGAUGAUUGAGUAUGAGGAUUUGCCUUACAAGCUCUUAUUUGACUCUUUCUGAUGUUAUGAUAAAUUGCAAUUGCUUCAAUGACUAUGGACUAUUGUUGGCUACUUCUCGGUAAGGUUUUGUUUCAUACUUUGCUUUGUGAAGGAAUUGUUACUUCCCCAUAAGAAUCUCUAUGAUGUAUUGUUGUUCUAUGUGUGAUCAUGAUGCCCUCAUAUCCGUAUUAUGUUUUAUCGACACCUUCAUCCCUAAACAUGUGGACAUGUUUUGGGUCUUGGUUUUCGCUUGAGGACAAGCGAGGUCUAAGCUUGGGGGAGUUGAUACGUCCAUUUUUCAUCAUGCUUUCAUGUUGAUAUUUAUCGCUUUACGGACUGCUAUUAUACUUUGUGGAACCUUACUUAUGCCUUUUCUCUCUUCUUUUGCAAGGUUGAUAAGGAGUACUCCGCAAGAAAACGGAGUCCACGAGGCACACGAGGUGGCCACAAGCCCCCCCUGGCCGCUCCUGGCUGGCUUGUCGCCUCCUCGUGCGCUUUCCGGACUUCUUCAAAAUUUUCUAUUUUUCUAAAUAUUCCAAAAUGGAGAAAAAUUCCUACUGGAAAAGUUUUGGAGUCUGUUUACUUAUUGAUACACAUACCUCUUCGUUUUCGGAGUCUGAAACAGGCUGAUAAAUAUCCCUUAGGUAUUCCUCCGGAGUUAUGGUAUUGAUAAUAUUGCUUUCAACAUUUAUGGGAGUACCUGAGAUAUAAUGCUUGAUUCUCUGCCCAUUUACCACUCUCGGACAAUUACCUUCCGUGUUGUUGAUCUUGAUAGCACCGGAACGAUAUACUUCCUCAACAAUAUAGGGACCUUCCCAUUUAGAGAGAAGUUUGCCUGCAAAUAAUCUUAAACGAGAAUUAUAUAGCAAGACAUAAUCACCUACAUUGAACUCACGCUUUUGUAUCCUUUUAUCAUGCCACCUCUUAACCUUUUCUUUGAUCAACUUGGCAUUCUCAUAUGCGUGAGUUCUCCAUUCAUCAAGCGAGCUAAUAUCAAAUAACCUCUUCUCACCAGCAAGUUUGAAAUCAAAGUUGAGCUCUUUGAUUGCCCAAUAAGCUUUGUGUUCCAGCUCAAGGNNNNNNNNNNNNNNNNNNNNNNNNNNNNNNNNNNNNNNNNNNNNNNNNNNNNNNNNNNNNNNNNNNNNNNNNNNNNNNNNNNNNNNNNNNNNNNNNNNNNAUAUAGCAUUGAUUUAAGCCUCCCCCAAGCUUGAGCUAUGCUUUCCCUGUCACGAGGCCAAAAUUUAUAAAUAUAAUUCCGAUCACGAUGUACUAAAUGCAUAGGAUAAAACUUUUGAUGAAAUUCCAAUUUCAACCGAUUGUAGUCUCAUGAUAGAGUAUCAUCACAUAGCCUAUACCAUGUCAACGCCUUGUACUUCAAAGAUAAAGGAAAGACUUUCUUCUUUACCUCAUCCUCGGGCAAACCUGCAAGCUUAAAUAAACCACAAACUUCAUCUAUAUAGAUUAGAUGCAAGUCUGGAUGUGAAGAUCCAUCUCCUGUAAAAGGAUUAGCCAGCAGUUUCUCAAGCAUACCCGAAGGAAUUUCAUAAAAGAUAUUUUCAGUAGGUACCUCAGGUUGAGGAACAACUCCUCGUGCUUCCGUUCGUGGUGAAGAUACCCCGAACAAACUCCUCAAAGGAACAGUUUCCAUAGUGACAAGUGACAAUAAAUUUCAGCAUAGUAUAUAAAUGUUUCCUUACCAGUUUCCACUUACCAAAGGCACUUCACUCCCCGACAACGGCGCCAGAAAAGAGUCUUGAUGACCCACAAGUAUAGGGGAUCAAGCGUAGUCCUUUCGAUAAGUAAGAGUGUCGAACCAACGAGGAGCGGAAGGCUCUGAUAAACGGUUAUCAGCAAGGUAAUAACUGCAAGCACUGAAAACAGCGGUAACAAGUGAUGGUGUAGUUAGGUGAAACGUAGCAAGCGAAAAGUGACAAGUAACAGUAGUAGCAAUGGUGCAGCAAGUGGCCUAAUCCCUUUUGUAGCAAGGUACAAGCCUGAACAAAGUCUUAUAGGAGGAAAAACGCUCCCGUGGACACACGGGAAUUUCUGUCAUGCUAGUUUCGUCAUGUUCAUAUGAUUCGCGUUCGUUACUUUGAUAGUUUGAUAUGUGGGUGGACCGGCACUUGGGUACUGCCCUUACUUGAAAAAGCAUCCCACUUAUGAUUAACCCCUCUCGCAAGCAUCCGCAACUACUAAAGAAGAAUUAAGACAACGUCUAACCAUAACAUUAAACUAGUGGAUCCAAAUCAGCCCCUUACGAAGCAACACAUAGACUGGGGUUUAAGCUUAUGUCACUCCAGCAACCCAUCAUCUACUUACUACUCCCCAAUAACUUCCUCUAGGCCCAAGUAUGGUGAAGUGUUAUGUAGUCGACGCUCACAUAACACCACUAGAGGAAAAGACAACAUACAUCAUAUCAAAAUACCGAACGAAUACCAAAUUCACAUGACUAUUAUUAACAUGACUNNNNNNNNNNNNNNNNNNNNNNNNNNNNNNNNNNNNNNNNNNNNNNNNNNNNNNNNNNNNNNNNNNNNNNNNNNNNNNNNNNNNNNNNNNNNNNNNNNNNNNNNNNNNNNNNNNNNNNNNNNNNNNNNNNNNNNNNNNNNNNNNNNNNNNNNNNNNNNNNNNNNNNNNNNNNNNNNNNNNNNNNNNNNNNNNNNNNNNNNNNNNNUUCCAAGUAAUCCAACUAGCAUCAACUACAAAGAGUAAUCAACACUACUAACAACCUUACAAGUACCAAUCGGAGUCGCGAGACAGAGAUUGGUUACAAGAGAUGAACUAGGGAUUGGAGAGGAGAUGGUGCUNNNNNNNNNNNNNNNNNNNNNNNNNNNNNNNNNNNNNNNNNNNNNNNNNNNNNNNNNNNNNNNNNNNNNNNNNNNNNNNNNNNNNNNNNNNNNNNNNNNNCCUCAAGAGAUGGUACAGCGACCCGAACCAAAAGAAGAAGUCCGGGUCGCCGGCAUCCUCGCCGACCCCGCGGCGACCGGGCUGGAAGGGCUCCGCAUCGCCGCCAAGGAGCAAAACCAGUGCGACGAGAUGUACAGCCCGCCGCUGGGCUCCCUGCCGUUCGCCACAACGCUCCGGGUGCUGGAGCUCGAGCACUGCAACCUCAAAGACGCCGCCGCCGUCGGCGCGCCUGGCCUUCCCGUGCCUCACGGACCUCACGUUGCGCCACUGCUUCGCCUUGGAGGGGAAUCUCCAGGCCCUGGUCGACGACGCGCCGACGCUGACCAGCCUGCCUCGUAAGUGCAUGCAUAACAUGAAACGACAGGGCGUGGUGGUCCACGAUCUAUUAAACCGCAUGUAUUCAAGCACGUGAAAUGGAAGGUAGUGGUGGCCAGGCCUUUAACGUCUGGUUAAUUGGGUGGAGGAUCAAUUCCAUGCAUUAAACAUGGACUAACCGUUUUGGCUUAGGUAAUUGCCUCAUUAAGCUCCUCGUAAGUAUUUCCCACAUCAGUAAAUUUUGCAUGCAUGCGGGCAAAACCAAAUGUGGUUUUUAUUCAUUGCAAAUUAGCAACUAUACAGGACACUUAGUUCACCCAAAAAUAUUUGUAGCUACGCUUGCUACUAACUUGCAGGGUCACUCGUCCGUAAUCGUCUCCGAACAACAGUUUAUACGGACGGACCAUUUGUUGGAAUUAUGCCCUAGAGGCAAUAAUAAAUAUAUAGUUAUUAUUAUAAUUCCUGCAUCAAGAUAAUAUUUUAUUAUCCAUGCUAUAAUUGUAUUGAAUGAAGACUCAUAUACAUGUGUGGAUACAUAGACAAAACACCGUCCCUAGCAUGCCUCUAGUUGGCUAGCCAGUUGAUCGAUGAUAGUCAGUGUCUUCUGAUUAUGAACAAGGUGUUGUUGCUUGAUAACUGGAUCACGUCAUUGGGAGAAUCACGUGAUGGACUUGACCCAAACUAAUAGACGUAGCAUGUUGAUCGUGUCAUUUUGUUGCUACUGUUUUCUGCGUGUCAAGUAUUUAUUCCUAUGACCAUGAGAUCAUAUAACUCACUGACACCGGAGGAAUGCUUUGUGUGUAUCAAACGUCGCAACGUAACUGGGUGACUAUAAAGAUGCUCUACAGGUAUCUCCGAAGGUGUUAGUUGAGUUAGUAUGGAUCAAGACUGGGAUUUGUCACUCCAUGUGACGGAGAGGUAUCUCGGGGCCCACUCGGUAAUACAACACCUUGNNNNNNNNNNNNNNNNNNNNNNNNNNNNNNNNNNNNNNNNNNNNNNNNNNNNNNNNNNNNNNNNNNNNNNNNNNNNNNNNNNNNNNNNNNNNNNNNNNNNUCAUUCAAUACAAUUAUAGCAUGGAUAAUAAACUAUUAUCUUGAUACAUGAAUUAUAAUAAUAACUAUAUAUUUAUUAUUGCCUCUAGGGCAUAAUUCCAACAGUCUCCCACUUGCACUAGAGUCAAUAAUCUAGCCCUCACAUCAUCAUGCGAAUUACAUUGUAAUAAAUCUAACACCCAUACAGUUCUGGUGUUGAUCAUGCUUUGGCCGUGGAAGAGGUUUAGUCAGCGGGUCUGCUACAUUCAGAUCCGUGUGCACUUUGCAUAUAUUUACGUCCUCUCCUUCGACGUAGUCGCGGAUGAGGUUGAAGCGUCAUUUGAUGUGUGUGGACUUCUUGUGAAACCGUGGUUCCUUUGCUAAGGCAAUGGCACCCGUGUUGUCACAGAACAAGGUUAUUGGAUUCAGUGCGCUUGGCACCACUCCAAGAUCCGUCAUGAACAGCUUCAUCCAGACACCCUCCUUAGCUGCCUCCGAGGCAGCCAUGUACUCUGCUUCACAUGUAGAAUCUGCUACGNNNNNNNNNNNNNNNNNNNNNNNNNNNNNNNNNNNNNNNNNNNNNNNNNNNNNNNNNNNNNNNNNNNNNNNNNNNNNNNNNNNNNNNNNNNNNNNNNNNNCGGCCUCCUUGGCCGGCGCGAAGGACAGGAUGUGCUGAAGAAGAUCGUCGGGUAGGGCGGAGAGACGGACCACGCAGGCGGUCGUGCAUGACGACGGUGAGGCAGACGACCUUGGUAGCCGCGCGCGACGACGACGAGGUAGAAGACACCGGUAGCCGCGCGGGACGACGACAAGGCAGACGGCACCGGUAGCCAACGUGGAGGCGUAGUCAACUGUGCAAGGUCGGAGUUUCCUGCUUUCACACCCUUGUUGCUGCUUGGACGGAUGUCUGUUUUUCUUUCGCUGCCNNNNNNNNNNGUACGUGGAGGCGUAGUCGGCUGUGCAAGGUCGGAGUUUCCUGCUUCCACACCCUUGUUGCUGCUUGGACGGAUGUCUGUUUUUCUUUCGCUGCCGUUGGUGGUUGAAGAAAUAACCAUAUGCAUCAUGGCUCGAUAGACGCUAUGCCCCACGGUGGGCGUCAAAUGUCGUGGUAACUAUUCUGACAAUAGAAAGAGGGUAGGAUAACGGAGCAUGAUCUAUCAAGAUGCACAUGGGUGACACGGUGGUUUUAGCGAGUUCAGGCCUCUCACAGUGGAGAUAACAACCCUACGUCUCGUGCUCCGGAGAGGCUUUGUUUUAUUUGUCAUGGACAUGAGUUACAUGGUGUAGAGAGAGAGAGANNNNNNNNNNUACGGUGGGCGUCAAAUGUCGUGGUAACGAUUCCGAUAAUAGAAAGAGGGUAGGAUAACGGAGCAUGAUCUAUCAAGAUGCACAUNNNNNNNNNNNNNNNNNNNNNNNNNNNNNNNNNNNNNNNNNNNNNNNNNNNNNNNNNNNNNNNNNNNNNNNNNNNNNNNNNNNNNNNNNNNNNNNNNNNNNNNNNNNNNNNNNNNNNNNNNNNNNNNNNNNNNNNNNNNNNNNNNNNNNNNNNNNNNNNNNNNNNNNNNNNNNNNNNNNNNNNNNNNNNNNNNNNNCAGAGCUCGAGGGAAAGAAUGAGCCCGAAGGAGGAGAAGAAGAAGAUGUCCCCAGCUAUGUGGAGGGGGGUGACUUAUAUAGAGUGCGCCACCUCCUCACCUCUUAUGUUACAAGAUGAGGCAUUGGUGCCAUAAUGUCAGCCCACUACAGAUGUCUUGCCGACUGUUGGUAUUUNNNNNNNNNNGCCAGAGCUCGAGGGAAAGAAUGAGCCCGAAGGAGGACAAGAAGAAGAUGUCCCCAGCUAUGUGGAGGGGGUGGCUUAUAUAGAGUGCGCCACCUCCUCACCUCUUAUGUUACAAGAUGGGGCAUUGAUGCCAUAAUGUCAGCCCACUACAGAUGUCUUGCCGACUGUUGGUAUUUGCAUGAUUGAGUGAGUCAUACGGUCGAGUGGUCGACUGUCAUCCGAGUGGAUGGAAUGUAUUUGUCUGAGUGGAUCCGUAUCGAGUGGAUUAGAUGUUGUCACGAUCCAGUAGGAAUUUCCCUUGUAGUNNNNNNNNNNCCAAGUGAGUCAUACAGCCGAGUGGUUGACUGUCAUCCGAGUGGAUGGAAUGUAUUUGUCUGAGUGGAUCCGUCCCGAGUGGAUUAGAUGUUGUCACGAUCCAGUAGGAAUUUCCCUUGUAGUCCUUAAACUAAUAAUGAGGUGCCUUGGGUAGGACGUAUUGGUCAGACCUAUGACCCUACCCUAGGGCUAUAUCCCGUCAUUAGCCCCCGAAUGGAUCAGGGUAUACUUUGCAUAGAGCGGAAGGAAGAUCGGGCUGGCCCCGUAAUGAGGCUGCUGUGGCUAGUUUUGGGAAGUUUCCUAGCUGGUUUUUUACGGUUUUGAAGAACUUCUAAAAGGUUCCCUGAGCCGGGUUUUAUUCUUUUUCAUUUUCUUUGUUUUUCCGUUUCUUUCUUUUUCUUUUAUGUUUCUGUUUCAACAAAUGUUCUGGAUUUUCAAAAAUUAAUUUUGGAUUUUCAAAAAUGUUCUUGAUUUUAAAAAAUUAUUCUGUAUUUUCCACAAAUUGUUCUUAGUUUCAAAAUUUAUUCUUAAGAUUCAAAUUUGUUCUCAGUUUCAAACAAAAUUCUUAAGAUUAAAAAAAGUUUGUGCUUCCAAUUUUUUUAGGAUUUUUCAAAAUUCUUCUUGGUUUCAAAAUAUGUUCUUAAAAUUUAAAAAAUGCUCGUGCUUUAAAAAUUUGUUCGUGCUUCCAAAGUUGUUUGGGGUUUUUGAAAUUUGUUCUCAGUUUCAAAAUUUGUUCUCAAGAUUCAAAAAAUGUUCAUGCUUUAAAAAAUUGUUUGCGCUUCCAAAUUUGUUCGCAAAAAAUUCAUGCUUUAAAAAUUUGUUCAUUUGUUUCAAAUUUUGUUCUCAAGAUUAAAAAAAUAUUCGUGUUUUACAUUUUUUUUGCGCUUUCAAAUUUGUUAAAUAUUUUCAAAAAAUUUCUCGGCUUCAAUUUUUUUAUCAAAAUUCAAAAAAAUCCGCUUGUUGCACAUAGAGUGAAUGAUGAACUUUGCAAACAUUUUUCUGAACAAGAAAUUAAUUAUGCUCUCUUCCAAAUUGGACCGUUGAAGGCUCCAGGGGUAGAUGUUUUUUCAAAGGAAUUGGGGUUUUCACAAGGAGGAUAUUAUUGUUCUGUUUUCAAGUAUUUAUUUAUUUCUGGAAGUAUGCCAGAGGGGAUAAAUGAUAGUAGUAUUGUUCUUAUUCCUAAAAUAAAGAAUCCUCAACCUAUAAAGAAUUUUUGACCAAUUAACCUUUGCAAUGUCAUAUACAAAAUUAUAUCUAACUGCCUUGUUAACACGCUGAGACCUCUCCUGGAUGGUAUGAUUUAUCUACCCAAAGUCCUUUUAUCCCUGGAAGAUUAAUUUUCGAUAAUGCUCUUAUCGCUUUUGAAUGUAUGCACUCGUUGAAUAAGUUGAAAGAUUCUCAUGGUGAAUAUUGUGCAUAUAAGGCGGAUCUCGCUAAGGCAUAUGACCGUGUGGACUGGAAUUUCUUGGAAAGUAUGCUUAGAGCGUAUGGUUUUGCUCCUAUUUGUAUUAAGUGGAUUGUGACAUGUGUGUUUCAAUGGCUAGCUGCUAGAGUUUUUUCAUCCUUCGUGUGGGCUUAGGCAGGGGGGGUCUAUUAUCGCUUUACUUAUUCCUCUUUGUGGUUGAAGCCCUUUCGUUGUUACUAAAUGAUGCAUUGACAAGAUGGGUUAUCCAAGAUAUCCAGCUGAACAGACAUGCUCCAGGUAUCUCCCAUUUAUUAUUUGAUGAUGAUAGUCUCUUAUUUUUUAAGGGUUAUGUGGAGCAUGUUUUAGCCCUUAAAGGUAGUUUGACGGCUUAUUUUGACAUCAUUUAUCUUAAUUUUACUUCAUCCUUGUUGUCUAAUUGUAUGGCUAGGGUUUUCAAAGUUAAGGGUAUUACAUUUGGGGAUUGAAUUGUUGCGAUUUGACAAUUUCUUUGGGUGAUUCACAUCUAUUUGAAUUAUUUAUCGACCACGCUUGAAGCCAGUAAGAUAGAACGAUGAAUAAGCUUAACUUGGUAACCGUACGGAUUAAUCAAUAUGCUUUUAUUUAGUGUUUUGAUUAUUACAAUGUAAGCAUUAUUACACAAUAUGUUGUUUUGUUUAUUUUGUAUGCAAUCAAGAUCUAUUGUCUUAUGUUCCGUUGCUGAUCAUAUUUGUUUUAUUGGUUCGAGUUUCUUAUGCUUUAUUGUUCAAUUUUACAUGAUCAACUAGUAUUGCAAGUGUCCCCACAUAAAAAACUAGUAUUUCAAGUGAAACACUUAAUUUUGGUUAAAUUUCUUAGCGACUUGUCAUUAGCUUUGACAACUCUUGUUAUUAGCUUUCCAUCAAGCUUGAUUUUGGUAAAAUCAGAGUUCAUUUGCAGGAGUUAUGGCAGAUUUGGUCUUACAUGUUUUCCUCAUCCGGUUGUACCGCUCGUGGGCGAGGUUGUAUCGGAAUGGCUAGUAAUUCCGGUGCAACCACUUCCCGAUGGGUGAUUCCCUCAGGUGAAUAGUGCUCUAGGUAGUGGUAAAGUGGUCAUACCGCUGUCUCUCUCGAUGUUGUAACCGCCACGGGCCUUGCCACUACACGAGUACUAGGCGGUGGUUGUACUAGGCCAAGUAUCACCCCAACCACCGGAGCUGGGUGACUUCGUUCUGAUGGGUGGGUGGUGGUUGGCGGUGGUGGCUCGGUUGUUACAGAUGGCAUGUCCACACCGGUACAACGGGUGGUCCUGGAGCGGUUCUAUCGCCCAUGACUUAACCAUCGUACGGGAUUUGGCCCGACGGUUGUACCGGCCCUAGUACCAACACUUGUACCACUAGCGGGUGACACUGUUCGGGUACCAGUNNNNNNNNNNNNNNNNNNNNNNNNNNNNNNNNNNNNNNNNNNNNNNNNNNNNNNNNNNNNNNNNNNNNNNNNNNNNNNNNNNNNNNNNNNNNNNNNNNNNAUCUCUAUUCCUUCCAUAAUCUAGAUAUAUAUUUUCGCCAAUCCAUCUCUCCUAUAAACGAGGGGACCCUUUUGAUCUAGAUCUUGGAGUUCUUUUAUGUUGGCCUUGUUCUUCCUCUCAUAUUCCUCCAUAGCUUUUGUUGCUUUGGUAGAAUUUGAAAGUGAGGGACUUGACCACUUCAUAUGUUCUUGCAAUUGCAUUAGUUGCAUCGGUUUGAGUUCUCCACGGUGAUACAUGGAAGUGGAAGGUUGAGAAGCUUAUUACUUUUUGGUGUUUGAGCACCCUAGAGCUUCUACCUCUUGGGUGCUUGGACACCCUAGACGGUUGGUGGUGUCGCGAAGCUCAAUUAUUGUGGCGUAAAGCUCUGUACAAGUUUUGGGGUCUCCGAUUAAGUUAUGGAUAUUGCCCGAGAAAUUUGUACGAGUUCAAUGACCGCCCCAAGCAUUGCCAAUUGUAAGGGUUCGGUGACCNNNNNNNNNNCGUACAAGUUUUCGGGUCUUCGAUUAAGUUAUGGAUAUUGCCCGAGAAAUUUGUACAAGUUCAAUGACCGCCCCAAGCAUUGCCAAUUGUAAGGGUUCGGUGACCGCCCCAAGGGUAACUGUUUGUAUGGGUCAGGUGACCGCCCUCAAGGCCUAAUGGAAUCACGACACCUUGCAUUAUGUGAGGGAGUGAGGAGAAUAUGGUGAUACUAGGGGUAUUUUCGGAAGCAUUGUGUCUCUCACCACUCUAAUGGAGAUUAGCAUCAGCAAGGAUAUAAACUUUGCGAUACAUCGUCGUCUUCACGUGGCUCGGUUAUCUUUUACCCGAUCCCUUUACUUAUGCACUUACUUUGUGAUAACUAUAGUGAUUCAUGGUACAUAUCUUGGCCGGGGACGAAUACGAGAUCAUUGAAUUUCUUGACACCUACCAAAAGAUUAAAAACAAUGCUUCACACUAUCAGAUCCGUCAUGAUCUUGUUGAGCAUCAGUGGCAACUCUAUGGAAGAUAGACUCUCAUUUUAAUUUGAACAAUUUGUUGUUGUAUUUGUGUGAUAUUUGAACAAUUUGUUAUUGUAUUUUUGUGAGAUUCAAACAAUUUGUUAUUGUAAUAACUAUUUGAAUUUGAACAUUUGCUGUAAUAAAGAUGAUUGUUCUAUUGUGAAUUGCCCUUCGGAUCAUUUGAUUAUUUGAUAUUGUGAUUCUAUUCGGUUUAUAUCGUCGAAAAUCAAGAAUUUGCAAAUCUCUGAAAAAUUGUAGUAUUGCGACGCCUCUGAUAGGGAACAGAUCCUUUAAACUCGCCCCGUAGAAAAUUAGCGGUANNNNNNNNNNCAACAUUUGUUGUAAUAAAGAUGAUUGUUCUAUUGUGAAUUGCCCUUCGGAUCAUUUCAUUAUUUUAUAUUGUGAUUCUAUUCGGUUUGUAUCGUCGAAAAUCAAGAAUUUGCAAAUCUCUGAAAAAUUUGUAGUAUUGCGAGGCCUUUGAUAGGGAACAGAUCCUUUAAACUCGCCCCGUAGAAAAUUAGCGGUACAAGUAUACACGACCUAUUCCGGCGAAGGUCUCAUGGUUCUGUGAUUUUUUUAUAGGUCUCUCGUAAAUGACUUUUGUGAGAUGUAGCGUAACCAGAUCUGCUAGGAUGUGUUCAAUUGUCAUUCGUGAAGNNNNNNNNNNNNNNNNNNNNNNNNNNNNNNNNNNNNNNNNNNNNNNNNNNNNNNNNNNNNNNNNNNNNNNNNNNNNNNNNNNNNNNNNNNNNNNNNNNNNACCACUGGUUGCUGACUUGACGCCCUUCUUCACCUUGUCGCCGUUCUUGUUCGCCUUGGCACCGCCGCUGCCGGACUUGACCGACUCAGCGUCGCUGUCCGUCAUCGUAGAUCGUAGAUCGUCGAGGCUCUGAUACCAAAUGUUGGCUUCGAAUCGCUGGAUCAAAUCACCCGGGAGCUACACACGCGCACAAAGCUGGCUAUGCAAACAAGCAAGCAGCCACCCAGGUUGAUGGAUCGACCGUAGCCACACAGCGUAUAAUACGCGUCUUGCCGGAGCUACUCUAGUUGAUUUCGAUCAACUCUAGGUAGAAGAACAAGAAACUUUGCACCGAAUCGAUUUAUAGCCAAAGGCUCUUGACGUGCCUUGUUUUAUUGCUUUGCUCUUUUUUCUCUGGUGUUAUAAUCAACACCCCUAGGGUGUCUUUUAUACACGUCCACAAGGGACUAUGGAAAUAGACUAGGACUAGGAAUCCUAAUACUACUAGGACUCGGUUUGGCUUUCUUUCCUAAUCCUACAUGAGCAACAUGAUUAACAUCUACAAAUAUUAGGGUCAUGAUCUUCAUCAGAAAUAUUGACAUCACUAUUUUCACCAAUUUCUGUAGCAGUAACCUCAACCUCUUCUGCAUUAUCACAAUGACCAUGAUCACCUUCUUAAAUUUUUGCGGCGACAACCUCAACCUCUACUGCAUUAACAUCUUGAUCUCCAUCAAUAUUAGCAUCUGGAGUUUGAUUGUCAGAAUUAGUUUGGGGCCCUUUCACAACAUAUUUAUCAAGAGCGCCAUGCUGAGAUUGAGCAUCUUCUAAUUUCUGUUUCUUCUUAAGCUUGAAGGCAAUCGUAUUUUCUUCCAGAACUAGACUGCAUCAGGUGAUUAUCUCUGUAAUUUGUAUCGAAGUUAGAGAAAAGGGGAAGAGCGUAGGGAGGGCACCACACAACUACCGUUCCUGUUGGACGCUUCUGCGGCAGUGCCGGUCGGCCGCCGGCGCGGGCGCGCGGCGGCNNNNNNNNNNNNNNNNNNNNNNNNNNNNNNNNNNNNNNNNNNNNNNNNNNNNNNNNNNNNNNNNNNNNNNNNNNNNNNNNNNNNNNNNNNNNNNNNNNNNGCGUUUACUAUUUUGCUAGUAUGUAGCUUUAGUAGUAAUAGCAUAAGUAGCACGACAACCCCGAUGGCAACACGUUGAUGGAUGAUCAUGGUGUGGCGCCGGUGACAAGAAGAUCGUGCCGGUGCUUUGGUGAUGGAGAUCAAGAAGCACGUGAUGAUGGCCAUAUCAUGUCACUUAUGAAUUGCAUGUGAUGUUAAUCCUUUCCUGCACCUUAUUUUGCUUAGAACGACGGUAGCAUUAUGAGGUGAUCUCUCACUAAAAUUUAAAGACGAAAUUGUGUUCUCCCCGACUGUGCACCGUUCCUACAGUUCGUCAUUUCGAGACACCACGUGAUGAUCGGGUGUGAUAGACUCAACGUUCACANNNNNNNNNNCAAGACGAAACUGUGUUCACCCCGACUGUGCACCGUUGCUAUAGUUCGUCGUUUCGAGACACCACGUGAUGAUCGGGUGUGAUAGACUCAACGUUCACAUACAACGGGUGCAAAACAGUUGCGCACGUGGAACACUCGGGUUAAGCUUGACGAGCCUAGCAUGUGCAGACAUGGCCUCGGAACACAUGAGACCGAAAGGUCGAUCAUGAAUCAUAUAGUUGAUAUGAUUAGCAUAGGGAUGCUUACCACUGAAACUAUACUCAACUCACGUGAUGAUCGGACUUGGGAUAGUGUAAGUGGAUCAUGAACCAUUCAAAUGACUAGAGAGAUGUACUUUUUGAGUGGGAGUUUAGCAUAUAAUUUGAUUAAGUUGAACUCUAAUUAUCUUGAACAUAGUCUAAGUCCACUUUGUAUAUAUUUGUGUUGUAGAUCAUGGUUCACGCGACAGUCAUCCUGAAUUUUAAUACGUUCCUAGAGAAAGCUAAGUUGAAAGAUGAUGGAAGCAACUUUGUAGACUGGGCUCGUAAUCUUAAGCUAAUCUUACAAGCUGGGAAGAAGGAUUAUGUCCUUAAUGCUGCGCUAGGAGAUGAACCACCCGCUACGGCUGAUCAGGAUGUUAAGAACGCUUGGUUAGCACGUAAGGAGGACUACUCAAUAGUUCAAUGUGCAGUCUUGUAUGGCUUAGAACCGGGACUUCAACGUCGCUUUGAGCAUCAUGGAGCAUUUGGGAUGUUCCAUGAGUUGGAGUUUAUCUUUCAGAAGAACGCCCGGAUCGAGAGGUAUGAGACCUCCGAUAAAUUCUAUGCUUGCAAGAUGGAGGAAAACUCGUCUGUCAGUGAACAUGUGCUCAAAAUGUGUGGGUACUCAAACCGUCUAGCUGAACUGGGGAUUGAACUCCCGCAAGAAGCUAUCGCUGACAGAAUCCUUCAAUCACUGCCGCCAAGCUAUAAAGGCUUUGUGUUGAACUACAACAUGCAAGGGAUGAACAAGUCUCCCGGCGAAUUGUUUGCGAUGCUAAAAGUCGCAGAGUCUGAACUCCGUAAAGAGCAUCAAGUGUUGAUGGUGAGCAAGACCACUAGUUUCAAGAGAAACGGAAAACGCAAGAAGGGCAAUUCGAAGAAGAGCGGCAAGCCUGUUGCCAAUCCGCCGAAGAAACCCAAGGCUGGACCUAAGCCUGAAACAAAGUGCUUCUAUUGCAAGGGUAUGGGUCACUGGAAGCGCAAUUGCCCCAAGUAUCUGGCAGAUAAGAAGGCGGGCAAAGAAAAAUCAGGUAUAUUUGAUAUACAUGUUAUUGAUGUGUACUUAACCGGCUCUCGUAGUAGUGCCUGGGUAUUCGAUACCGGUUCUGUUGCUCACAUUUGCAACUCGAAACAGGAACUGCGGAAUAGACGAAGGCUGGCGAAAGACGAAGUAACGAUGCGCGUAGGAAAUGGUUCCAAGGUUGAUGCAAUCGCCGUCGGCACAGUGUCACUUCAGCUACCAUCAGGAUUAGUGAUGAACUUAAAUCAUUGUUAUUUAGUGCCUGCGUUGAGCAUGAACAUUAUAUCUGGAUCNNNNNNNNNNUAUUUGCAACUCGAAACAGGAACUGCGGAAUAGACGAAGGCUGGCGUAAGAUGAAGUGACGAUGCGCGUAGGAAAUGGUUCCAAGGUUGAUGCAAUCGCUGUCGGCACAGUUUCACUUCAGUUACCAUCAGGAUUAGUUAUGAACUUGAGUCAUUGUUAUUUAGUGCCUGCGUUGAGCAUGAACAUUAUAUCUGGAUCUUGUUUGUUGCGAGACGGUUACUCUUUUAAGUCAGAGAAUAAUGGUUGUUCUAUUUCUAUGAGUAACAUCUUUUAUGGUCAUGCACCCAAUGUGAGAGGAUUGUUCAUAUUGAAUCUUGAUAGCGAUACACACAUACAUAACAUUGAGACCAAAAGAGUUAGAGUUAACAAUGAUNNNNNNNNNNNNNNNNNNNNNNNNNNNNNNNNNNNNNNNNNNNNNNNNNNNNNNNNNNNNNNNNNNNNNNNNNNNNNNNNNNNNNNNNNNNNNNNNNNNNCGUCAUUAGCCCCCGAAUGGAUCAGGGUCCGAGUGGUGAAGGUGUCGAUGUAAAUCUUAUAGCAGCAGACCGAACUUGAACGUGCUUCAGGGCCUUGCAAAAUUAUGCGUUGAUUGAAGUCUUCAUCAUUCGCCCUGAUCGAUUCCGCUGAGUAGUACGUCCGAGUGAACUUAAGAAUUGAAGUAGAUCCGAGUGACCAACAUGAUCUUGAGACUCUGACUGACUGCUGGUAGUCGGUUGGAAUCUGUUGAAUCUGUUGAACUUGGAUGUUGUUGGUGGACUUGACCAAGCAGAAUGUUUCUUUUUUGUAUUUCUCUUCCUGCGGGGGCACGCUCAGUGCACCCACUGGGUGUAGUCCCCGAGCCUCUGUCGGACUAGAUGAGUCUGGCAGAGGGUUUAAGACUUCCAGUGCUUGUCAUGUUGAAUGUUUGUUGAAUUUGCAUUAUAUGAUUUCUAGAUCAAAGUCAAGUCUCCGAGUUUAUUUUUUAACUUCGGUGAUACGGGGUCGCAACUAAGUUCUCGAUUGUGCAGCGUGUCUGCACUCGGAGUUGUUUUUAACUUAGGCGAUACGGAGUCGCAGCUAAGUCCUCAAGUGUGGAUCAUGUUCGCACUCGGAGUUGUUUUUAACUUAGGCGAUACGGAGUCGCAGCUAAGUCCCCGAGUGUGGAACAUGUCCGCACUCGGAGUUGUUUUUAAUUUAGGCGAUACGGAGUCGCAGCUAAGCCCCCGAGUGUGGAGCAUGUCCGUACUCAUAGUUGUUUUUAACUUAGGCGAUACAUAGUCGCAGCUAAGUUCCUGAGUGUCGAGCGUGUCCGUACUCGGAGUACUUUUAACUUAGGCGACACGGAGUCACAGCUAAGCUGAGCGGUGGCGCGCGGGGCAGCCGAAUGAUGAAGACGUGCCACACGGAGUGGCGAUGCGCAUGGCAUCCGAGCGCUGACGACGCGUCCGGCUGAGUGGCAACGCACGGGGCGGCCAAGUGAUGUAUGUCGAGGAGGCAUCCGACCCACUGACAGCACGCGGGGCGGCCGUGUCCACUACGUCAUUGCGGGGGCUUCCGAACACGUGAAAACGCAUGAAUGAUCGUUGCGGCGACUGAGCCUGAGCAGCGACGAGGAUGGCGCACGGAUGCGUCGAGUAACCUGUGUAUGAAAAAUAGCACAAGCCAGCAUAAAAAAUUAUCAAAGUAACAUGAUCUUUUCUGAAAUAGUUCAUGUAAAUUGCACCCAUAGACACCCACUGGGUGUGCCACGUGAUUGCUGGUUCAGAACCAGCAAGAGUCUAAAAGAGUGAAGGAUCCGGCUGAACUCGUUUGAGUACUGGACCCAAACGAACCGGAAGUGAAGUGUUCCCACAUAAAAAUAAACAACCGAGUACAGAGGUACACUCAGUGGCGUGGCCUCCGAGUGAACGUCAUGUGCGACUUCCUCGACACUCGGUAAUGUAGAAACGAUUAUUUAAUAGAAUGGAGUCUGAGAAAAAUGACUUAGCUGCCUGACGACGCGCGGGGCGGUCGAGUGAAGUAGACACGUUCGGCUGAGUGGCGUCGUGUUGGGCGGUCAAGCGAUGAAGACGCGUCUAGCUGAGUGGCGACACGCGGGGCGGCCGAGUGACGACGCGCAGAGCAACCAGGUGACGAAGGAGCCUCUAGCCGAGUGACGACACGCGAAGCUGCCGAGUGACGAAGGAGUCUCCAGCCGAGUGACGGCGCGGGGGGCGGUCGAGUGACAAAGGCGCGUCUCGCCGAGUGGCGGCGCGCUGGGCGGCCGACUGAUGAAGGCACCUACAACCGAGUGACGAAGAUGUGUCUCGCCAAGUGGCGGCUCAUGGGGCGGUCGACUGAUGAAGGCGCAUACAACCGAGUGACGAAGAUGUGUCUCGCCGAGUGGCGGCGCGCGGGAGGACCGACUGAUUAUGAUGCGUCCGACUGAGCGACGGCACGCAGGGCGGCCGAGUCACUGCAUGUUGGUCAUCUGUAUACAAAAUUCAUCUGGAAUAAUUUCGGUGUGUCAUCGUGUUAGUAGCUCGAAUGAAUGGUGUUGGGGAACGUCGCAUGGGAAACAAAAAUUUUCCUACGCGCACGAAGACCUAUCAUGGUGAUGUCCAUCUACGAGAGNNNNNNNNNNGCAGCAACACGCACAUCACCGCCCACAAAAACUUUUGUGUUCUACUCGAGAAGACAUCUACGCAUGAACCUAGCUCAUGAUGCCACUGUUGGGGAACGUCACAUGGGAAACAAAAAAUUUCCUACGCGCACGAAGACCUAUCAUGGUGAUGUCCAUCUACGAGAGGGGAUGGGUGAUCUACGUACCCUUGUAGACCGUAGAGCAGAAGCGUUAGAGAACGCGGUUGAUGUAGUGGAACGUCCUCACGUCCCUCGAUCCGCCCCGCGAACAAUCCCGCGAUCAGUCCCACGAUCUAGUACCGAACGGACGGCACCUCCGCGUUCAGCACACGUACAGCUCGACGAUGANNNNNNNNNNCGUACAACAGAAGCGUUAGAGAACGCAGUUGAUGUAGUGGAACGUCCUCACGUCCCUCGACCCGCCCCGCGAACAAUCCCGCGAUCAGUCCCACGAUCUAGUGUCGAACGGACGGCACCUCCGCGUUCAGCACACGUACAGCUCGACGAUGAUCUCGGCCUUCUUGAUCCAGCAAGAGAGACGGAGAGGUAGAAGAGUUCUCCGGCAGAGUGACGGCGCUCCCGAGGUUGGUGAUGACCUUGUCUCAGCAGGGCUCCGCCUGAGCUCCGCAGAAAAGCGAUCUAGAGGAAAAACUGUGGAGGUAUGUGGUCGGGCUGCCGUGGAAAAGUCGUCUCAAAUCAGCCCUAAAACCUCCGUAUAUAUAGGUGGGAGGGAGGGGGCCUUGCCUUGGGGUCCAAGGACCCUCAAGGGGGUCGGCCGAGCCAAGGGGGAGGACUCUCCCCCCCAAACCGAGUUGGACUAGGUUUGGUGGGAGGGAGUCCUCCUCCCUUCCCACCUCCUCCCUUUUUUUUCUUUUCCUCUUGAUUUUCUUCUCUUGGCGCAUAGAGCACUUGUGGGCUGUCCCACCAGCCCACUAAGGGCUGGUGUGUCUCCCCCAAGGCCUAUGGGCUUCCCCGGGGUGGGUUGCCCCCCCCGGUGAACUCCCGGAACCCAUUCGUCAUUCCCGGUACAUUCCCGGUAACUCCGAAAACCUUCCGGUAAUCAAAUGAGGUCAUCCUAUAUAUCAAUCUUCGUUUCCGGACCAUUCCGGAAACCCUCGUGACGUCCGUGAUCUCAUCCGGGACUCCGAACAACNNNNNNNNNNAGUAACUCCGAAAACCUUCCGGUAAUCAAAUUAGGUCAUCCUAUAUAUCAAUCUUCAUUUCCGGACCAUUCCGGAAACCCUCGUGACGUACGUGAUCUCAUCCGGGACUCCGAACAACAUUCGGUAACCAACCAUAUAACUCAAAUACGCAUAAAACAACGUCGAACCUUAAGUGUGCAGACCCUGCGGGUUCGAGAACUAUGUAGACAUGACCCGAGAGACUCCUCGGNNNNNNNNNNNNNNNNNNNNNNNNNNNNNNNNNNNNNNNNNNNNNNNNNNNNNNNNNNNNNNNNNNNNNNNNNNNNNNNNNNNNNNNNNNNNNNNNNNNNCCACGGCAGCCCGACCACAUACCUCCACAGUUUUUCCUCUAGAUCGCUUUUCUGCGGAGCUCAGGCGGAGCCCUGCUGAGACAAGGUCAUCACCAACCUCGGGAGCGCCGUCACUCUGCCGGAGAACUCUUCUACCUCUCCGUCUCUCUUGCUGGAUCAAGAAGGCCGAGAUCAUCGUCGAGCUGUACGUGUGCUGAACGCGGAGGUGCCGUCCGUUCGGUACUAGAUCGUGGGACUGAUCGCGGGAUUGUUCGCGGGGCGGAUCGAGGGACGUGAGGACGUUCCACUACAUCAACCGCGUUCUCUAACGCUUCUGUUGUACAGUCUACAAGGGUAUGUAGAUCACUCAUCCCCUCUCGUAGAUGGACAUCACCAUGAUAGGUCUUCGUGCGCGUAGGAAAAUUUUUGUUUCCCAUGCGACGUUCCCCAACACCAUUCAUUCGAGCUACUAACACGAUGACACACCGAAAUUAUUCCAGAUGAAUUUUGUAUACAGAUGACCAACAUGCAGUGACUCGGCCGCCCUGCGUGCCGUCGCUCAGUCGGACGCAUCAUAAUCAGUCGGUCCUCCCGCGCGCCGCCACUCGGCGAGACACAUCUUCGUCACUCGGUUGUAUGCGCCUUCAUCAGUCGACCGCCCCAUGAGCCGCCACUUGGCGAGACACAUCUUCGUCACUCGGUUGUAGGUGCCUUCAUCAGUCGGCCGCCCAGCGCGCCGCCACUCGGCGAGACGCGCCUUUGUCACUCGACCGCCCCCCGCGCCGUCACUCGGCUGGAGACUCCUUCGUCACUCGGCAGCUUCGCGUGUCGUCACUCGGCUAGAGGCUCCUUCGUCACCUGGUUGCUCUGCGCGUCGUCACUCGGCCGCCCCGCGUGUCGCCACUCAGCUAGACGCGUCUUCAUCGCUUGACCGCCCAACACGACGCCACUCAGCCGAACGUGUCUACUUCACUCGACCGCCCCGCGCGUCGUCAGGCAGCUAAGUCAUUUUUCUCAGACUCCAUUCUAUUAAAUAAUCGUUUCUACAUUACCGAGUGUCGAGGAAGUCGCACAUGACGUUCACUCGGAGGCCACGCCACUGAGUGUACCUCUGUACUCGGUUGUUUAUUUUUAUGUGGGAACACUUCACUUCCGGUUCGUUUGGGUCCAGUACUCAAACGAGUUCAGCCGGAUCCUUCACUCUUUUAGACUCUUGCUGGUUCUGAACCAGCAAUCACGUGGCACACCCAGUGGGUGUCUAUGGGUGCAAUUUACAUGAACUAUUUCAGAAAAGAUCAUGUUACUUUGAUAAUUUUUUAUGCUGGCUUGUGCUAUUUUUCAUACACAGGUUACUCGACGCAUCCGUGCGCCAUCCUCGUCGCUGCUCAGGCUCAGUCGCCGCAACGAUCAUUCAUGCGUUUUCACGUGUUCGGAAGCCCCCGCAAUGACGUAGUGGACACGGCCGCCCCGCGUGCUGUCAGUGGGUCGGAUGCCUCCUCGACAUACAUCACUUGGCCGCCCCGUGCGUUGCCACUCAGCCGGACGCGUCGUCAGCGCUCGGAUGCCAUGCGCAUCGCCACUCCGUGUGGCACGUCUUCAUCAUUCGGCUGCCCCGCGCGCCACCGCUCAGCUUAGCUGUGACUCCGUGUCGCCUAAGUUAAAAGUACUCCGAGUACGGACACGCUCGACACUCAGGAACUUAGCUGCGACUAUGUAUCGCCUAAGUUAAAAACAACUAUGAGUACGGACAUGCUCCACACUCGGGGGCUUAGCUGCGACUCCGUAUCGCCUAAAUUAAAAACAACUCCGAGUGCGGACAUGUUCCACACUCGGGGACUUAGCUGCGACUCCGUAUCGCCUAAGUUAAAAACAACUCCGAGUGCGAACAUGAUCCACACUUGAGGACUUAGCUGCGACUCCGUAUCGCCUAAGUUAAAAACAACUCCGAGUGCGAACAUUUUCCGCACUCGGGGACUUAGCUGCGACUCCGUAUCGCCUAAGUUAAAAACAACUCCGAGUGCGAACAUUUUCCGCACUCGGGGACUUAGCUGCGACUCCGUAUCGCCUAAGUUAAAAACAACUCCGAGUGCGAACAUUUUCCGCACUCGGGGACUUAGCUGCGACUCCGUAUCGCCUAAGUUAAAAACAACUCCGAGUGCAGACACGCUGCACAAUCGAGAACUUAGUUGCGACCCCGUAUCACCGAAGUUAAAAAAUAAACUCGGAGACUUGACUUUGAUCUAGAAAUCAUAUAAUGCAAAUUCAACAAACAUUCAACAUGACAAGCACUGGAAGUCUUAAACCCUCUGCCAGACUCAUCUAGUCCGACAGAGGCUCGGGGACUACACCCAGUGGGUGCACUGAGCGUGCCCCCGCAGGAAGAGAAAUACAAAAAAGAAACAUUCUGCUUGGUCAAGUCCACCAACAACAUCCAAGUUCAACAGAUUCAACAGAUUCCAACCGACUACCAGCAGUCAGUCAGAGUCUCAAGAUCAUGUUGGUCACUCGGAUCUACUUCAAUUCUUAAGUUCACUCGGACGUACUACUCAGCGGAAUCGAUCAGGGCGAAUGAUGAAGACUUCAAUCAACGCAUAAUUUUGCAAGGCCCUGAAGCACGUUCAAGUUCGGUCUGCUGCUAUAAGAUUUACAUCGACACCUUCACCACUCGGACCCUGAUCCAUUCGGGGGCUAAUGACGGGGAUAUAGCCCUAGGGUAGGGUCAUAGGUCUGACCAAUACGUCCUACCCAAGGGCACCUCAUUAUUAGUUUAAGGACUACAAGGGAAAUUCCUACUGGAUCGUGACAACAUCUAAUCCACUCGGGACGGAUCCACUCAGACAAAUACAUUCCAUCCACUCGGAUGACAGUCAACCACUCGGCUGUAUGACUCACUUGGUCAUGCAAAUACCAACAGUCGGCAAGACAUCUGUAGUGGGCUGACAUUAUGGCACCAAUGCCUCAUCUUGUAACAUAAGAGGUGAGGAGGUGGCGCACUCUAUAUAAGUCACCCCCCUCCACAUAGCUGGGGACAUCUUCUUCUUCUCCUCCUUCGGGCUCAUUCUUUCCCUCGAGCUCUGUCUCUCUCUCUCUACACCAUGUAACUCAUGUCCAUGACAAAUAAAACNNNNNNNNNNNNNNNNNNNNNNNNNNNNNNNNNNNNNNNNNNNNNNNNNNNNNNNNNNNNNNNNNNNNNNNNNNNNNNNNNNNNNNNNNNNNNNNNNNNNCUGAAACAUUUGAAAAGUUCAAACAAUUUCAGAGUGAAGUGGAAAAUCAUCGUAACAAGAAGAUCAAGUUCCUACGGUCUGAUCGUGGGGGUGAAUAUCUGAGUUUCGAGUUUGGUGCUCACUUAAGACAAUGUGGAAUUGUUUCACACUUGACACCGCCUGAAACACCACAGCGUAAUGGUGUGUCCGAACGUCGUAAUCGUACUUUAUUAGAGAUGGUGCGAUCUAUGAUGUCUCUUACUGAUUUGCCGUUAUCAUUUUGGGGUUAUGCAUUAGAAACAGCUGCAUUCACUUUAAAUAGGGCACCAUCAAAAUCCGUUGAGACGACACCAUACGAACUGCGGUAUGGCAAAAGGCCAAAGUUGUCGUUUCUUAAAGUUUGGGGAUGUGAUGCUUAUGUCAAAAAGCUUCAACCUGAAAAGCUGGAACCCAAAGCGGAAAAAUGCGUCUUCAUAGGUUACCCAAAAGAGACAGUUGGGUACACCUUCUAUCUCAAAUCCGAGGGCAAAGUGUUUGUUGCUAAAAACGGAGCUUUUCUCGAGAAGGAGUUUCUCUCGAGAGAAUUGAGUGGGAGGAAGAUAGAACUUGACGAGGUUGUCGAACCUCUCAUCCCUCUGGAUGGUGGCGCAUGGCAAGGGGAAACCUCUGUCGUUGCGACGCCGGUUGAGGAGGAAGUUAAUGAUAAUGAUCAUGCAACUCCGGUUCAAGUUUAUGUCGAACCACGUAGGUCGACGAGACCACGUGCUGCUCCAGAGUGGUACGGUAAUCCCGUCUUAUCAAUCAUGUUGUUGGACAACAAUGAACCUGCAAAUUAUGAAGAAGCAAUGGUGGGCCCAGAUUCCAACAAAUGGCUAGAAGCCAUGAAGUCCGAGAUAGGAUCCAUGUAUGAGAACAAAGUGUGGACUUUGAAGGUACUGCCUGAGGGCCGCAAGGCUAUUGAGAACAAAUGGAUCUUUAAGAGGAAGACGGACGCUGACGGCAAUGUGACCGUUUAUAAAGCUCGACUUGUGGCAAAGGGUUUUUCACAAGUUCAAGGAGUUGACUACGAUGAGACAUUCUCACCCGUAGCGAUGCUUAAGUGUGUCAGAAUCAUGUUAGCAAUAGCUGCAUUUUUCGAUUAUGAAAUCUGGCAAAUGGAUGUCAAAACGGCUUUCCUUAACGAUUUCCUUAAGGAAGAAUUGUAUAUGAUGCAACCCGAAGGUUUUGUCGAUCCUAAGAAUGCUAACAAGGUGUGCAAGCUCCAGUGAUCCAUUUAUGGACUGGUGCAAGCAUCUCGGAGUUGGAACAAACGCUUUGAUGAGGUGAUCAAAGCAUUUGGGUUUAUACAAGUGGUUGGAGAAUCUUGUAUUUACAAGAAAGUGAGUGGGAGCUCUGUGGCGUUUCUAAUAUUAUAUGUGGAUGACAUAUUGUUGAUUGGAAACAACGUAGAGUUUUUGGAGAGCAUAAAGGAUUACUUGAAUAAAAGUUUCUCUAUGAAGGACCUGGGAGAAGCUGCUUACAUUCUAGGCAUUAAGAUCUAUAGGGAUAGAUCAAAACGCCUGAUAGGACUUUCACAAAGCACAUACCUUGAUAAAGUUUUGAAGAGGUUCAAAAUGGAACAGUCCAAGAAGGGGUUCUUGCCAGUUUUACAAGGUACGAGAUUGAGUAAGACUCAGUGCCCAGCAACUGAUGAGGAUAGAGAGCAUAUGCGCACCGUCCCCUAUGCUUCAGCCAUAGGUUCUAUCAUGUAUGCAAUGUUGUGCACUAGACCGGACGUUAGCCUGGCCAUAAGUAUGGCAGGUAGGUUCCAGAGUAAUCCAGGAGUGGAUCACUGGACGGCGGUCAAGAAUAUCCUAAAGUACCUGAAAAGGACUGAGGAGAUGUUUCUCGUGUAUGGAGGUGACGAAGAGCUCGCCGUAAAAGGUUACGUCGAUGCAAGCUUUGACACAGAUCCGGACGACUCUAAGUCGCAAACCGGAUACGUAUUUAUUCUUAAUGGGGGUGCGGUAAGCUGGUGCAGUUUCAAGCAAAGCGUCGUAGCAGAUUCUACAUGUGAAGCAGAGUACAUGGCUGCCUCGGAGGCAGCUAAGGAGGGUGUCUGGAUGAAGCUGUUCAUGACGGAUCUUGGAGUGGUGCCAAGCGCACUGAAUCCAAUAACCUUGUUCUGUGACAACACGGGUGCCAUUGCCUUAGCAAAGGAACCACGGUUUCACAAGAAGUCCACACACAUCAAAUGACGCUUCAACCUCAUCCGCGACUACGUCGAAGGAGAGGACGUAAAUAUAUGCAAAGUGCACACGGAUCUGAAUGUAGCAGACCCGCUGACUAAACCUCUUCCACGGCCAAAGCAUGAUCAACACCAGAACUGUAUGGGUGUUAGAUUUAUUACAAUGUAAUUCGCAUGAUGAUGUGAGGGCUAGAUUAUUGACUCUAGUGCAAGUGGGAGACUGUUGGAAUUAUGCCCUAGAGGCAAUAAUAAAUAUAGUUAUUAUUAUAAUUCCUGUAUCAAGAUAAUCGUUUAUUAUCCAUGCUAUAAUUGUAUUGAAUGAAGACUCAUUUACAUGUGUGGAUACAUAGACAAAACACUGUCCCUAGCAAGCCUCUAGUUGGCUAGCCAGUUGAUCAAAGAUAGUCAAUGUCUUCUGAUUAUGAACAAGGUGUUGUUGCUUGAUAACUGGAUCACGUCAUUAGGAGAAUCACGUGAUGGACUAGACCCAAACUAAUAGACAUAGCAUGUUGAUCGUGUCAUUUUGUUGCUACUGUUUUCUACGUGUCAAGUAUUUGUUCCUAUGACCAUGAGAUCAUAUAACUCACUAACACCGGAGGAAUACUUUGUGUGUAUCAAACGUCGCAACGUAACUGGGUGACUAUAAAGAUGCUCUACAGGUAUAUCCGAGGGUGACUAUUGAGUUGACAUGGAUCAAGACUGGGAUUUUUCACUCCGUAUGACGGAGAGGUAUCUGAGGGCUCACUCGGUAAUACAACAUCACAAUGAGCUUGCAAGCAAUGUGACUAAAGAGUUAGGCACGGGAUCUUGUAUUACGUAACGAGUAAAGAGACUUGUCGGUAACGAGAUUGAACUAGGUAUGGAGAUACCGACGAUUGAAUCUUGGGCAAGUAACAUACCGAUGGACAAAGGAAAUUGUAUACGGGNNNNNNNNNNNNNNNNNNNNNNNNNNNNNNNNNNNNNNNNNNNNNNNNNNNNNNNNNNNNNNNNNNNNNNNNNNNNNNNNNNNNNNNNNNNNNNNNNNNNGGUGUACGAUACUCGUGGCAAGGCUAAGUUUGGCCAAUAAUGUAUGCAAGAGCCAACUUAUGUCAGUUUAAAUGGCACCUGAAUCACUAGAACAGGCAUAUUUUUCAAGGGCAAGGAAAUGAGAAUUCAUGGAAGAAAUAAUGUCUGGGAAAGCAGACAUGACAAUGAAGAACUCUGCACCAAAUUCAUAUUUAAGAUAAUUACCGCUGCUUCAUGGGCCGCCUAGCAUUAUAAACCGAAAUCCAUUGAGUUGCUGGGCUCCCCAACCGAACUUUCUUCUUAGGCUGUUCCUCUUCUUCAAGAUUUACAACCAUUCUUCCACGUUUCUGCCCAACCUACAAUAUAUAAAACAGAUGCAUGAUCAAUUUCAAUACACAAAUAAUUAAACUACAGAGCAUAGGUACAGACUGGGUACAGCAUAGCAAACCUUUAGAGCCCCAUCAAUUCUGAUGGGUCUUGAAGCAGGCACUUCAAUCAAACUAUCAAAGAGAGAAAUGAGUUUUGCGUAAUUUGGCUCUUCAUCAAAUUUCAUAUUAGUGACCAUCUCAAGAAAAUGCUUGAAUGGAGGUGGACAAAAGCAACUCAGAACAUCUGCAGAGGUAGCCAUCUUCUUCUUACAAACAAGAAAGCUCUUGUUGUCUCCCUGCAUUAAUAAGCAAUUAACACUAUAUUGGGUUCAAGAGGAAACAGUAAAUUAUUAGUCAAACUCUUAUGAGCACAUCUAAGGCUACCUGAAAACCUUGCCAAGGUAAUCUUCCUCUUAUUAAAAAAAUAAGGGUGUACGCUAGUGACUCCAAAUCAUCCCUUCUACUGCCUGUCCGGCCUAAAUGAGCAUGGACACUAGCAUAUCUAAUUGUUCCCCUGGAAAUCAUAAAAAGGAAAGAGGUCAGUUAAUAGGUGAAUAAUUUUUAGUUUUGCACAUAAAGAAGAUAGUAUAGAACCAACCUAAAGAUGUCUGGCCUCUGGUCAUAUUCAACAUGCUGACUGGAUGAUGCUUUUUUCCACUUGGAUGCUGCAUAAUUUAGAUAUUAACAAAACAACGUGAAAAAGGUUACAGUGGGGCAUAAAAUGUGUCAAACCAUCAACAUCCUAUUAUGUAGCAAUUCUUAUGACUGAAGGCCACAGUUCACUGAAAAAAUGAAACUGCAUAUCUACAUAUAAAGAUGAAACUGUCUUAAACAAGAACAUACCUAAACCAAGAUCAAUUAGGAAAAGCUUCUUCUCAUCAGGUGAUCCAGGUUGACCAAGCAGAAAGUUUUCUGGCUUUACAUCUCCAUGGACAAAGCUGACAUAAUAGGAAGCAGAGGAAGUGUUAAUACCAACAAAGAAUAGGAGAAUGAUGUCCAUGGACUCCAGGAUCAUUGACAGAGACACGUGGCUUUAGAAAAUUACCCUUUGGAAUGAAGCUUCUCAAGGAUUGAUAUGGACUCCACGGCAAUGCAAGCCACCAUAUGAGAAGACAUCCUGUUUGGGAUAUGGGUGCUUUUAGCAAGGAGUAAGAAAAACAAGCUGACAAGGUGAAAAGAUUGGUAAAACACUCACGCCUGUCCCAUUGAAUUCCAAACAUCCCAGAGGCUAGGACCAAGCAUAUCCAUGACCUGAAAUUUUGAAAUCCAGGUUGAAUUGACUUUGAAAGAUCAUAUUAAGAGGCAGUCUGGAGUGCAUAACUAUAGUUGAACUCACAAGAAUGUAGUAGUCUCCCUGGCGACCCUUGUAGUGGACUGAUGGUAUGCCAUAACAACCAUUGAGAGACCUGUCACAGAAAGCUUAGCAUGCCAUGCUCCACAGAAAAUAACAUAAACGUAAAAAGGAUUGAUUGUGUAUAGUUCUUACUGAUAAACCUGCCACUCAAACGGGGGGCCAUAACUACAUCCUUUGCUUCUUCGAUGUUCAAGUUUGAGUGCAACCUACAGCAUGUUAAUCCAUAUAAGAUUCGACUAGAUCACGAAGCAGGACUCCUCCAGUGUCCAAGUGAGGCAGGUUUGAAAAGAAACCUCGUAUGCAUCUGGGCCUGUACGAGAAGCCCCACCAGUUAUUCUUCUGCCAACAUAGACCUGGCCAAAUCCACCUUUGCCCAACUUCCUAUCAGUUAUAUAUUCUGGAGAGCCACCAACUUGAACCUGCAAUAAUUAGAUAUAACAUUCAGAUUUUUAGGAGCUUAUAUCAUGUAAACAGAACUCCACUAUGCAAAACUGUACUGGUGGAUCAAUAAUACUAUCACCACGAGAGCAAACUAAACAGCGCUGCAGAAAAUGAGAAACCUAUUUUUGUCUUGAAGCUUUAUGUGAAAAGGAACCAAUCCUAUAUAUAUAUAUAUAUAUAUGUACUAUUCACAGCAAAGUCGUCAAAUUAGGGAACUCAGGAAAUGUGUGUUACUCUGCUAUACUUAGCACUGCCCAGUGGAAGACAAACAUGCAGUGUUUUUCCCAGAGAGAAAGAGCACGGAAAUUGAUUGGGUUUGCAGCCAAAACGACAAUAUUUCUGUAUUUAUGUUGUUGAACAGAGGGAUGUGAAAUUAGUUUCUUCUUUUUAAUUCCAUCUGGUUUAAAUUUCAACAUCUUAUUAGAUGUUUGCUUUCUGCUACAAAACAAAACUACCAUAAUACAGCCACUCAGUCUUGACUACUCUCAUGGAAGUAUAAACACGAUCUCUGAUGCAAGUGUUUAGCUUUUCGCUAUGUUCCCUCUUCAGAUGAACAAUCAUCAAUUAUUACUUAUUAGUCCCUCUAAACGCUCUUAUAUCACAAGAAAGUUUCUAGAAGGAGAGAUAGGUAGGUAUGCAUGAUACAACAAAAGAACAAUGCAUUUCCACAUGAUGGUACAAAUAUUGCCAGACAAAGUUAACAGCAUAAGCAAACAACAUAACAAACAUAAAGGAAUGGGAAGAAAUACUUAAGCAGUCGGUGUAAUAACAGGACAGUCGACAUAAACAAGUGCACGGAAAAACAGGAAGUCAUACCCUCUCAGGCACUGGCGUCGUCGUGGCUUCAUCCUCCGCCGCUGCAAGUCUGUCACCGCUUGCACCUUCCAUUUUGAAGUUGGCGGCCCUGUCAGCUACCUUGUUCAAACCAAGGACCUGCUGGGCUGUGCCUGCAACUGCCUCUCCAACAAUAGCUUCAGGGAUGUCCUCAAAAGGCUGGUCAGCCAAAUCAAUAGCCUCGACCCUCUUUCCUCUAGCCUUUGGAGCUGGCCUUCCUCUUCCCGCGGCAACUGCUUUCUUGUUGCCCCUACCAGCCGCACCACCACCACGCCUCCCACCCCUCCCCCGGGGAGCCGGCAAGACAGGAGCGGCUACCUGAUCUGCAGCCUGGACGUCUUCAAGCCUGCUGGACCUCAGACGAGCUCUCCGAACACCACUUCGCAGCUCUGGCAUUAUCCGUCCAUGCAACCCGGCGUGCCGUUACACCCCUCGGCGCUCCUGGCAAUCUCCCCAUGCACAAGAAACCAAACACAAAACAAUGAAUACCGGUAAAAAAGGAAUCGGUGACGGACACCCAUACAUACAGACAUGAAAAGUCUCAGCUCAGAAAACUUGCUCCUUCCCCAUGCCUAUGAAAACCAAACCAAACAUUAGCAGACGAGAUAGACAGACAGACAAAAAUCUGGGGAGGAAUCAACGCCGGGGGCGUUGAGGCAGUAGUCCUAAAGAGACGGCCUGCCCUCAAACCGGAAUCGUAUGCCGCCACGGCCGCAAAAGGGAGACGGGCUAUCCCCGUCGCCCGAUGCCUCCUCCCCCCCACAAGGGGAUCUCCGCCCACGGCGGGGAAAAUCCCGCCUUUGCCCCGGGGCUCCGGCCAAUCGGGCCCCAAAUCGCGGCCGGACGAGCCGCGGGCCGCGAAUCCCACGCGAGACGCGCGUCCCUCCUAACAAAUCCAACGCGCCGUACGCGCGCCUCCUACCCACGAGACCAACACGGAGAGCCGGCGUGCGAAUCGGCCGCCGGAGGACGCAUCGGGCCGGCGGGGGCCCGUCGGAUCGCGCCCGGGAGCCCGGCGCGCGGCCCGAUCGCGAGGAGCGCCGCGCGCCGAUUGGAAAACCGGAAAACCGUGCGAAAUGGGGGCCUUUGUCCUGGAGGGUGUAGGUUGCGGGGGGUGCUAGUGCUGGUGCUCGGUGUGCCGCAGCAGCUGGGGGUGGGGCCGGACGCGGUGGCUGACUGGUAGGGCCCGGGUGGUGGCGGGGGGGUCGGGGCACCUGGCUGGCUGGCUGGACCCUUGCCUUGCAUUGCAUUGCAUGCGGGGGUACACUACAGCCUGCGCGCACCGCGGAUGUCUACACGGCAUUUCCACCGAGGUUUAAAUUUACAGAGAGGGGGAGACGGAUUUUGAAGGAAAUGCAGCAGGUAUAGGAAACUGAUGAAUUUCUCAAUAAAAGUCGCAGGGGGCACGCACCUGUUCAUCUGUGCCCUACCACCAAGCCAUACACAUCGGCUCGCCAUAGUCAUUGGAUUCCGCACGAGGACACAUCAAGUUUAAAGUUUCACCUUUUUGAAACUAGUGCUUUUGUUGGGGGGGUUUAAAUGAAAAUGGGUCUUAUUUGCAAGCUCAUGACACAAGAAACAUGAGUAUGAAAACAAAAGGCUUAAUUUGAGUUUUACGAAAUACUGAUAUAUAGACCCCGAAGAAAUACGGGGUCGGCGUGCCACAAAUUCCAUGUAUAGACCAAAACAUUAUCUGCCUGCUAACUACUCCCUCCGUUAUGUAAAUAGUGUCAGAAACGAUCUUAUAUUAUGGCAAGGAGGGAGUAUAUCAGUGUCUUUUUUCGGUUUUGAUGUAACUUUGUGUCUUUUUCGGUUUUGAUGUAAAUUUGGCCGGUGGUAUGAAUUUAACCCAAUGCUUGAAGCCUCCAGCGCUCAGUUGGGAUACGCUUCACAAUUCAACUAUUGGACGUCAAUGUUGUUGUUCGUGGACCACAAGUAGGCAGCAGUAGUCAACAAUAUCAGGAUGCUGCAGAUCUUUUUUGGUUCUAUCAGAAAGGAAAGAAAAAAACAGGAAAAUAUCUUUUGGGCGUCCAAGUGGUAAUUUUGCCUAGUCAAGCCACACCACGAGCACCACGGAAUCAAUCAUCCCAACAGCUAGCUACAUCCAUCCUCUCGAUAAUAAUCCAGCAAAAGUAAAGCACAAGAUACCAACACAAACUUCCACAUGUUGUUCAUCUUUUAGAGCCAGCAUAACAUAAUCAUUAGGAGGCCAUGGCAUACAGCUGCAAUCCCUACAAACGGAAGGCCACCAGCACAGCAACACUCGUACCAAAAGUCAUUCCAAAACUAUUUCGAGAUGCGGCCAACUAAUCCCGUCUGCGAGGUCUCCGAGCACCUCCGAUCUCUCGCGCUCGUGCCACUACCGGCGGCGGUGGCGGCGGCGGACCAUCCCGCUCUUCGUCCUCGACAACAUGCCCGUCCAGCAGGUGGACGCACUCCAGGAUCGGCGACGCCUGCAUGACCCGCUUCACAAAGCAUGUCUGCCACGCCGCCCCGUCGAAGCCGAUGACCACGAGCUCUUUCAGGUGAUUGUGGUGCUGAUGGUGUUCCGCUUGCACAUCUGGUGAUCCUGUUGCGCCCGCCUUCUCUGAGUUGUCGUCAAACUGCGUUCGCAAUUCUUGAUUUCAAGAAUUAUCUCAAAACCAACAAAAAAAGUAGUACCAAGCUUGCAUGCCUGCAGGUCGACNNNNNNNNNNNNNNNNNNNNNNNNNNNNNNNNNNNNNNNNNNNNNNNNNNNNNNNNNNNNNNNNNNNNNNNNNNNNNNNNNNNNNNNNNNNNNNNNNNNNAACAGUCUCCCACUUGCACUAGAGUCAAUAAUCUAGCCCUCACAUCACCAUGUGAAUUACAUUGUAAUAAAUCUGCCGUGGAAGAGGUUUAGUCAGCGGGUCUGCUACAUUCAGAUCCGUGUGCACUUUGUAUAUAUUUACGUCCUCUUCCUCGACGUAGUCGCGGAUGAGGUUGAAGCGUCGUUUGAUGUGUCUGGUCUUCUUGUGAAACCGUGGUUUCUUUGCUAAGGCAAUGGCACGAGUGUUGUCACAGAACAAGGUUAUUGGAUUCAAUGCGCUUGGCACCACUCCAAGAUCCGUCAUGAACUGCUUCAUCCAGACACCCUCCUUAGCCGCCUCCGAGGCAGCCAUGUACUCUGCUUCACAUGUAGAAUCUGCUACGACGCUUUGCUUGGAACUGCACCAGCUUACUGCACCCCCAUUAAGAAUAAAUACGUAUCCGGUCUCCGACUUAGAGUCGUCCAGAUCUGUGUCAAAGCUUGCAUCGACGUAACCUUUUACGGCGAGCUCUUCGUCACCUCCAUAUACGAGAAACAUCUCCUUAGUCCUUUUCAGGUACUUCAGGAUAUUCUUGACCGCUGUCCAGUGAUCCACUCCUGGAUUACUCUGGAACCUACCUGCCAUACUUAUGGCCAGGCUAACAUUCGGUCUAGUGCACAGCAUCGCAUACAUGAUAGAACCUAUGGCUGAAGCAUAGGGGACGGAGCGCAUAUGCUCUCUAUCUUCAUCAGUUGCUGGGCACUGAGUCUUACUCAAUCUUGUACCUUGUAAAACUGGCAAGAACCCUUUCUUGGACUGUUCCAUUUUGAACCUUUUCAAAACUUUAUCAAGGUAUGUGCUUUGUGAAAGUCCUAUCAGGCGUUUCGAUCUAUCCCUAUAGAUCUUAAUGCCUAGAAUGUAAGCAGCUUCUCCUAGGUCCUUCAUAGAGAAACUUUUAUUCAAGUAACCUUUUAUGCUCUCCAAAAGCUCUACGUUGUUUCCAAUCAGUAAUAUGUCAUCCACAUAUAAUAUUAGAAACGCCACAGAGCUCCCACUCACUUUCUUGUAAAUAUAAGAUUCUCCAACCACUUGUAUAAACCCAAAUGCUUUGAUCACCUCAUCAAAGCGUUUGUUCCAACUCCGAGAUGCUUGCACCAGUCCAUAAAUGGAUCGCUGGAGCUUGCACACCUUGUCAGCAUUUUUAGGAUCGACAAAACCUUCGGGUUGCAUCAUAUACAACUCUUCCUUAAGGAAACCGUUAAGGAACACCGUUUUGACAUCCAUCUGCCAGAUUUCAUAAUCGAAAAAUGCAGCUAUUGCUAACAUGAUCCUGACGGACUUAAGCAUCGCUACGGGUGAGAAAGUCUCAUCGUAGUCAACUCCUGGAACUUGUGAAAAACCCUUUGCCACAAGUCGUGCUUUAUAAACGGUCACAUUACCGUCAGUGUCCGUCUUCUUCUUAAAGAUCCAUUUGUUCUGAAUAGCCUUGCGGCCCUCAGGUAGUAUCUCCAAAGUCCACACUUUGUUCUCAUACAUGGAUCCUAUCUCGGAUUUCAUGGCUUCUAGCCAUUUGUUGGAAUCUGGGCCCACCAUUGCUUCUUCAUAAUUUGCAGGUUCAUUGUUGUCUAACAACAUGAUUGAUAAGACGUGAUUACCGUACCACUCUGGAGCAGCGCGUGAUCUCGUUGACCUGCGUGGUUCAACAGAAACUUGAACUGGAGUUUCAUGAUCAUCAUCAUUAACUUCCUCCUCAACCGGCGUCGCAACGACAGAGGUUUCCCNNNNNNNNNNNNNNNNNNNNNNNNNNNNNNNNNNNNNNNNNNNNNNNNNNNNNNNNNNNNNNNNNNNNNNNNNNNNNNNNNNNNNNNNNNNNNNNNNNNNGUUUUAUUUGUCAUGGACAUGAGUUACAUGGUGUAGAGAGAGAGAGAGCCAGAGCUCGAGGGAAAGAAUGAGCCCGAAGGAGGACAAGAAGAAGAUGUCCCCAGCUAUGUGGAGGGGGUGGCUUAUAUAGAGUGCGCCACCUCCUCACCUCUUAUGUUACAAGAUGGGGCAUUGAUGCCAUAAUGUCAGCCCACUACAGAUGUCUUGCCGACUGUUGGUAUUUGCAUGAUUGAGUGAGUCAUACGGUCGAGUGGUCGACUGUCAUCCGAGUGGAUGGAAUGUAUUUGUCUGAGUGGAUCCGUAUCGAGUGGAUUAGAUGUUGUCACGAUCCAGUAGGAAUUUCCCUUGUAGUCCUUAAACUAAUAAUGAGGUGUCUUGGGUAGGACGUAUUGGUCAGACCUAUGACCCUACCCUAGGGCUAUAUCCCGUCAUUAGCCCCCGAAUGGAUCAGGGUAUACUUUGCAUAGAGCGGAAGGAAGAUCGGGCUGGCCCCGUAAUGAGGCUGCUGUGGCUAGUUUUGGGAAGUUUCCUAGCUGGUUUUUUACGGUUUUGAAGAACUUCUAAAAGGUUCCCUGAGCCGGGUUUUAUUCUUUUUCAUUUUCUUUGUUUUUCCGUUUCUUUCUUUUUCUUUUAUGUUUCUGUUUCAACAAAUGUUCUGGAUUUUCAAAAAUUAAUUUUGGAUUUUCAAAAAUGUUCUUGAUUUUAAAAAAUUAUUCUGUAUUUUCCACAAAUUGUUCUUAGUUUCAAAAUUUAUUCUUAAGAUUCAAAUUUGUUCUCAGUUUCAAACAAAAUUCUUAAGAUUAAAAAAAGUUUGUGCUUCCAAUUUUUUUAGGAUUUUUCAAAAUUCUUCUUGGUUUCAAAAUAUGUUCUUAAAAUUUAAAAAAUGCUCGUGCUUUAAAAAUUUGUUCGUGCUUCCAAAGUUGUUUGGGGUUUUUGAAAUUUGUUCUCAGUUUCAAAAUUUGUUCUCAAGAUUCAAAAAAUGUUCAUGCUUUAAAAAAUUGUUUGCGCUUCCAAAUUUGUUCGCAAAAAAUUCAUGCUUUAAAAAUUUGUUCAUUUGUUUCAAAUUUUGUUCUCAAGAUUAAAAAAAUAUUCGUGUUUUACAUUUUUUUUGCGCUUUCAAAUUUGUUAAAUAUUUUCAAAAAAUUUCUCGGCUUCAAUUUUUUUAUCAAAAUUCAAAAAAAUCCGCUUGUUGCACAUAGAGUGAAUGAUGAACUUUGCAAACAUUUUUCUGAACAAGAAAUUAAUUAUGCUCUCUUCCAAAUUGGACCGUUGAAGGCUCCAGGGGUAGAUGUUUUUUCAAAGGAAUUGGGGUUUUCACAAGGAGGAUAUUAUUGUUCUGUUUUCAAGUAUUUAUUUAUUUCUGGAAGUAUGCCAGAGGGGAUAAAUGAUAGUAGUAUUGUUCUUAUUCCUAAAAUAAAGAAUCCUCAACCUAUAAAGAAUUUUUGACCAAUUAACCUUUGCAAUGUCAUAUACAAAAUUAUAUCUAACUGCCUUGUUAACACGCUGAGACCUCUCCUGGAUGGUAUGAUUUAUCUACCCAAAGUCCUUUUAUCCCUGGAAGAUUAAUUUUCGAUAAUGCUCUUAUCGCUUUUGAAUGUAUGCACUCGUUGAAUAAGUUGAAAGAUUCUCAUGGUGAAUAUUGUGCAUAUAAGGCGGAUCUCGCUAAGGCAUAUGACCGUGUGGACUGGAAUUUCUUGGAAAGUAUGCUUAGAGCGUAUGGUUUUGCUCCUAUUUGUAUUAAGUGGAUUGUGACAUGUGUGUUUCAAUGGCUAGCUGCUAGAGUUUUUUCAUCCUUCGUGUGGGCUUAGGCAGGGGGGGUCUAUUAUCGCUUUACUUAUUCCUCUUUGUGGUUGAAGCCCUUUCGUUGUUACUAAAUGAUGCAUUGACAAGAUGGGUUAUCCAAGAUAUCCAGCUGAACAGACAUGCUCCAGGUAUCUCCCAUUUAUUAUUUGAUGAUGAUAGUCUCUUAUUUUUUAAGGGUUAUGUGGAGCAUGUUUUAGCCCUUAAAGGUAGUUUGACGGCUUAUUUUGACAUCAUUUAUCUUAAUUUUACUUCAUCCUUGUUGUCUAAUUGUAUGGCUAGGGUUUUCAAAGUUAAGGGUAUUACAUUUGGGGAUUGAAUUGUUGCGAUUUGACAAUUUCUUUGGGUGAUUCACAUCUAUUUGAAUUAUUUAUCGACCACGCUUGAAGCCAGUAAGAUAGAACGAUGAAUAAGCUUAACUUGGUAACCGUACGGAUUAAUCAAUAUGCUUUUAUUUAGUGUUUUGAUUAUUACAAUGUAAGCAUUAUUACACAAUAUGUUGUUUUGUUUAUUUUGUAUGCAAUCAAGAUCUAUUGUCUUAUGUUCCGUUGCUGAUCAUAUUUGUUUUAUUGGUUCGAGUUUCUUAUGCUUUAUUGUUCAAUUUUACAUGAUCAACUAGUAUUGCAAGUGUCCCCACAUAAAAAACUAGUAUUUCAAGUGAAACACUUAAUUUUGGUUAAAUUUCUUAGCGACUUGUCAUUAGCUUUGACAACUCUUGUUAUUAGCUUUCCAUCAAGCUUGAUUUUGGUAAAAUCAGAGUUCAUUUGCAGGAGUUAUGGCAGAUUUGGUCUUACAUGUUUUCCUCAUCCGGUUGUACCGCUCGUGGGCGAGGUUGUAUCGGAAUGGCUAGUAAUUCCGGUGCAACCACUUCCCGAUGGGUGAUUCCCUCAGGUGAAUAGUGCUCUAGGUAGUGGUAAAGUGGUCAUACCGCUGUCUCUCUCGAUGUUGUAACCGCCACGGGCCUUGCCACUACACGAGUACUAGGCGGUGGUUGUACUAGGCCAAGUAUCACCCCAACCACCGGAGCUGGGUGACUUCGUUCUGAUGGGUGGGUGGUGGUUGGCGGUGGUGGCUCGGUUGUUACAGAUGGCAUGUCCACACCGGUACAACGGGUGGUCCUGGAGCGGUUCUAUCGCCCAUGACUUAACCAUCGUACGGGAUUUGGCCCGACGGUUGUACCGGCCCUAGUACCAACACUUGUACCACUAGCGGGUGACACUGUUCGGGUACCAGUGCGUUACUUGACGAUGAUUGUCCGGUUAUCGCAGCUGAGAUUCACUCAGUGGUACUACCGUCAGCUUCUAUGGUUGUACCGCCUGGUAUCCUGCAACUCGGAAACUGCAGAAAGCGGUUGUACCGGUCAUUGGACCAGUUGCACCGCUCCUGUGUAAAUCUGCAACAUAACAGGGAGAUUCGUCGGGGCCUAUAAAAGGGGGUCUUCUUCCCCAUUGCCUCCAAUGUUUUUUUGGCAAGUUUUUCCUCACCAUUCUUGACCUCCUCGAGCUUGCUUUAUCUCUAUUCCUUCCAUAAUCUAGAUAUAUAUUUUCGCCAAUCCAUCUCUCCUAUAAACGAGGGGACCCUUUUGAUCUAGAUCUUGGAGUUCUUUUAUGUUGGCCUUGUUCUUCCUCUCAUAUUCCUCCAUAGCUUUUGUUGCUUUGGUAGAAUUUGAAAGUGAGGGACUUGACCACUUCAUAUGUUCUUGCAAUUGCAUUAGUUGCAUCGGUUUGAGUUCUCCACGGUGAUACAUGGAAGUGGAAGGUUGAGAAGCUUAUUACUUUUUGGUGUUUGAGCACCCUAGAGCUUCUACCUCUUGGGUGCUUGGACACCCUAGACGGUUGGUGGUGUCGCGAAGCUCAAUUAUUGUGGCGUAAAGCUCUGUACAAGUUUUGGGGUCUCCGAUUAAGUUAUGGAUAUUGCCCGAGAAAUUUGUACGAGUUCAAUGACCGCCCCAAGCAUUGCCAAUUGUAAGGGUUCGGUGACCGCCCCAAGGGUCACUGUUUGUAUGGGUCAGGUGACCGCCCUCAAGGCCUAAUGGAAUCACGACACCUUGCAUUAUGUGAGGGAGUGAGGAGAAUAUGGUGAUACUAGUGGUAUUUUCGGAAGCAUUGUGUCUCUCACCACUCUAAUGGAGAUUAGCAUCAGCAAGGAUAUAAACUUUGCGAUACAUCGUCGUCUUCACGUGGCUCGGUUAUCUUUUACCCGAUCCCUUUACUUAUGCACUUACUUUGUGAUAACUAUAGUGAUUCAUGGUACAUAUCUUGGCCGGGGACGAAUACGAGAUCAUUGAAUUUCUUGACACCUACCAAAAGAUUGAAAACAAUGCUUCACACUAUCAGAUCCGUCAUGAUCUUGUUGAGCAUCAGUGGCAACUCUAUGGAAGAUAGACUCUCAUUUUAAUUUGAACAAUUUGUUGUUGUAUUUGUGUGAUAUUUGAACAAUUUGUUAUUGUAUUUUUGUGAGAUUCAAACAAUUUGUUAUUGUAAUAACUAUUUGAAUUUCAACAUUUGUUGUAAUAAAGAUGAUUGUUCUAUUGUGAAUUGCCCUUCGGAUCAUUUCAUUAUUUUAUAUUGUGAUUCUAUUCGGUUUGUAUCGUCGAAAAUCAAGAAUUUGCAAAUCUCUGAAAAAUUUGUAGUAUUGCGAGGCCUUUGAUAGGGAACAGAUCCUUUAAACUCGCCCCGUAGAAAAUUAGCGGUACAAGUAUACACGACCUAUUCCGCCGAAGGUCUCACGGUUCCGUGAUUUUUUUAUAGGUCUCUCGUAAAUGACUUUUGUGAGACGUAGCGUAACCAGAUCUGCUAGGAUGUGUUCAAUUGUCAUUCGUGAAGUUGCAUGCACUGCAUGUGUUGGUGAGUUGGGCAUGGCUGAGUGGAAACACGGUAAAACCAAUAUGUGCACCUCGAUUUGUUGUUCGCAUUGUGCAUUAGGGGAUAGGUUUUGGAACGGUGUUUGGUGUCAUGCAUUGUAUCGGCACAUGUAAUUACACGGUGUUUGGUUGUAUAGACGUGAUAUGAUUAAGAGUUAAUAGUUACACAUAACAAACACUGUUACACAGUGCCAUGGCGAUUGCGAUGGACGAUGGUGGCGAUGAAGCGGUUCGGUGGUGUUGGGUUUGCGCUCGGCUGUGGCUGCAAGGACCCAAGGCCAUGACGGCCACGACAACAGGGGCGGCCUCCUCGUCCCCGCGCUCUGGCACAAAUACGUCAACAGUGACCACGACCACGUCAUGCAGGGCGGGGACUCACCGGUCGGCAUCGACGUCCAUGGGCACGCUCACCAUGCCCUUCGCCCCCUCCUCCUUCCUAUGGGAGGAUGACGACACCAACGAGGCAGCUGCACCUUCUCGUCGGCGUCGUACCCGAGCACCAAUGUGCGGCCCAGCGAGAUGCACACCGCCAUCAGCUCGAACCGGGAGCUCCCGCUCAUGUGCAUCAAGCAGGGGCUGAGUGGCACCGAGGCGCAGAUCCGACUUGCCAUCUUCACGACCAACAAGCUGAAGGAGAAGACAGAGAGUAAGUUGCUCAAGUCUCUUGGCUUCAUGUGAAACCCGUUGGAGCCGCUCCAGAACACGGAGACCGAGGAGGAUAAAUCAAAGAACAAAGAGGAUGAGAAGCGCUCGUUGACACCACAUCUGAAGCAUUUAGGGUCGAAGAAACUACGAAUCGGUCGGAACCAUAACAUCGCUGUGCAUCUUUUCGUCUAGAGUUUAUUUCGAACUGAAACAUCGUUGUGUAGAUUAGGAGGGACAAGGAAGAAAGGGGUUAGGGAGGAGCUUAAUGAAGGUAGAAGAAGAUAGCACGUACAGACUCUAUACUAGCUCCGCGGAAAUUGUCGAUUUAAGCGUUUCCAAUAGGCCUGACUGGAAGUUGCUUUAAUGUUCGUGUCAUGCGGGCCAAAUAGUGAACACUACCAAACAAUUCAUUUCCACCCCCUGGAGAUUUUUUUAACACUGUCCCUUAGGUCCCGAUUCAUUAAAAAGAUUGAGGAGAAUUGUUUGGUUAACUAUUGGAAAACCGAAAGAAAACCGUCACAACAUGCCAGCAAAAACAUGGCACAAAGGGCGACCUCGCAACCCACACAGAAGCGCACACAAACCGCUAUGGAGAAAAGAUCAUCAAGGCUGCAACCCGAUGUCAUCGUCAUCACGCCUCCACGAGGGCGACUCUGACUCCACCAUCGACGACCAUCGAAGAAGCCCUCACCGCGGACAAGCGUCGAGGCCCGCGUCGGUCAAAGCCAAACAAUCAGCCACACGCGCCGCCGACUAGGCAGCUCCGACUCUUUCGAUGAGCAUUGUCGGGGAAAACCGUUGGGCUUGCGCCGAGCCAGCGCCAAAGCCGACCACCCGUAUCGUAUCAUCUUCAUUGCAAGGGACCCUCCUCAACAGCUCUGACUUCAUGAAGACAAAAGCGAGGCACAGCGAUCCCUCGAACAUGCUGGAAGAGACCGACUACCAAGAACCAUCAGCAAGCCAGCUCUGCCUGAAGCCAAAAUUCUUGCCACACAAGAAGCCGCGCAGAACAAACACAUCGCCAGACGAGCACCUGCCUACUGCAAUGCCGCGAGUGUCCAGACCAUGGAGCGUGCAAACGGGAUCCGGAGCUCUUCAAGACGAUGCCCCAAGGAGGGAAGCGACGAUGUCGACACCGUCGCUCGACCCUGACGGGCCUUAGGCUUUCACCCGAAGACGAGAUCCGAGGGUGUGGAGGAUACGGGGCUCCACAAUGAUGCCUGCAAGAAGGUUAUUCGACGCCCACAGACGCUGACGCCGUCGGCCCGAGACCGGGCAAGCUUUCGCUGGGAGCAAUCCAACACCAGAGCCACCCCCACGCACAACACCUCCGCUGACCCACCCCCUCUCGCAGAGCCACUACGUCGGAAGCACUGGAGAGCCACCGAGCUACACCCAUCCCCGUCGACCAUACAUCGACGAGCCAGAUCCGGCCAGAUCUGGAAUCCCACCACCGCAAGGCCAACGGGAGCCAACAAGGCUAGCGCGCAACCGGCCCGCGCGAGGACACGCCCACGGAGCAGUGAGGGGGCGAACCCGCCUCUACAUGCUGAAGAAGAGCGCGUUACUUGACGAUGAUUGUCCGGUUAUCGCAGCUGAGAUUCACUCAGUGGUACUACCGUCAGCUUCUAUGGUUGUACCGCCUGGUAUCCUGCAACUCGGAAACUGCAGAAAGCGGUUGUACCGGUCAUUGGACCAGUUGCACCGCUCCUGUGUAAAUCUGCAACAUAACAGGGAGAUUCGUCGGGGCCUAUAAAAGGGGGUCUUCUUCCCCAUUGCCUCCAAUGUUUUUUUGGCAAGUUUUUCCUCACCAUUCUUGACCUCCUCGAGCUUGCUUUCUCUCCAUUCCUUCUAUAAUCUAGAUAUAUAUUUUCGCCAAUCCAUCUCUCCUAUAAAUGAGGGGACCCUUUUGAUCUAGAUCUUAGAGUUCUUUUAUGUUGGCCUUGUUCUUCCUCUCAUAUACCUCCAUAGCUUUUGUUGCUUUGGUGGAAUUUGAAAGUGAGGGACUUGACCACUUCAUAUAUUCUUGCAAUUGCAUUUGUUGCACCGAUUUGAGUUCUCCACGGUGAUAAUGGAAGUGGAAGGUUGAGAAGCUUAUUACUUUUUGGUGUUUGAGCACCCUAGAGCUUCUACCUCUUGGGUGCUUGGACACCCUAGACGGUUGGUGGUGUCGCGAAGCUCAAUUAUUGUGGCGUAAAGCUCUGUACAAGUUUUGGGGUCUCCGAUUAAGUUAUGGAUAUUGCCCGAGAAAUUUGUACAAGUUCAAUGACCGCCCCAAGCAUUGCCAAUUGUAAGGGUUCGGUGACCGCCCCAAGGGUAACUGUUUGUAUGGGUCAGGUGACCGCCCUCAAGGCCUAAUGGAAUCACGACACCUUGCAUUAUGUGAGGGAGUGAGGAGAAUAUGGUGAUACUAGGGGUAUUUUCGGAAGCAUUGUGUCUCUCACCACUCUAAUGGAGAUUAGCAUCAGCAAGGAUAUAAACUUUGCGAUACAUCGUCGUCUUCGCGUGGCUCGGUUAUCUUUUACCCGAUCCCUUUACUUAUGCACUUACUUUGUGAUAACUAUAGUGAUUCAUGGUACAUAUCUUGGUCGGGGACGAAUACGAGAUCAUUGAAUUUCUUGACACCUACCAAAAGAUUGAAAACAAUGCUUCACACUAUCAAAUCCGUCAUGAUCUUGUUGAGCAUCAGUGGCAACUCUAUGGAAGAUAGACUCUCAUUUUAAUUUGAACAAUUUGUUGUUGUAUUUGUGUCAUAUUUGAACAAUUUGUUAUUGUAUUUUUGUGAGAUUCAAACAAUUUGUUAUUGUAAUAACUAUUUGAAUUUGAACAUUUGCUGUAAUAAAGAUGAUUGUUCUAUUGUGAAUUGCCCUUCGGAUCAUUUGAUUAUUUGAUAUUGUGAUUCUAUUCGGUUUAUAUCGUCGAAAAUCAAGAAUUUGCAAAUCUCUGAAAAAUUGUAGUAUUGCGACGCCUCUGAUAGGGAACAGAUCCUUUAAACUCGCCCCGUAGAAAAUUAGCGGUACAAGUAUACACGACCUAUUCCGCCGAAGGUCUCACGGUUCCGUGAUUUUUUUAUAGGUCUCUCGUAAAUGACUUUUGUGAGACGUAGCGUAACCAGAUCUGCUAGGAUGUGUUCAAUUGUCAUUCGUGAAGUUGCAUGCACUGCAUGUGUUGGUGAGUUGGGCAUGGCUGAGUGGAAACACGGUAAAACCAAUAUGUGCACCUCGAUUUGUUGUUCGCAUUGUGCAUUAGGGGAUAGGUUUUGGAACGGUGUUUGGUGUCAUGCAUUGUAUCGGCACAUGUAAUUACACGGUGUUUGGUUGUAUACACGUGAUAUGAUUAAGAGUUAAUAGUUACACAUAACAAACACUGUUACACAGUGCCAUGGCGAUUGCGAUGGACGAUGGUGGCGAUGAAGCGGUUCGGUGGUGUUGGGUUUGCGCUCGGCUGCGGCUGCAAGGACCCAAGGCCAUGACGGCCACGACAACAGGGGCGGCCUCCUCGUCCCCGCGCUCUGGCACAAAUACGUCAACAGUGACCACGACCACGUCAUGCAGGGCGGGGACUCACCGGUCGGCAUCGACGUCCAUGGGCACGCUCACCAUGCCCUUCGCCCCCUUCUCCUUCCUAUGGGAGGAUGACGACACCAACAAGGCAGCUGCACCUUCUCGUCGGCGUCGUACCCGAGCACCAAUGUGCGGCCCAGCGAGAUGCACACCGCCAUCAGCUCGAACCGGGAGCUCCCGCUCAUGUGCAUCAAGCAGGGGCUGAGUGGCACCGAGGCGCAGAUCCGACUUGCCAUCUUCACGACCAACAAGCUGAAGGAGAAGACAGAGAGUAAGUUGCUCAAGUCUCUUGGCUUCAUGUGAAACCCGUUGGAGCCGCUCCAGAACACGGAGACCGAGGAGGAUAAAUCAAAGAACAAAGAGGAUGAGAAGCGCUCGUUGACACCACAUCUGAAGCAUUUAGGGUCGAAGAAACUACGAAUCGGUCGGAACCAUAACAUCGCUGUGCAUCUUUUCGUCUAGAGUUUAUUUUGAACUGAAACAUCGUUGUGUAGAUUAGGAGGGACAAGGAAGAAAGGGGUUAGGGAGGAGCUUAAUGAAGGUAGAAGAAGAUAGCACGUACAGACUCUAUACUAGCUCCGCGGAAAUUGUCGAUUUAAGCGUUUCCAAUAGGCCUGACUGGAAGUUGCUUUAAUGUUCGUGUCAUGCGGGCCAAAUAGUGAACACUACCAAACAAUUCAUUUCCACCCCCUGGAGAUUUUUUUAACACUGUCCCUUAGGUCCCGAUUCAUUAAAAAGAUUGAGGAGAAUUGUUUGGUUAACUAUUGGAAAACCGAAAGAAAACCGUCACAACAUGCCAGCAAAAACAUGGCACAAAGGGCGACCUCGCAACCCACACAGAAGCGCACACAAACCGCUAUGGAGAAAAGAUCAUCAAGGCUGCAACCCGAUGUCAUCGUCAUCACGCCUCCACGAGGGCGACUCUGACUCCACCAUCGACGACCAUCGAAGAAGCCCUCACCGCGGACAAGCGUCGAGGCCCGCGUCGGUCAAAGCCAAACAAUCAGCCACACGCGCCGCCGACUAGGCAGCUCCGACUCUUUCGAUGAGCAUUGUCGGGGAAAACCGUUGGGCUUGCGCCGAGCCAGCGCCAAAGCCGACCACCCGUAUCGUAUCAUCUUCAUUGCAAGGGACCCUCCUCAACAGCUCUGACUUCAUGAAGACAAAAGCGAGGCACAGCGAUCCCUCGAACAUGCUGGAAGAGACCGACUACCAAGAACCAUCAGCAAGCCAGCUCUGCCUGAAGCCAAAAUUCUUGCCACACAAGAAGCCGCGCAGAACAAACACAUCGCCAGACGAGCACCUGCCUACUGCAAUGCCGCGAGUGUCCAGACCAUGGAGCGUGCAAACGGGAUCCGGAGCUCUUCAAGACGAUGCCCCAAGGAGGGAAGCGACGAUGUCGACACCGUCGCUCGACCCUGACGGGCCUUAGGCUUUCACCCGAAGACGAGAUCCGAGGGUGUGGAGGAUACGGGGCUCCACAAUGAUGCCUGCAAGAAGGUUAUUCGACGCCCACAGACGCUGACGCCGUCGGCCCGAGACCGGGCAAGCUUUCGCUGGGAGCAAUCCAACACCAGAGCCACCCCCACGCACAACACCUCCGCUGACCCACCCCCUCUCGCAGAGCCACUACGUCGGAAGCACUGGAGAGCCACCGAGCUACACCCAUCCCCGUCGACCAUACAUCGACGAGCCAGAUCCGGCCAGAUCUGGAAUCCCACCACCGCAAGGCCAACGGGAGCCAACAAGGCUAGCGCGCAACCGGCCCGCGCGAGGACACGCCCACGGAGCAGUGAGGGGGCGAACCCGCCUCUACAUGCUGAANNNNNNNNNNNNNNNNNNNNNNNNNNNNNNNNAGCGGUUGGCCAGAAGACCAGAGCCCGCCGACGAAGAUGCCACAGCUGCCACCCUCGAGAGCCACUGCUCGGAGCCGUCGCGCCGUAGAAAAACAACUGGGAAAAGCCCAGCUGGCCCCCGACAAAGUAAAUGCAUCGCCUGGAUCCGGCACGCCACAGAAGGGAUCGAGCCUCCCCACCCCGAGCUCCCGCGGUCGGACGGGAUGUUCUAAGGUGGUAAAAAACUUCUAUACUCAAGGCAAAGACUUCAAUGUUAUCCCUAACAUGGCAUGUAGUAGUAGCAAACACUAUCUAGGUGAUCGUUGUCCUAUGCUCUCAAAGCUAGGCAUUCUGAAUAUCAAACAUCGUAAAAUCAUAUUUGUAAAUUGUGUGCUUGAGAUCGAUGAUGAACGCGCCUUUGGCGCAACCACUUUGUUAAAAGAAAAAAGUAGUAGUACACAGUGUUCAAGAAUUGAUUCGAUUAAUCAGUUAAUUGGUCGGUAAAUUAUUAUUUCAGAGGUGGGCCGAAUCGAACAACACAUAUUCAUCGUGUUAACUUGUCAAGCUGAUUACAUGGCAUGUCACACCGAUUAAAUGGUUUCUUAGACUGAUUAAUCGGUUUUUAGUCUGAUUAAUCGAUGUUGGCUCGCUAACUCAUGGGCAAACAAAGAUAGGUUAUUUGUCCUAUAAACCCUCUAAGCCCCACCUGCUUCUAAAGAGCUAGGAUUUACCCCUCCACUCGCCCCUCCCGCUCCUCCCAUCUUUUCCCGACCGAGGUGGCGGUUGUCAGGGUCCUCGUCGGCGCGUCGCUGCUUCUCCUUCUCCCCUGUGUGUCACUGCUUUCUCUUCUUCCUCUGCAUGCUACUAUUUUCGCUCCUGCUUAGCGACCUACCACCUCCAGCAACCGACCCCUUUUAGAGCCAUAAGUUUUCAUCGUCACCUUUUCUUUGUCUGCCGCUGUCGCGUGGCCCCAUCUCUUGGAGUUGCGGGCUAGGUGGAAACUAGCACAAAAGUGUUAUUGUAUACAUGUGUGUUGAUGAUUUUUAUGCCCACAUGGAUGAUUAUUAUUGUACACAUUUUUGUCAUCGAUUGAGAAAAAAAAGUGUCAACUACUUCAUAUUUGCAAUGUUGAUUCUUUUACCAUACAAAAUUUGCUUCUAUUGAGUUUUAAAUUACACUAAUUAAUGAUCAACCAAUUAAUCCAGUUAAAUAGACCGACUUAAGAUUAAUCUCUACUUCCAAUCCGAGCGAACAUCUAUGAGAUAACGAUUUCCUCAACAACAUUGGUAGUACGUACAGGUAUCUGAUAGAUCCUACAGAUCGACUAGGGUAGAUGGGUCACGGUAGAUCACAUGUAAUUACCUUGUCCGGAGCCGACCGUUCUCCAUCGGUGUGGUGGUGACGGCGGUGAUGGAGAAAGGGGGUUAGGCAUGGGUGGAGCUUCCCAUGAGCACCGCGCUUAACCUAGAUCGGAUAGGUGUGUCGGUAGGGGUGUGACGGCGGCGAAUCUCGUAGUUCGUGCCCCGGCACCCCACCGUCCUUUAUAUAGCGCGGGUCACAGGGGCCCACCAACCAUAAUGGGUUGGGCGCCCCCGAUCAGGGCACAUAGAUCAAGGCCCGGUGGGCCGUUGGGCCCACGCGAUGAGAGAUCAACCUAACAUUCUCCCCCUUGAUCUCGACUUUUACUUUUGACUUUAUACUUGUCAUUUGUCCCAUCACAUAUAAGCAUGUAGAGCAUGUCUCAUCGUCACAACUCAAUUGCUGAUAGAAUCAUACAGCUACAACACACUUUUGUUUUAAAACAAAUUCAUUUACUUUUGGGCCUCUUUUAAUCCAGGAAUCAUAGGCUUUCCAACAAACCCAUGUCGGCUAAGUGUUCCUUGAACACACUGGGUGGUAAGCCUUUCGUUAGCGGAUCCGCAAGCAUAUACCAUGUACUUAUAUGCUCGAGACUUAUAGUUUGAUCCUGGAUUUUAUCUUUCACAAUGUAAUACUUUAUAUCUAUCGUCUUGGAAGCAUUACUAGACUUGUUGUUGUGAGCAUAGAAUACUACGGGCUGGUUGUCACAGUAUAUCUUUACUGGCUUGUGAAUACAAUCCACCACUUUCAAAUCGGGUAUGAAUUUCUUUAACCAUAUCACCUGCCCGGUGGCUUCAAAACAUGCUAUGAACUCUGCUUGCAUCGUGGACGAUGCAACUAUGGUCUGUUUGGAGCUUUUCCAUGAAAUAGCCCCCCCUGCGAGAGUGAACACGUACCCACACGUGGAUUUUCUAUCAUCUCUAUCUCCCGCAAAAUCUGCGUCUGAGUACCCUUUUAUCUCUAGGGACUCAGAUCUCGUGUAUGUUAGCAUGAUUUCUUUUGUGCCUUGCACAUAACGCAGAGCUUUCUUUGCCAUCUUCCAGUGCUCUUGGCCUGGAUUUGCUUGAUAUCUACCGAGUACCCCGGUGAUAAAUGCCAAGUCAGGGCGUGUGCACACUUGUGCAUACUGUAAACUUCCAACAGCCGAAGUAUACGGUAUUGUUUUCAUUUCAUCGAGCUGGUACUUAUUCUUGGGACAUUAGUGAUUCCCAAAACUAUCACCCUUGACUAUUGGAGCAGGCGUGGCUUUACAUUUGUGCAUAUUAUACUUUUGGAGAACUUUCUCUAAAUAUGCUUUCUGUGAAAGUCCUAAGACUCCAUUUUUCCUGUCUCGGUGAAUUUCAAUGCCCAAAACAUAUGAUGCAUCGCCAAGGUCUUUCAUGUCAAAGUUCGAGGAUAAAAACUUAUUUGUCUCUUGUAGUAAACUAAUACCAUUGCUUGCAAGCAAGAUAUCAUCCACAUACAAGAUUAGGAAAAUAUAUUUCCCAUGUUUAAACUUUGCAUAAAUGCAAUUAUCCUCAACAUUUUCUUGAAAUCCAAACCUUUUAAUAGUAUCAUUAAACUUUAUGUACCACUGUCUAGAGGCUUGUCUUAGCCCAUAAAUGGAUUUCUUUAGGCGGCAUCCCAUGUUUUCCUUGCCUUCCAUGAUAAAACCCUUGGGUUGUUUAAUGUAGACAUCUUCUUCUAAAUCUCCGUUUAGAAAUGUCGUCUUUACAUCCAUUUGAUGCAGCUCUAAAUCAAAAUGAGCAACUAGUGCCAUUAUGAUUCUGAAGGAAUCCUUACAAGAGACUGGAGAAAAAGUCUCAUUGUAAUCUAUUCCUUCUCUUUGCGUGAAUCCUUUUGCCACAAGUCGGGAUUUAUACUUAUCAACAUUCCCAUUAGAGUCAUACUUCGUUUUGUAUACCCAUUUGCAGCCUACUGUCUUUGCUCCUUUAGGAAUGAUCUCUAAGUCCCAAACAUUAUUGGAACUCAUCGAUUUCAUUCUCUAAGUCCCAAACAUUAUUGGAACUCAUCGAUUUCAUCUCAUCUUCCAUUGCCUCUAGCCAUUUUGGUGAGUGAGGGCUUUUAAUGGCUUCUUCGUAUGUGGUGGGAUCACCAUCCAUAUGAACCAUUUCCGUGUUAUAGACUUUAUAAUCAGUAGAAAUAGCAGGUCUUCUUGUUCUAUCAGACCUUCUAAGUGCCUCAUUGUCUGGCACACUUUUUACUUUUUCUUGCUGCAAUUCCCUUGUAUGAUCAACAACGGGUUCGGUCGGCUCCUGAAGGACAGGUUCUGGGUCUUCUUCCAUAGUUGUCAUCGUUGGAGUCAUAGCUGGUAGCGAGAAAAAUGGCUCUUGAAUCAUCGGAAUGGGUGCAUGCACCCUUUUCUCCUCAAGAUCAAUUUUUCGAGCUACCAUGCUCCCCCUCAUCAUUUGUCUUCUAAGAAGACAGCAUGUCUCGUUUCUACAAACUUUGUGAAUCUGUCUGGACAGUAGAAACGAAAACCUUUUGAUCUAUCAGGGUAGCCAAUGAAAUGGCAACUCACUGUCUUUGGAUCUAACUUUCCAAUGUUUGGAUUAAACAUUUUGGCCUCAGCUGGACAUCCCCACACUCUGAAGUGUUGCAGGGAUGCCACUCUUCCUGUCCACAGCUCGUGCGGUGUUUUGGGCACCGACUUGCUUGGUACUCUGUUGAGAAUGUGAAUGGCGGUUUUAAGCGCUUCCAUCCACAAUCCCAAUGGCAUGUCGGAGUAGCUCAUCAUGUCGCGCACCAUAUCCAUGAGGGUACGGUUGCGCCUUUCAGCUACUCCAUUUUGCUGAGGCUCGCCCGACAUUGAAUACUGGGUGACAAUGCCAGUCUCCUGCAAGAACUUUGCAAAAGGUCCAGGGACUUGGCCAUAUGGUGUGUGUCGACCGUAGUACUCCCCCCACGGUUGGACCUCACAAUCUUAAUCUUUUUGUCAAGCUGAUUUUCAACUUCAGCUUUGAAUAUCUUGAAUUUAUCCAAUGCCUCAUUUCUUUCUUUGAUUGGAUAAAUGUAACCGAAGCGGGAGUAAUCGUCUGUGAAUGUUAUGAAUGAAUCAUAACCAUCCACACUUUUCAUAGGAAACGGUCCACAAAUAUCAGUGUGGAUUAUUUCCAGUGUUCCCGUGCUUCGGUUUGCACCUUUCUUUAUCUGUUUUACAUAUUUUCCUUUAAUGCAAUCUACGCAUUGCUCUAAGUCAGAGUACUCCAAUUUUGGAAGAAUUUCGCUUUUGAUUAACCUUUCUAUUCUCCCCCUGGAAAUAUGGCCCAAUCGACAGUGCCAUAGUUUUGAGGAGUUGUGAGUUCUCUUUCUUUUCUUUUGCUCGUUGUUCGACGAAGAACUUGGCACAUUCACAUUAUUUGCAUAAUUCACUUUAUCAUGAAUUGAUAACAAAUAAAGCUUAUCAUGAAGAAAGGCAUUGCCUACAUAAUCAUUAUUGUAUCACACGGUACAUUUACCAUGUCCAAAAACACAUUGAUAAUUGUCUUUGUCUAAGCACGACACACUUAUUAAGUUCCUAUUACAUGAAGGCACAAAAAGAACAUCACUAAGCAGAAGCGUGAAUCCUUCGGUUAGCUCCAAGGAGACGUCACCUACAGCUUCAACUUCUGCUUGGACACCAUUCGCGACUUCAAUACUUCUUUCGUUUUGGCACAUGAUCCUCGUCGAACUGAAACCCUGUAAAGAGUUUGCAACAUGAACAGUUGCACCUGAGUGAAUCCACUAAGUAGAUUUUGAAAACUUUACAUACAGAGAUUCAUUUACUAAGGAAACAAUAAAGUUACUUCUCUUUGCCAUGAAGACCUUUAGCCAGGCAGCACAGUCCUUCUUGUAGUGCCCGGUUUUCUUGUAGUACAUACAAGUGUCCUUGUCUACUGUUAUUGGCUUUGGCUGAUAAUAGACGGGAGCCUUGCCUUGGAGCUUGUUCUGUGGUUGGAGGGAGAAUUCAGAUUAGGUGGGAAAACCUUUUUCUUUUCCUUCACAUAGUUAAGGGAGACACCAUGUGAAGCCUUAAUCCUCUCCUCCUCUUGUGAGCACAUUGCGAUGACCUUUUCAAUAUCCCAAGUCUCGGGCUGCAUGUUGUAGUUGACUACAAAGGUCUCGAACUCCUUAGGCAACGAAGCCAUGACCAGGUGGACGAGGAGAGUUGGCUUAAUCUCCAAGUCCGCGUCCAUCGGCUUAAGCUUGGCUGCGGUGUUGCUCAUCCUGAGGAUGUGCUCCCUUAUGCCAUGCCCACCUCCAUUAUAGCUCUCUGUCACCAGUUGUUUGAUCAAGUGGGUGGCAUAGGUCUUAGAAGAGCCACUAAACUGACUCUUUAUCUUGUUGAGCAUCUCCUUUGCGGUAGGGCACUCUGCUACCGAGCCCAAGAUAGUGGUCUCAAUAGUGUUCUUAAUAAACGCCAAACAUUUCUUGUUGGCAUUUAUCCAUAACCUAUUACGUAUAGAGUAGGACAUGUCCUCUUUGCCACAAUCCCAUUGCUUUUUCUCCCAGCUUUCAUCAUCCUCGUCAGCAUCUCUGACUGGUUCUGUUGGUGCAACUGGUUGUGGUUCCUCCAGAACCCAGUCCACCUCAGUAAUGCACAAAGCCAUAUCAACCUUCUUUCUCCACUCAGAGUAAUUAUUCCCUCUAAGCGUGGGAACAUCCUUGAGGCAGCUCAUCAGAUGAAAACCACCUACAAUCACCAAAUGAACGAAAUCAGUAUGACAAUUAUAUGCAUUAAAUAACGUUGGUUAAAAUAAUCAUACAAUUGUCCAUGCAAAUAAAUCCACAUUACCAUUGGGCAAAUGAUAGAAAUAAAAGCAUCCUUUGGCAAUAUGCAACAUGACCAUGUCAUUAAUCAACGUCGGUCAGAAUAAUAGCAUGACCAUAUUCCAUAUUGCAUAUAGCAGCGGAAAGCGUGAAAUAAAAAAUCAUAUGCCAUUUUAACUUUGCAGAAAAUUAAUUCUGUUAUUUAAAAUAAAAUUCGUGAACUUUAUAACUCAGUUAAUAAAGAUCACUUAUUUUUCCUUCUCUGAAAAACUAUUUUAUUCUCAGAAAUCUUUUUUACUUUUCUUUUCAGAAAAAUAAAAUAACAAUUCUGUCAUAAUUGACAGAAAUUUGAACAUUUUCUAAUCAUGUUUUCAUAGGAAAUUUUUUUCCUAGAAAAAACUUUUUAAAUAUGCCUAAAGACAGAACCUGAAAAUCCUUUAAAUAAAGGAAAAUGGCCGAGGCCUCUUUCUCCCUUGGGCCGGCUUCGGCCUGGCGCCUCCUCCCGCCGGCCCGCUCGGUUCGGCCUGGGGCCACCUGCCGCGGCACGACGCUGCUCACUGUAGGCGGGCCGGCCUUCAGCCAUGGCCUGGCAGGCCCAACUGGCCCGACACUGCCUAGGGUUAGCACAAGGGGGGAUCCCAGCCGUCCAGAUGGAUCCGACGGUCCCCCGUGCUCCUCGCUAUGAACAAAAGGGGUGAACCCGGCUAGAGGGAGAAACCCUAAGGCAUUUCCCCCCAGCCCGCCGCUCUCCCUCUCGGAUAUCUCGUCCCCGUCGCCCUGGCCUACCGAGCACGUCGCCCACCCCGCUCGCGAGAUGAGCCGCAGCUCCGGUCGCCGGUGUCGGCAACGAGAGCGGCCGCGCAUCUCGCGCUCGCCCUUCUUGCCUGCUCGCCUCGGCCUCUUUCUCUCCUGCGGAAUCUCGCCCCACGCGCUCUCUCCUCUGGCCGUGGCGGUUGCGAGGUGGAGGUGGCCGCCGGCCGUGGCGACCAUGGGUCCCGUGCCGCGCGUGCUUUGCACUCCACCCCCUUCCCAUGGCGGUUCCUUGAGUGACGUGGUGGCCGAGGCCUUUCUUUCUCCUGAGUCCGCCCCCUAUUACUGCUUGCCGGGGUCGUGGCCUUCCCCUCGUCGGCUGCGCACACACCUUGCGAUGGGUGCGCCGCCGUCGAGCGGUCCGCUGCGGCCCCUUCGUUUUCCUUUUCUUGUCUCAAGAGAGAGAGUGACGGCAUGACCGGGGCGGAAAGCAUCUUUAUUGCCACCCCCCUCGCCUGUGGCGCAUCCGCCUUGCGGCGGACGCGCCGCCGUCGAGGGAUUUGGUGAUGAAGUCCUAUGCCCCCGUGGGAAUCCUUGUUUUUCUUUGCAUGUUCCUCUCUCCCUUUCUUUUUUCUUUUCUUUUUCGGAUUCGAUCCGAUUUCCUUCUUUUCGAUUUCGUGUUGGAUUUUGAUCCGAACUUUGCCUCCGAGGAGGUAGGUAUUUCCCCACACCUCGGCUUGCUGAUGCGUGUGGGGAUCGAGAGGAACAGGCGCGGCCUUGCGGCGGCGCUUCUUUCCUGACGAGGCCCAAUACCAUCUUCGGUGCUUGCCCAUCUAGGGUUCAUGUGGGGAGGGAAAUUUUCCUCUUUGGUUUCUUUCACCGAAACACAUCUUAACCUAGUGGCUCAAGAUACCAUUGAUAGAUCCUACGGAUCGACUACGGUAGAUGGGUCACGGUAGAUCACAUGUAAUUACCUUGUCCGGAGCCGGAUGAGCCCGCACCGUUCUUCAUCGGUCUGGUGGCGACGACGGUGAUGGAGAAAGGAGGUUAGGCGUGGGUGAAGCUUCCCGUAAACACCGUGCUUAACCUAGAUCGGAUAGGUAUGUCGGUAGGGGUGUGACGACGACGAAUCUUGUAGUUCGUGCCCGACACCUCCACCGUCAUUUAUAUAACGCGGGUCACAGAGGCCCACCAACCAUAAUGGGUUGGGCGCCUCCGAUCAAGACGCAUAGAUCAAGGCCCGGUGGACCGUUGAGCCCAGAGAUCAAACCUAACAGUAUCGACCUGGGACGAAGAAAAGUAGACCAAACCAGAAACCACAUCGCAUACGAACACGACUCUAAACCACCCCAUACCCAGCCCGAAGCUACGUUUCCGCGACAAUAAACGGCGGCAGUCCAUCGAUUGCUGGACUACCGAACCGAACCAUGAUCCCAUCCAUGCGCCGCGCAAAGCGGCCGCGGCCCCUUGGCGAUCUCCCACGAAACUGGGCGGACCUCGGGGACGGGCCGGCCGGCCUGAUCGCCGAGCUCGCCCUCGCCAACGACGUGGCCGACUACGUCCGCUUCCGGGCCGUGUGCCGGCCGUGGCGCCGGUGCUCGCCGGACCCGUGCGCCGGCGGCCUGAACUAUCGCUUCCUCCCCCGCCGGUGGAUAAUGAUCGACAAGGCUGUUGCCGGGCCUCGCCGCCAUCGCUUCCUCAACGUAUCCACCGGCGAGCGCAUCCAUAUGGACAUAUUGGAGUUUGCCCAGCACAAGCUGCUCGCGCUCACCCCGGAAGGCCUCCUGCUGCUGCUCCACGAGCCCACCCUGGCCGCCCGCCUGCUCAACCCGCUCACGCGCCAGCUCACCGAUCUCCCGCCGGCGACCGCGCUCUUCACACCAGAGCAGCAUCGACAUAGGGCCUUAGGUUUCAAGACGGAGCUUGAUGUGACCGGCGUUGGCCUUUUUGUGGCGGCGGCAACGGCAGACGCGUCCACGGUGUCGGUGGCGAUCAGCUUCUGCCGUCCCAGGGUGAUCGCCGUCGCCAAGCCCGGCGACGAGAGCUGGACCGUCGUCGAGUACGACGAGCACAUGGAUUCGGCCCUGCCUUUUGCGGGCCGCUUCUACUGCGCCACCUGGAAGGGCGUCAUGGUGCUGGACAUGGGCUCAGAUGAGCAGCCGCCACGGCUCCAGAUGGUCGCCGACAGGAGGGAGGCCUUCUUCUUCGUCCAUAUGUCGGAGAGCCUCCACCUGGUGGACAACGGCGGGGAGCUGAUGCUGGUGCACCGGAGGAUGCGGCGCAACCACUACGUUGAGUUUCACAGGCAGUACGAUGCCUACAAGGUGGAUCUGGAAGCCGGGGCCCUGGUCCGGGCCAAGGGCUUCAACGGGCGCGCCGUGUUCAUCGGCAUGCACCGCGCGAUUUCCGUGUCAGCUCAGGCCACCUUUCUCUCUGUCAAAGCCGAUACGGUUUACAAAUGUGGCGUGCGGACGGAGGCGUACAAUAUCGCAGAUGGAAGCAGAUGCGGCCGGAUCACGGAUGCCGAGGUCAACUUUCUAGCCCACUGCAUCCAGGGCGUCGGCAAGCAACUUGCCUGAGCAAAGUCAACUUUUCUUUUCUACCAGAUGUGUGAUGUCCUUUCAUCAUACAUAAUAAAGUAGCAAAAUAGUAUGUUCUGUAAUACCCCUUCCGUCGAGUGCGGACGUUUGGAGCUCGGCCUCCAUGGAGGCCGAAAUUUUUAAAUAAUUCAAAAUUCAAAUUUUUUGGUUUCAAAAAAAUCUGAAAAAAAUAUGGAAGUAAAGAAGGAUGUUAUGCGUAUGUGUGCAAAAAUUUAGGAUGAAAUACCUUGAAAUACGAUCUGCACAAAAAAGACAAAUUCAUGACCUGAAAUGAUGAAUAGUGUCAUGUGUAAAAAAGCCUCAGAUUUGUCUUUUUUGCACAGCCCUCAUUUCAAUGUAUUUUUUUCUGAAAAUUUACACACAUGUGUGUUACGCCUUCACUUAUCCCUGUAUUUUUUUUCAUAAUUUUUUGAAAUGUAAAAAUAUGAAUUUUCAUGAAAUUUGAAUUUCAAAUUUAAAGGCCACCAUGGAGCUCGGCCACCAAAAGCAAUUUCCGCCCUUCCGUCCCAUAAUAUAAAAGAGCAUACAUAAAGUGAGUAUACAUGUAUAUAAAUUUAAGUCAAUUACAUCGAUGGUUAUAGAACUUGGCCUAAACGAUCACUUUAGUGCUAGAGGCUUUCGUAUAUAUGGAACUGGUAGAAAAGCUUGAUUUUGGGUAUGCAAAUACGGUACUAAGCACGUUUGUUCGCGUAAACGCGACGGUUUGCAUAGAAUUGUCAUGCAUUAUGUCUUUUAGCAGAACGUGCUCAUGGCCUAAAACAGACUUUAGUUAGUGUGGCCCAUUUUCAACCUGUUAGCCUUUUCAAAAUUUUAUUAAACAUUUGAGUUAUGAUUUCAAGUAAUAUACAUAUAAAUAAAGUAAAUACAUUAUUAAAACUUUCAUAUAAUUACAUAAAAUGUUGAGGCGUGCUAUGGGUCCACCGGCUAAUGCUUUUAAAAGAUCAACCGGGUCGCAAGCAGUCAAUUCUGCCGCAUCGAGCGGCCAGACAGGUUUUAUUGCAGAAUUCUUUCUGCAAUACACGCCUUGUUGCGGAACUAUUGGUUGCAAUUUUUUCCAACUAAGAACUUGUUGCAGAAAUAAUCUCCAACAGAAAUUUUGUUGAAAAAUAUAGAUCCGCCAUAGACCAUUGCAACAUCGCAUAUAUUUCAGAAGCAUAGCCUAUGUGCGUAAACAUUUCCAAUAAAGGAUGAUGUGUGCGGCCUCACUUUGACGCAUGUCAUGCAAAAAAAGGUGACGGAUGCGUCCGUCGCGAUCCGCCGGACAAUGAUAAGCAUUUUCCUAAAAUGUUCACCUAUUAAAUUAAUAAAAUGCAGAAAUAUAUAAAUUAUGAAUUAUAAUUUUUAUCUAAUUUUUAAAGUGUUUUCAUAUUAAUUAAAACUCUUAAAUGCAUUUCUAUAUGUAAUGAUAUUUAAAUGAAUUAUCAUAUGAGUUUUUUCAUGUUUUCAAUAAAAUAUUCUUCCCUUGGGAUGGGUAUAGCAUAUAAAAGCGUCCAUGCUAUAAAAAUGUUAAGUUGGUUUUAAAGUGUUCAUGUGUUCUUAAUAAUGUUUUCUGUGUUUUCUAAGAAAUAAAUAUACAUUGUUAAAUAAAUAUAAACAUAUGUAUGAAAAAACAAAUAUGGACAUAAUGUACCAUAAGACUGGAGUUCCUCCAAUGAAUACACAUUUAAAAUUAUAUAUGUAUAUUACGUAUAGUUAUAAUUUAUCAUUUUACAAACUUAACAAAAUGAUAAAAAACUAACAUGUUCAAAAUGGGGCGCACUAACUGAUGUCGUUUUAACCCACAAGAACAUUCUGUUGUAGUGACAAUCUAUUGGCAUUUCCUGUUUGGCGUCAGUUAAUGUACACUUUUGUUAACUGGUGCCUGUGGCGUUCGUAAAUGGGCCUGCCCAUCUAGGCGCCGGUUAACGAAUAGUUUUUGUAAAUUCUAUGAACUUUUCUAAAUAUCAAUGAACUUUUUAAAAAAUUUAACGUAUAUCUUUUAAGAUUGAUGAACUUUUCUCUGAAAAUCGGUGAACCAUUUCUAUAAUAUUAAAUUUUAUGAACUCGUCUGAUUAUGUAUGAAUUGUUUUGAAAUUUGAUCAACCUCUUUUUGAAAAUGGAUGAAUUUUUUAUCAAAAUUGAAGAACUUUUCUAAUAUUUACGAACUUUUUAUAAAAAUACAUGAACUUUUUCUGAAUUUCUAUGAACUUUUUUCAGAUUUAAUGAGUAUUUUAAAAUUUUAAUGAACUUUUUCCAACUUGAUUGAACUUUUUUUAAAAUUAAUGAACCUUUUUAAAGAUAUGAACUUUUUUUCAAAUGAAUGAACCUUUUUUUUAUAACUGUAAAGUUUUUUGAUUUCAUAUUUUUAUUUUCGUAACAAAUAGAAAUUCUGGACGUUUUUUCCUACUAGAUCAACAGAAAAAAAUAGACAAAAAAAACUGGACAGCAUGCCUCGUUUGGAAAGGCAGGCCUGUUUACCUUAUGUUGCUGGUUCUAUCCCCGCGACUGCAUCUCUUUUGUUGAAUUCAAUUAUUAAUUUAUGUGUUUUACCCAACGGAUCUAAUGUCUAUGUAUCCAUUUGUGACAAGUGGUGAAAUUCGGAUCAAGCUCGAUGUCCCAUGUUUCAGGCCCGAGAAGAUUCUUUUUUUCUCAAUUGAAAUAAAAACAAUCAAGGUUAUUUUUCGUCGGCUUUUCUAUGAAACAAUUGUGUGAGUGCAUUAUUAUAAGAAUUCAUGUUUUGAAAAUUGGUUGGAAACAUAAAAAAUGGUCCUGCUUUAAAAAAAAUAAUUAUUUUUUAGUACGGUCAUGUUUAAAAAAUUCUUAUUCUUUUUUUGCACAUUUAGAAAAAAAUUCUGGAAUUUCAAAAAUUCUUCCAGUUUUCAAAACAUGGUUUGAAUGUUUUAAAAAAAUUGUUCAUAAUAUUUUUGUUCAAAUUUAUCAGAAGUUUUCUAAUAAUGACCAGGAUUUCAAAAGUGUUCCUAUUUUCAGAACUUUGUUCACAAAUUCAAAAAAGUGUUCUUGUUUUCAAAUUUUAGUUCAUGUAUUGAGAAAUUAUUCGUUUUUCAAAUUUGUUUGGGAUUUUCAGAAUUCUUCUCCAUUCCGAAUAUAUUUUCUAAUAAUUCAAAAUAUGUUCUUUAUUUUUAAACUUUGUUCACAAAUUCAAAAUCUAUUCAUGUUUAUUUCUUUUCUAAAAUUUACGUUUUAGAUUUUGUUCUGAAAACAAGAACAUGCUUAUGUCUUUGCUUCUCCUUUUCUGUUUCUUUUUUACUUUUCAUUUAUAUUUUUAUUGUUUUUAUUGUUCAUUCUUCCAAAAUUGUUCAGUAACUGAAAACAUGUUCAUCCUUUCAAAAAUGUUAAUUUUUAAGAAAAUAGUCGUGAUUCCAAAAAUUUGUUCCUAAAUUCAGAUAUGUUUGCCAGGCAUUUCAAAAAUGCUCUUAUUUUUCAAAAUUGUCCGGGAUUUAAAAAUAUAUUUCUACUCUCGAAAAUUGUUCACAAAUUUCAAUAAAAGUUCUUUAUUUCAAAACAUUUACCAUAUUUUGAUACGGCUUUCUUUUUUUACGUUUUCUCACAAAUUCAUAAAAUGUUCGCAUUUUUUAAAAAUGUUUGAAAGUUUAGAAAAAAGUUUCUGUUUCAAUAUUUUGUUCACCUAAAUAAAAAUGCUCGUAUUUCCAAAAAAAAUCAGAAUUUUCCAAUUGUUCUGCAUCUAAAACGUGUUCCUGUUUUCAAAUUUUCUCAUCAAAUCAAAAAAUAUUCACGUUUUCAAAGCAUAUUCAGGAAUUUUAAAAAAUGUUCACGUUUUCAAAAUGUGCUAAAAUUUUAAAAAAAUGUUUGACUUUUUAAUACAUUCCUCUAUUGUCUGUUCUUUCGUGGUAACCACCUAUCUGGCAGCUUCAGCUCAAGUGGCUAGUUGCAUGUGGUUAGAAGCGUGAGGUCGUGUCUUGAGUCAUCCUAGCGUUGUCAUUUUCUCUGAAUUUUUGUGUCGUAAAAUUUCACACUCAACUUAAUUCGGUUGUACUGGACCCGUCUAGUUGGGGACCCUCUCUGUGGCGCGCACUCCAUUUGCCGCAAUAAGCGGCGUAUAGGAGCUCCCCACUCGCGCGUCCUCGGAGAGCCCAGCCUGGAUGACUCGGUGUCGAAGAUGGGAUAGACGCUAGCCCAUAAAUUGGUCUCAUGACCCAGCCAGGAUCGCCUAAGGCCAACUCCAGCGCAUGACCCCAUCUGGACGUUUAUUUUGUCCGGAGUCUGUUUGUUUUGGACGGACGAUGGGGCCGUGUCUGGGGCAUUUCUGGGAUGCGGUGGCCGUGCACCAGGCAGCACUAUGCUGUACUCCAAGUACGCAGGCGGCGAGUUCAAGGGCGCUGAUGGCACCAAGUACAUUGUGUUGAGAGUGUCAGAUGUGAUGGCUGAGCUCUCUUAAGCGUGGGGUUUGUUACUUUGUUUCAGUUUUAAGUUCACAAUGGAGGCGAUCAUCAGGGGUGAGAUUGCUGUGGUAAUCACAUGCUACUUAGAGAUGGUUAUAGAAUUGCACGGGCAAACCACUUGUCCGGGUUAAAAAUAUUUACGAAUUUGUUUACAAAAGAAGUUUGAUGCCUGUUUUCCCCUACUUCUACAUUAUGUAUGUACAUUAGUGCUUAGCUGAUUGCUUGAUUGUUGUGGCAUUACUACUUCUGUGAAAGGUUCCUACACGUAUCUUCCAUCUGUGAGUGGGCUAGCUAAACAGUAAGCAAACCUGGUGGAUCUGGCUUAUCAGAAUGAUUGCUCAUUCUUCAAUGUUGCUUCUUCGUACAGCGACAAUGUAAACCUUAUUUCCCUAAGCGAACCAAAUCUAGGCUGCCGGUUGCUCAGGAUGGCUGGAGAAUUUACCGUAUAGGACAAUGUGGUGUUGCUCAGCUGAUGUUUACCGGUGAGAUGAGGCAAAAUUGGACCGUUUUUCAGCAGCACAGGAAUAGGGUGCUGACCUUUUGAAGCGGCAGAGUAAGUGGAUGAAGGGGGUUAGUGGUGUAAGAUCUGGAGGCCGAGCACCAUUGCGGCCAGAGAAUGCAUGUUCUAAAUUAAACUAUUCAUGGAUAAUUCCUGGUGUCUUCUAUGCCUAUGCUAUAAGAUUCAAAUCCUUGGUGAACAGAGAAGCAAAAAACAAUACACUAAAAUGUGAUUCUAAUACAUGUAAUGAGUUAUUCCUAAAGGAAGCCUUACUCCUUCUAAAAGAGUUGUGUGGCAGAUCUGCUCCUUAUAAAGAGGAGUUGUGCGGUAGACGGCCGCGUAAGUCAUCCGUCCUUUGGUAGGUCAAUGGCUAAGAAUCCUUUGGUUACUAGUAAGCUUGCACGUGCAAUGCAGUCUUAACUUCAUCAGAUAAUUAUGAAAAUAGUUGUGUGGUUUUACAUAGUUUUCAUCUGCACAUGUUCACUAAAAAAUAGUACUCACUAUGUUCACCUUUGUAAGUCGUUUUCAACAACUAAGAUUAAGCUAAUUUGCAUGUUGUCUGAAGUUUCUACAACGCCUUAUAAUAAUGAACAGAGGGAGUAUUUGUAUGGGUGGAAGAGAAAAUAAAUCGCAUGGACAAAAAGAUAGGAUGUAAAUAAUAUGCUCACCGCUUGUGGAAGAAGACCAUACUUUAAAGGGCAGAGAUAACAUAAUCUGAAAAAUCAAUUGUAUGAAUUACCUAGUUUUGUAUCUUUGAUUUUUAUGUCACUGCUUCUGUUCAUGUUCUCUUCUCCCCAAUUUAAUUUAUUGAAUGUUGUUCUUAAGAGAUUUACUUUCUAUUCAUACUCUAAAGGGCAUAGAUUCUUUUUUGUUGUCGUGUACCUACAUAUUCUUAGAUAUUCUGAGAACACUAACAUUGGUAUUCAUUUUCAGAAAUUAUAUAUACCCUAUCAACCCAAACUUUAUUUUUCUCAAGUAGAAGAAGAAUGAUAGUGAUAUGUCAUCAAACAAUUUGAUCAAAGUUCCUAUGGAGCAAUCUUCAUAACACACUCCACAAGUACCUCGAGUUAAACUCCAAACAAGCAUAAGAAGGAUUCUUCGAAAAAUACCUUCAUCCAUGCAAAGAGAAAACAAUACAAAGAUAGGAUAACCGACCUUUAUGAAAUAGAUUCUACACCCUGAUACUUGACAUAAGAACUUGUCCAUCAUAUUUAAUAAAAUGCACCUGAUUUCUACAAUGUCCUCUUUUGAGAAAAUAAUUAAUGAAGUGACAACAACAAAAGUACAGGGAGGGUGGUGACCAUUUACAAACAAUCAUGCUAACCGAAACACGUCUCAUCCUAAUAAAACUGGAACGAAUAAUUGGACGAAAAGAAGGAGCAAAAUUUGGCCUUGAAUUCAUAGUCAAAGAAAGUUUUGCCUUAGCAGUUUUACCAAGUUCUUUGUGUACUAAUAUAUCUCCUUGCGCGACUGCUAAUGAACCUUCUCGCCACAUGUGGGCAUGAAUGAAUGAUUGUGCGAGACUCUGUGCUUAGUAUUGUGCCACCCCUUGUCUGAUGUGUGGAAAGUCGAACCAAUGUUGGGUAUUCACAGAGGCAAGACAUACCGUUCUCCUAUGUAGGCCUUCCCUGUGCGGAUAUAAAUUUCCAUUAUCAGCACCAGUGAACCUGAACUUGAUUCUAUACCAACCCAGUUAAGAUACAGAGCAACCACAAACUAUUUUUUGCAAGCAUUUCAUCUUCUCUGUGUUUAGCUGACUUUUCCCAUAGUGAAUUAUAAAACCAUGCUCCCAGAAAUACAAGUUAUACAAACCACAUGGCUCUCCUAAUGAAUCAAAUGGAUGAAAAGCUCAAGAACAUGGUCACCCAACUUGUCUGUGUACCCUGAUUGUCUCUUCUCAAGUGCAUAACCCUCUCCGGACAUGGGGUCCUAUCCGGUGGAUGACUCUCCCUACCCCAGUCCUGCACAAUCAGUGACAUGUAGAACAAUUUACUUCACAUCCCACAAUGUUUGUCUUGGAAUAUAAAUAUACUAACACAGGAAAACAAAAGCUAAGGCACUCUGCCUCAUUGAGUCCCUUGUGUUUGCUUCGUGAAUCCAGUUUAUUGUUAAAUGUUCACGUAUCUAAUCACCUAAUCCUAGCCGAUGAUAAGCAUAUGCACAAAUUUGAACCAUUUACAUGUCUCAUAUGUCCUCCGGAAACUCAUGGUCGAGUGGGAAGCCGUCCAGGUCCAUGCCGACCUGAUCACACAUGAAGGCCGUCUGAUCUUGAUCAAAGGUGGAUGGCGUGAAUGCCCCUCGUCCGUCCUGACUUUGUGUCUCAUCGGGAUCGUAGCCAGCGGGAUCGUCAGCCGGCGCACCACCCUCGAAGAUCAAGUUUUGCAUGUAGCCCUCGUCCCCGGCGGCCGGCAUUCCGCCGAACAGGUUGCAUGCGCCCGACAGCACGUCGGCUGGCAUCUGGCGCACGCAUUUCUUCGCACCUCCGGAUGACGAGCCACCGGCAACCGGUGUGGUAUUGAGCUCGAUGGGCGCUGGCGUGGGCGUGGAAUGUGCCACCACGCUCACCUCCGGCGAGCACUUCCGAGAGAGGCCGGAGGCCUGCGGGUAGACUUAGAAGCCCGGCAUCGGGUUGCAAGCCGACGCGUGGGGCGAGUCGGGCAUGUUGGAGCAUAUAUUGAGCAUAUAUCUCCAUAUGUGGUUUUGGUACUUGAUGACAAUUCCUAUGGACUAAUGGUUGCCUUAAGUUACACUUAUAGGAUUUGUCCAUAGGCACUUCUUGAAGUCCAUCUGUUGGGUUCAAGGAGUUUAUAUGAUGACCAAGAUGGUAUUCAAGGUAUUAUCCAAAAAAUGGUCAUAGAGACGCAUGGUUGAUCAAGAUCUCAGACAAAGAGUAAAUCAAGAUGAUCAACACACAAAGCCUACAAGAUGUACCGAGAGGGAUCAAGUGAUCCCAUGGUAUGGAUUUGUCCAUAGACACUUCUUGAAGUCCAUCUGUUGGGUUCAAGGAGUUUAUAUGAUGACCAAGAUGGUAUUCAAGGUAUUAUCCAAAAAAUGGUCAUAGAGACGCAUGGUUGAUCAAGAUCUCAGACAAAGAGUAAAUCAAGAUGAUCAACACACAAAGCGUACAAGAUGUACCGAGAGGGAUCAAGUGAUCCCAUGGUAUGGUAAGCAUUGUCCAUUACGUGUUUGUGUACUAACCCAUGGUCUUCGUGAGAGUUCUAUGUGGGGGUUAGGUGUGUUUCCAUGAGCUUGCGUCAAAGGGAAGAUCUCAUACAACCCAUGGAGUAUGACGUCAAGUUGUGAUCGUCAUCAAGAUUGCGACGUGCAAGUUCAAGUGGAUCAGCACGAAGAUAGCAUGCUUGAAGCUUGCCGUCCAUUAUGGUGGCAAUGGACUUGUGAAGAUAUGCUGAAGAGUGGCUCACCCAUAGUGAGUAUGGGGGAGCAAUCAACUAGUAUUCAUCAAGCCAACACAAUCAAGAAAGGUGGUCCAUCUUGAGGAAGCCAAGAUCAUCAUCAUCUAGCUCAAGAGGAUGAGGUGCAAGGUAUAGGUUUGCCCUUGAUAGGUCUUCUGGUUAGGAUAGAUUGUUGUUCUAUCAAGGGGGGCUCUCAAGUGAGUAGCUUGAUCGUAUCGUUCGUUGAGAGUUCAAACCAUUUGCAUCCUUGCAUCAUACUUCUUGGUUCUUAGUUGGUGUUUCUCUUUGUGAGUUUUAGAGCUUAUGGUCAUCUUCAUGAAAAGCUCGAGUUCAUCGAAAACGGAGUCCAUAUGCAUCUACUAUGAUGUUUUCGAUGUUGGAGUUUUUGCCGGUUCUUCAUUCAUAGAGAUCUCACAUCUCUAUAUCUUUGGCAUAUUCAUAACCGCAUGGUCUUAAGAUUUCCAGUCGCUGUUUGGAUAGCCCUUGUCGUCCUGAAUCCAACAAGCUUGGGUUUGCUCGAUUCGGAGCUCGUAUGCGAAAGUUAUGGCUGUUUCAGUGGCGAGCGGUAGUACCGCUGGACCUAGCGGUAGUACCGCUCGACCUAGCGGUAGUACCGCUAGAGUUGGCGGUAGUACCGCUGGCUCGCGGUAGUACCGCCCCUGGUCAGCGGUAGUACCGCCCCAGGAGCUUAGUACCGCCUGCCUAGCGGUUGUUCGUGGACGGACCUUUUUGCGAAGACUUUCGUGGCGGUGGUAGUGCCUUUGCACUACCAGGGGCCCAGCGGUAGUACCGCUUGCGCCAGCGGUAGUACCGCUGGAGUGCCAGCGGUAGUACCGCUACAGCCAUCGGUAGUACCGCUAGCUGGCGGUAGUACCGCUGGAGUGACAGCGGUAGUACCGCUGGGGUGCCAGCGGUAGUACCGCUGCAGCCAGCGGUAGUACCGCUGGAGCUCGGGCAGAGAGUGGGGGUAACGGUCUGAUUCUUCCCCCCACUAUAUAAAGGGGGUCUUCUUCCCCCUUGCCUUAUCUAUCCGUUGAGCUCUUGUUCUAUCUCCAUUGUUGACAUUCUUAGAGCUUGAUUACUCUCAAUCCCUCCAAUGAUUCUUGCUUGCUCUUGAGGGAAAAGAGAGAGGAGAUCUAGAUCCACAUCUCCACCAAUCACUUUCUCCUCUAUGUGAGGGGAACCCCUUGGAUCUUGAUCUUGGAGUUCUUUGUGAGCUCCUUGUUCUUCCUCUCAUAUUUCUUCAUAGCUUUUGUUGUUGUGGAGGGAUUUGAGUGUGAGGGACUUGACCACUUCGUGUGUUCUUGCCAUUGCAUUAGUUGCAUCGGUUUGAGUUCUCCACGGUGAUACGUGGAAGUGAGAAGUUGAGAAGCUUACUACCUUCGGUACUUAGUACCCUUGAUAUUGUUCUUCGUGGAUGCUUUGGCGUCCUAGAAGCUUGGUGGUGUCUCGGAGCUCAAUCAUUGUGGUGUGAAGCUCCGGGAAGCGUCGGGGUCUCCAAUAAGGUUGUGGAGAUUGCCCCGAGCAAUUUGUACGGGUACCGGUAACCGCCCCCAAGGGUUGCCACGUGUACGGGUUCGGUGACCGCCCCCAAGGGUUGCCAUUUGUACGGGUUCGGUGACCGCCCUCAAGGGUCCCUUAGUGGAAUCACGGCAUCUUGCAUUGUGCGAGGGCGUGAGGAGAUUACGGUGGCCUUAGUGGCAUCUUGGGGAGCAUUGUGCCUCCACACCGCUCUAACGGAGAUUAGCAUCCGCAAGGGUGUGAACUUCGGGAUACAUCAUCGUCUCCCCGUGCCUCGGUUAUCUCUUACCCGAACCCUUUACUUAUGCACUUUACUUUGUGAUAGACAUAUUGUUUAUUGUAAUAUAUCUUGCUAUCACUUAGUUGUUUAUCUUGCUUAGCAUAAGUUGUUGGUGCACAUAGGUGAGCCUAGUUGUUUGUAGGUUUUGUGCUUGACAUAUUAAACGUUAGUUUUAUUCCGCAGUUGUUCAAGCCUAAACCUUAACUAUUUUAAAGCGCCUAUUCACCCCCCCCCCUCUAGGCGACAUCCACGUCCUUUUCAGGGCAGCACCAUCCGAGGGAACGCGGAUGAGCCCGUGUUGGUCGCGGCCACGGCGGCGUUGACGAGGCCGUGCUGGUUAGGGUUUAACUCUAGGAUAUAGAGCGCCUCCCUCGUUGCUGCCGCGACACGGGCGUUCGUGACCUCCUGUUGCGCGGCGGCGGCUACGGCGGCUGUCGCGAUGGCUUCAUCCCUCGCGCCCGCCGCGUGCCUGCGGCCCUUCCUCUUGGCCGACUCCCUUGCGCGCUGCUCGGGCGUCAGCGUCUUCUUCGGCUUGGGCGUGGCGGCGGUCUUGCGCUUGCCUUUGCCGGAGGGGGCGGUCGUCAUGCCGGACGAGGCGAGGAAGGCGGCAGCGUCGAGGUCGUCGUCCAUGACGGGGGUGGGACGGGAGCGCUCGGGUGGGAGGGUUUUUGGGGGAAAUGGUGGAGGCUGCCACCAACCAGCGAGCCCGAGGAGAGGAAAAGGCGCGCGUCCGUCUCGUGUACGCGCCGACGACAAAUCCGGUUUAAAAAUGAACCGGGAAUGGGUCGGCAGGCGGACGCCAAGCGGACGCGCGUCCGUUUGGGUUAGUAAUAUAGAGCCUAUGUACAUUCACAAAUCCGGUUCAAAAAUGGACCGAAAAUGGGUCGGCAGGCGGACGUCAAACGGACGUGCGUUGGAUCGAUUUUUAUGUCCACGGCGAUCCAAACGGAUGUGAGCGAACGAAAUGGGUUGGCUCGUUGGAGUUGCUCUUAGAGGUUGACUGCUAAUUGAUACGUAUGCACGUAUUUCUUUUCCCAGCUUAAUUCCUUAUUUGAACUGAUUUGUCCCAGUGUGCCGAAUGAAUUACUUCCUCCGUUCAAAAAUACUUGUCCUAGAAAUAGAUGUAUUAGACUUAUUUUAAUUAUAGAUACAUCCAUUUUAUAUAUUUUUAGGACAAGUAUUUUCGGACGGAGGGAGUAUUUUGGGAUCAUGAGGCAGGAAACUACCUUUAAGGCUUUACCUGGCUACACCUACGCCCGUAGCCAUGAUAGCACUACAAGAUAGUCUUUUUGACUUUUGGUCAUGUACUGUAGCUAUCAAGAAGCAACCGCUGCUGCUGGAAACAACGCCGGCAGAAGGAAGUACAGCAGACGUUGUCCGGUCGUGCUUCACAAGGUCAUGUUUGUCGUACGAUUUUUUUUAGUUUUAACUAAAAAGUCUCUAAUACCUAUGUAUUUGAUUCUAAAGAUUAAACAUAUACUAAAAAUUAUUAAAUGACAUGCUAAAAGAUUAUGUUACCUCUACAAAAUGGAUUAAAAAUAGAGGCACUGUUGAAAAAAGUCAUAAAAAGUCACAAAAAGACUCUCAUUUAGAGACUUCUUUAUUUAGUUCCAAAUGCUCACUUUUAGUUUCUAAAAGUCCCUCAUGUUUGAUUUAGAUGGGACUAAUUUUUUUUUUUUAGUUUCUACACCAAAAAAUUCUUGUAAACAAACACCCCCAAUAGAAUUCUUCCAAUUUGUGCGUUUCCAAGCUUUUUAAGACAAUGCACGCAUCCAAAUUUUAAGUACUAGCAGAUCUAUAAACACUUAGAGCAUCUACAAUAACAUCCCUCAAACUAUUCUCAAAUGUCCCGAUAGGCCGUCCGGUCAUUGAUCGGUCACGGAAAAAAGAUCCAAACGGACCCUUUAAACUGGCCUCAAACGUCUGGGCUAAACGACACCUCUCAUUUCCAGCCCAAAUAUGGAGCAGAUAUGGAGAGCCCGGGAGGCUGAGUCACACUUUUCGUCGCUCCGUAGGAUGCACAAGUGCAGGUGACGCAACCGCGCCGUGAUGGACGUCAGCUCCUCCCGGGGAGGAUCCAUCAUUGACUGGCACCGACCGGGUUACGGGCUCCAACGAGGAAGAGUGGGAGCAUGGGAGACGGCGGGAGCUCGACUCCCGUGACCCGGCUAGUGUUCCAUGUCCUACUCUACCUCGCCGACGAACGGACCGACAUUGUGAGGGGCGCAACCAGCCGCCGGAUAUGAGCACGGUGGAGCCGAACGAGCUCCACUUAGUAUUAGAUUUAUGUUGCAUGUAAUAAUAUGGAUUUAAGAUAUCCGUCGUCGGAUGAGGAAUCGUGGGAGUCACACAGAACAUUAUGAAAAAAGAACUCGUCAGCGUAGUCCAUUUGUACCUUAAGGCAAAAUGUCGAACAACUUGCGGGCGUGGACGACCAAGCUGACCGGCGAUGACGGAUUGGGGUCGGAGAAGCUGCGGUGCACCGACGGUGAUGCGACUGGCGGCGUGGGUAGGCGUUCGGGAGGUACGGGAGGAGGCCGUCGGAGCCGGGCGGCGUCGGCGAGGGGGCUGGGGGCGAGGCGAGGCGAGGGCUUGCUGUCGGCGCUGUCGGUAGGGGUGGAGAACGACCAACGUAUCACCGACUGGCGGGUCAGGGAAUGAAGGAAGCGUGCGUCGUCCGCGUCCGCUUUGUGUCCUUGCUGAGCCAAAUCAGGCUCAAAAUUGACCCGAAAAUGGGUCGACAGACGAACGAAAAGCAUACAAGUGUCCGUUUGAAUCGGCGCGUUGGGUUUUUUUUUCUGUCUACGUGGAUUGAAACGAAGGACCGCGAACGAAAUGGAUCACUACGUUGAGGUUGUUCUAGGAUUUGUUUUGUUUUCGAGCAUCUGUAAGGGAGGAAGAGCCGUGGAGUACAAAGGUCCGUGGGCCCAUGGGCCAUGGUUUUGCUCACGCACACGGCAGCAGAUCCAAGCCUUGUCUCCACUCCACCCGACGCCAUUGCUUCGUCCACAACUUCCGAGGCGCGCCGGUCAUGUCACCCCCCUCUUUUGCCCCCUCGCCGCCGCCUGCUGCAGCUCCUGCUCCCUCCCCUCCUCCAUCAAUGCCGCCCUUCCACCGCCCACCACCCAGCAGCACCUGCUGCUAUAUCCCACCCUUCAGGCACGCAUCAUCCUCCGCCUCCCCGCUCAUCAAACCCUCUCUGCUGCCAUGGCGGAGGCGACCGCCAUUCUUCUGUCCAUGCGCGACCCUGGAGACGGCGACCGCGCCGCGCCGCCUCGCUCGGUUUCCGCCCGGCCCGACCUAGAUUUGAACAAGCCAGCUGGUGACGACGAGGGCGGCGGCGGGGCUGCCGACGGAACUGCACAGGCUGCACAUGGUGAUGCCGCCACGACGCCGCUGCCUGAAAGGGUACGGACAGUUUCCCCUUUGUUGAUCCCCCCCCCCGUCCCCCCCNNNNNNNNNNNNNNNNNNNNNNNNNNNNNNNNNNNNNNNNNNNNNNNNNNNNNNNNNNNNNNNNNNNNNNNNNNNNNNNNNNNNNNNNNNNNNNNNNNNNNNNNNNNNNNNNNNNNNNNNNNNNNNNNNNNNNNNNNNNNCCCCCCCCGUCAGCGACAUUUGCAAGCUUCUCUUGCUGUUCAUCGACGCUGCUGCUGCUGCAAUGGCGUGAGCACAGUUGUUAGAUGUGUUCGGUCGGUGCUACUCUCACUAAUACAGUAGUACAGUACUUAUUAAGUUCCCUCCUGGCAUCCGAUUGUUUACUUGGGUUUCUUAGCUAUUGGACAAUCAGAUUGGCAAUGCGGCUCCACGAGGGAGGGGUGGAAGGCGUGGUGCUGCUGCGGCGGCUCCACGGGGGAGACGUGGUGGCGCUGCCCAAGGAAGAGGAAGGCCAGCUUCCCAUCAUAGAGACAAGAGGUUCAGGGCUACUGAUGAUCUGCACACCGACCAGCCUCAACAGGACCUCCCUGAAGCUGUCGCUGGACAGACUACCGGUGCAGGCGACCAUGGUUUGAACGGAGGUGCUGAUAUAUUUGCAAUUGCAAGUGAAGGCAUGAUAACGCCACUGCCUGAGAGAGUAUGCUUGGUUUUCUUCUCCUUCCUGCAUCUCCUUUUUUUUCACACUGAUUGAUCAACUAGAGUAUUUGUUUCUAUUUCUAGGCUGCUGCUUGUUGUGGUGCCAGUUUUACCGACGGCAGUCAAAGCCUGGCUUCGACUCCUAGAGGAAAUGACCAAGCCAAGACGAUGCCGCCAGUGCCAGACAGGGUAUGCUUUCCUAAUCUUCCUGUGGACCUACCUAGUUGUGUACAAAUUUGAUUGGAAACUGAAUAUGCAAGGAGUUUUGUACUCUCUUAUGUGUGUCACCAAAUCAGUUCUAUGCUGCUCUUCCACAUGUACUAGGAUCGAUCCCCUGUGAUAUUUUGUCAGAAUACCCCCUGUUUUAUUAAUGUGUGAAAUGGAGGAAGUAAAGUUUUACUGCCAUGAAUUGAGCUCCUAAAUGAAUUCUAAAUCUUGUUUAACUAUUGGAUGCAGGUUGAAGUACGUAACUCCCCAGAAUAUAUAACUGGUAGGAAGUUAAGUAAAGGUAACUCUGGCAAGGUCUAUGUUGGCAGACGGAUAGGUAUGCCCAGUGGAGGAUACAAGGGUCGAAAUGCAAUCGAGGUUUCAUCUCUUAUCUACUUGCCUUAGAUGGACACCAAAUCUGUUCUUGAUUCAUCAAAAUCUUAUCUGUAUUUCACUUCAAUAUACAUUGCUUUGUGCACGAGAUCCUCCUUUAUCUAAAAAAAUUCUUACCUGCAUCAAUAUCGUGUAGGUUGCGCUGAAAUUUGUGCAUCGGACAAGUAGAGAAGGUAGCUAUGACCCCCCAUAUGAGUGGCAAGUCUAUCAGUAAGAACUAUACACAAUCAUCCAUUUUUUUCAUUUAUAUAUUCUUGGUGGAGCAUGGCAUUUUAUCCCUUUGUUAGCAGGGCUCUCAAUGGUUGUCAUGGCAUACCAUCGAUACACUACAAGGGUUGCCAAGGAGACUACUACAUUCUUGUGAGUUAACUUUCCAGGGAAAAAUGCACUCAGAAAGACUUCUUAACUCUUUAUAAUCUUUUCACUGAAUCAUGAUUCCGUAAUUUCAGGUAAUGGAUCUGCUUGGUCCUAACCUCUGUGAUGCUUGGCAUUCACCAGGACAGGAGUAAGUAUAUCUUAUCUAUCUUCACUCCCUCUGCUUUUGUUCUCCUUACUCCUUGCUGAAAGUAUCAAUACCCGUAACAGGAUGUCAAUUCUAAAGGUUGCUUGUAUUGCCGUUGACGCCAUGUCAAUACUUGCAAAGAUUCACUCCAAAGGGUAGUUUAAAGACAUUUGAUAUUUUUGAGAUGCAUUUCCCGUAUUUUUUUAUUCCUCGUUGUUAACAUUUGCUGCUCCUCCUAUUAUUGCCAGCUUUAUACAUGGUGAUGUAAAACCUGAAAACUUUUUGCUUGGUCAGCCUGGAUCCGCUCAAGAAAAGAAGCUUUUUCUCAUUAAUUUUGGUUUAGGUAUGCCAUUACACAUGGUAGUUUCAUCUGUACAUGAAGAUAUUCAAUCUGAUGAUCACAUCGCACUAUGCCCUUAGCUCCGAGGAAUUGAUUACUUAAUACUCUCUCCGUCCCGAAUUACUUGUCUUAGAUUUGUCUAGAUACGGGUGUAUCUAGACACGUUUUAGUGUUAUACAAUCUAAAUGGAAAUCUAAGACAAGUAAUUUGGGAUGGAGCUAAUAGAAUGUUGAUUCAUUUUAUGCCUCACUAACCUUUUUUCACAUGGUUCUUUUGAUACUAAUUUUUUUCAGCAUCUAACUGGAAAUGGAAAAGAGGAUCAUCCAGUAUGCAUGUUCAGUAUGAUCAGAGGCCAGACAUAUUUAGGUUUGUUCUUACCACUUUUCUGUACAAAAUUACGGCACAAAUUUAACUUUUUUACUUUUGACAUUUCCCAGGGGAACAAUUAGAUAUGCUAGCGUCCAUGCUCAUUUAGGUCGUACAGGCAGUAGGAGGGAUGAUUUGGAGUCACUAGCAUAUACCCUUAUAUUUUUAUUACGAGGAAGCUUGCCAUGGCAAGGCUGUCAGGUAGUCUUCAAUGUUCUCGACAAGUCGACAGGGCUUUACUAAUAUUUUCUACUCGUUUUCUUAAACAUACUUUUUUUUACGGGAACCUACUUUUGUGUUGAUGGCUUAUUGCUGCAGGGAGAUAACAAGAGCUUUCUUGUUUGUAAGAAGAAAAUGGAGACUUCUCCAGAGGUCCUGUGUAGCUUCUGUCCAGCCCCAUUCAAACAUUUUCUUGAGUUAGUUACUACUAUGAAAUUUGAUGAAGAGCCAAAGUACCAAAAACUUGUCUCUCUCUUUGAUGAUUUGAUUGUCGGACCUGCUUCAAGACCCAUCAGGAUCGCUGGAGAUCUAGAGGUUUGUACUGCUUUAUCCACAACAUUUAUCUAUGCUCUGUACUUUAAUUCGGUUGUAUUAUAUUUCGCCAUGCCUCUGCCGUGCAAAUUAUAGGCUGGACAUAAACGUGGAGGAAUUUCUGUAAAUCUUAAAGACGAUGAACAGCCCAUGGAAAAAGUUCGGUUGGGGACCCCAGCAACUCAAUGGAUUUCAAUUUAUAGUGCUAGGCAGAACAUGAAGCAGCGGUAAUUGUUUUUAAACAUGAAAAUAGUGCAACAGCAUUCAUUUUUUAUUUGUUUGUGUGCUCAGGCAUAUUCUUCAUACCCGACAUCAAGCAUUAGAUAGCUCGGAAUAGCUAGAUUAUGUGAGUAUAUGAUCUAGAGAAGCAGCACUGUAGAAAUCUAAUGUACNNNNNNNNNCCCCCCCCACCCUCCGCCGUGCGCCAUGUCCAGGGACCGCGUCUCCUUCGGUGACGGCCGCUGGUCUGGCUCCGACAGCGACUCCUCUGCGCGCUCCUACAGCGAGGUAGCCCGCACGCCGCCAGCCAGCCGGUGCGCCGCCCCCGCGUCUACCUCCCGGAGCACCGCCCCCGCNNNNNNNNNNNNNNNNNNNNNNNNNNNNNNNNNNNNNNNNNNNNNNNNNNNNNNNNNNNNNNNNNNNNNNNNNNNNNNNNNNGGCCCGCAUUGGCCCCCGCUUCGAGGUACACCGCGUUGCUGGUGGCGACGUGGUGGAUGCUGACGGCUUCCAGCAGCCCCGCCGCAAGAACCGUCCCCGCCCCCGCCGUGCGCCCGAGCCGGAGCCCGCGCUGCAACGCCCGCGCAGCCCCUCCCCCGAGGCAAUCGCUGGCCUCUGCUUCCGCUGCCUAGAUCAUCGCCACCGGGUCCGGGACUGCAAGAGCGACAUCCGCUGUCGGAAGUGCCUCAUCUCCGGCCAUGACUCCCGCGGCUGCGAGAGCUUCCAUCGGCGUAUGGGUCGCGCUCCCCCAAGCUCUCGCAGUCAGGACGUNNNNNNNNNNNNNNNNNNNNNNNNNNNNNNNNNNNNGCCGGCCCUGCCCCCGCCACCCCCCGCCACCGCCUCUGCUCCUAGCCUCGGCCGCCCAGGCGCCUGCCGCUGCCCCAGCGCGGGUCAUCCUCGCGUGCACCGUUGAGAUGGAAGAGGCAGAGGAAGUGCUGGCCAGGGCCAUGGUGAUCACCAUCACGGGCACCAGGCCGAAAGUGUCCGCCGACGAGGUCGCCGACCUGCUCCACCGCACCUUCAGCUUCGAGGUCGGGGACUUCACCAUCCACGCGCACCAGCCCGAGGACUUCAUCGUCAUCUUCGGCUCUAGAGCCUGCAAGGACCGCAUGAACGGCGAUCACCUCGUCUAUGGCCCAAGGUUCACCCUGUCGUUGCGCCCGUGGUGCAAGCUCGUGCAUGCCAGCUCGGGUGGGUUCGAACACCGUGUCGAGCUCGAGCUCCGCGGCAUCCCUGCCCAUGCCUGGAAUGUUGCCACAGCUGAGCACAUCCUCGGCACGACGGUUUGGAUCGAGCGGCUCCAUCAUCGCACUCGGUCCCGUGCCGACCUCGACGUGUUCCGACUUGCUGGACGCACGCAUGAUCCUGAUGCCAUCCGGCGCGCCGCUACUCUGGAGGUCGUCGAGCUGCUCCCCGGCGCUGGCUCCUCCGCCCCGACCGUCCGCAUCCUGUCGUACCCCAUUACCAUCUCCCUCGCGCGCUCUGAGAUUGACCGCGCCCAUGCCCGUGCUGCGAUCGCCGCCAGGCGCGACAGGGAUGGCAACGACACCGCCCCGGACGCCGGCCAAGACCCUGGCCGCUCCCGCCGCCGCGGCCGCAAGCGCCGUCGCGCCGACGCGCCACCCCCGGGCCGUGCCGAUGGCACUGCCAUCGAUUCCCUAGGAUGGCAGGCCAAGGAUCGACCUUCGUGUGUGGAUGGUGUCGCCAUGGCUCCCUGGGGCUCCUGCACGGAGGCGGCGCCGCCGGUCGGCCGUUGUCCCCUCGUGUGCAUGCUGCCAUGGCCUGGCCGGGAUGGGGCCCGCCACUUCUGCUGGGAUGCCAAAAGAGGAAAGGCAAAAAGGAAAGUAAAGCAAGCUCCUGUAGACGGUCCUCCCCCCACGACUGCUGCGAACGGGGACGUAGGGCCAACAAGUACAAAUUCGCCAGGAUGCGGGCCAGCUGGCCGGACGGCAUUGGCGGCGAGCGGAACGGAAGCCACCCCGAAUUUGAAUUCGGUGUCGCCUUCCGCCCGGGAUGACGGCGCUGGAGGGCCCAACUCUGACCCAUGCAGCCCCAGGCCUCGUCGGGAUCUGGCCCCUGUCGGCUCGAACAGCGAGGUGCCAGACUCUCAGCUGGUGGGUCCAUCCUCACCGGCCAACAGCACAGCCCGGUCGGGACAAAGUGGUGCUUUGGCCGCGUCACCGCCUGCCGCAGUUUUGGAGCCUUCUGAGGGUCGGUCCCCGGGGACCGCGACGACCAAGGAGGGGGAGGGCGCGCGAAGCGUUUCUCCCGCCGUUAUUUUGCCGCCUCCCCAAGCCAUGCAAGAUUCUCCUCCCCACGUGUCGGCCCUGCAGCCCGCCACUUCACCGCCAAGGCCCAUGCAAGCUACUGGACCGGUGCAAGACCAAAUUCUGUCUUCACCCUCGUCGCCCCCUCCCCAGCUCACUGCUAGGGGGCCCAUCGAGGACUGCGUUGCCAUGCGCUCGGCCCCCAACCGCUUCGCCUCGCCGCCGGUUACCUUUCGUCGCCCCAGGGAACGUAAUUCUGCCGACAUGCACUGGACCCUCGGGGACUUCCUUGCUGCCGCCACGAAACAGAUUGCUGCCUCCCUCCCCACGCCGGGGAAGAGGCACCCCCGACAUCCACUGAGCUUCUUCCCUCGCCGCGGCCGCUCUGCCUCCACUGCCAAAUCCCCUGGAGUGGCGCCGCCCACUGCCGAAAGGAGGGCACAGGUGCAGGUCUUGCGCACACUCGGGAUCAUUGGCAUCGACCAGUGGAUCACUUCCGCGGAGAUGCGUGCAUAUGAUGGCAUCUUCGCCGUGCCCAUUCCGCUCGACGUACUCGCGGCUAUGGCCGCGCUGAUUGAUCGAAAGCUACCGGAGGGACUUUGCCGUCUGACGAGCACCCCUGCGACCGCUGCCGGCGCCGGUGGGACUUAGCCCCCGCGCUGCAAUCUCCGACCGUCGAUCCCGUUGUUUAUCGAUCAUGGCCCUAAGAUUGUAGUUUGGAACGUCCGCGGCUUAAACUCUCGCGUUCGACGUUACGCUGUUAGAUCGCUGAUCGAGACUACGGGCGCGACCAUUGCCUGCUUCCAGGAAACAAAAAUGGAUUUGAUCUGCUCGUUGGUGCUUCUCGAUACGCUGGGGUCUGAGUUUGACGAUUACGUAUACCUGCCGGCAUUAGGUACGCGCGGAGGCAUCCUCCUCGCUUGGAAGAGCCGGUCUGUGAGCAUCACAGACCCAACGUUCUCUACGAACGCGCUCACCGCUAAGGUUGCUCUCGGCACGGCCACGCCCUGGUGGUUGACGGUCGUAUGUGGCCCGCAGGAUGAGGCGGCAAAGGUCGCGUCGGCUGCCCUGGGCCAUGGAUGCUUUGCGGUGACUUUAAUCUGAUCUACCGCGACGAGGACAAAAAUAACGGCAAUCUCCAUCGGCGCAUGAUGGGCAGAUUCCGACGGGUGAUCAAUGAGCUCGCGCUGAAGGAAGUAUAUCUCAACGGGCGCCGCUACACUUGGUCGAAUGAGCAGUCCCCCCCACCCUCGUGCACCUCGACAGAGUCUUAUGCACCUCGGACUGGGAGGAAGCACAUGCUGCGUGUCACCUUCGUUGCCUGGCUUCGGUCGUUUCCGAUCACAGCCCGCUGUUGCUGGACUGUUCCCCCAUGCCAGCCGCUCAACAUCGCUUCUGCUUCGAGGAUCUCUGGCUGCGGCUCGAUGGCUUCAACGACACGGUCGACGUAGCCUGGAAUUCGGUCACCCAUGCUGACCCAUUCCACCGUCUGAUGCUGCGGCUCCAGGCAACGGCGCGGUCGCUGACUAGUUGGAGCUCUAGAUCUGUCGGGAACAUCAGAAGCAAGCUCGCCAUCUCUCGUGAGCUCAUCUCACGGUUCGACAAGGCGCAAGAGGAUAGGCGGCUAUCACACCAUGAGGAGUGGCUCCGCAAGCAGCUCAAAAUCUCCUACCUCGGACUCGCCUCUAUGGAGCGCACGUUAGCACGCCAGCGUGCCCGUUUGGCAUACCUGAAGGACGGCGAUGCCAAUACCGCCUUCUUCCACCGACAGUGCUCUUAUCGCCGGCAGAAGUCCAGGAUCCUUGGGCUCGCCGUGGAGGGCCACCUGAUCACCGAGCAGGAAGGUCUCGCCCAGGCAGCCUACGAGCACUACGACGCCCUCCUGGGCACCGCCCUCGACCGCGAACACACGUUGGAACUGUCGGAGCUGAUCGUGCCCACGGACCUGGAGGACCUAGACCUGCCUUUCAGCGCCGACGAGAUCUGGGCGGCGAUUAAGCGCCUGCCUGCGCAUAAGGCGCCAGGGCCGGAUGGCUUCACCGCAGAGUUCCUGCGGGCCUGUUGGAGCACGGUUAGACAUGACUUCUUCGACGUCUUCCAGCAGUUGUAUGAGCUACGAGGCAGGGGCUUUGCUAGCCUGAACCAAGCGCUGCUCUCCCGGCUGCCCAAGCGAGCCGGCGCCAACACGCUCAAUGAUUUCCGGCCCAUUAGCCUGAUCCAUCUUGUGGCCAAGAUCUUCGCCAAGGUCCUCUCGCUGCGCCUCGCCCCAAAACUUGAUGGACUGGUCAGCAAGAGUCAGAAUGCUUUCACCACUGGUCGAAGCCUCCACGACAAUUUCAUCCUGGUCAAGCAUUCUGCGAGGCUGCUACACCAGCUCGGAGCCCCAAGGAUCCUGCUCAAGCUGGACCUGGCGCGCGCGUUCGACUCCCUGUCCUGGCCCUUCCUAUUCGAGGUCCUGCGGGGAUACGACUUUGGCAGCAGAUUCUUGGAGUGGAUAGCCAUCCUCCUCUCAUCAGCAAGCACGCGAGUCCUGAUGGACGGUGAGCCCGGCCCCCCUAUACGGCACCGUCGAGGGCUCCGUCAAGGAGACCCCCUCUCUCCGUACCUGUUCGUGCUCGCCGUAGACACACUCGGACGACUAAUCCGGAGGGCCAUCGAAGUUGGUGUUCUGGCACGGCUGCACCCUGCGAGGUCAAUCCCCGCGGUGUCGCUAUAUGCCGACGACGUUGUGCUCUUCUGCCACUGUUCCGCACACGACACAAGGGCUGUGCGUGAGAUCCUGAAGCUGUUCGGAUCAGCUUCUGGCCUGAUGGUGAACUACACCAAAAGCAUGGCAACUCUGCCGCACUGCGACGACGACACAGCCACUGCCGCCAUCGCCAACCUGGGUUGCCCCAUCACCCAGCUCCCGCUCACCUACCUCGGGAUCCCCCUCACAAUAAGGCGUCCCUCGGCCGCCCAGCUUCAGCCCCUGGUGGAUAGGAUCGCCGAUCGCCUGCCAACUUGGAAGGCGGGGCUGAUGAACAAGCCUGCCUUGCCCUGGUCAAAUCCGUCCUGGGAGCCAUCCCCGUGCACCAGCUCCUAGCGUACGCGCCGCCGCAUAAGACGCUUCGUCAGAUCGAAAAAAUCGAGCGCGGAUUUUUGUGGGCUGGUCGACGUGCAGCCAAUGGCGGCCAAUGCCACGUUAACUGGCGCCGCGUCUGCCGGCCCUUGCAGCACGGUGGCCUUGGCGUGCAAGACCUGGAACGCGCCGGCCUUGCCCUUCGCCUCCGCUGGCUCUGGUUCUCCCGCACAGACCCGGAGCGUGCCUGGCAUGGUCUGGACUUGCAGUCCUCCUCCGAGGAACGCGCGCUCUUCUUCGCCUCUACCUUCAUGACCGUCGGCAAUGGCAACACUACCCGCUUCUGGGAGGACCGAUGGCUUAAUGGCAGAUCCGUCUGGGAACUAAUGCCCCAGCUGUACGCAUGCAUUCCGAAAAGACGGCGCAAGAUCAGGACAGUGGCUGAGGGUCUCCUUGGCAACUCCUGGGCCCGAGACAUUCUCGGAGUCCUAGGCGUCCACGAGAUAGGCCAAUACUUGCAGCUCUGGCAACUUGCCCAGCAAGUCACGCUCUCAACCGACCCCGACAGGCUUACUUGGAAGUGGACGUCCAACGCCAUCUACACCGCGCAUUCUGCCUACCUAGCAACAUUCCAGGGCUCCACAACGUGCUCCUCUUGGAAGCUUAUAUGGAAGAAUGGGGCUCCCCCAAAGGUCAAAUUCUUCCAUUGGCUGGCUUGCCAGGACAGAUGCUGGACAGCGGAGCGCCUCGCGCGCCACGGAAUGCAGCACCACCCCCGAUGCCUGCUCUGCGAUCAAGCCCCAGAAACGAUGCGCCACCUGAUGCUAGAAUGCCCAUUUGCUCGCCAAACUUGGCAUGAGAUCCUUGCCUGGCUCAGGACGACUGCCACCCCACCAGACCAUGAAGCCUCACUCAUGGACUGGUGGCUGCAGGCCAGGCAGAAUACGCCGAAGUCGCUACACAAGGGCCUCGCGUCCACCACCCUCCUCGUGCCAUGGAUGAUCUGGAAACACCUCAACGCUUGCGCCUUUGAAGGGGCCCAGCCUUCCUCGCUGCAGCUGCUCAAUAACAUCAAGGAGGAGGCCACUGCCUGGGCCAACGCGGGUGCCCGUGGACUUAGAGUAGUUCUCCCACAGACCUGGGAUGUCCACUAAGUUCUAUCGUUUUUGCUUUGUAACUGGUGCCUCCUAGGACGAUAUGUAACCCAAACUCUGCCUUUUCAAUGAUAAAAACGCAAAUGUCAUUUGCACUUUCUCGAAAAAAAAAGUAUAUGAUCUAUACCUCUAUUUUUAAAAAAAUAUAUGGAGUUCCAGUUAAUGUCUUGCAGUGAAUGUGGUGAAACAAAAAACUACAUUGAGGUGAUUGAUGCUGCAAACUUGUGAUAUAUCUUUUUUCGAAAAGGAGGAUACCCCAAUUAAUUGGAUUUGGUAUCCCUGUAAGAGUAGCUGUCUAAAACUAUACUAUUAUGCUUUUCUAUAACCAAGCCACUCAUGCUAGUUUUUUGUGUUGAAAGGGUUUAGUUUUGCUUAUUAUGUUUUAAGCUUAACUAGUUCCUAUUUGCCUGGCUACACUCGCUUGUUCUCGAGUUCGAGAGAUUUGAGAUCUUCCUAGUGCCUAUUUCAACAGUUAUUGAUCAAUCUCUUAUCUCCUUCGUAAAUCAAAUAUGGUACUAGUAACUAAUGUAACUGUAAACAUAUUUCUUCUGCCUUUGAUAGAUACCACUCUAAUGUACCUGAUUCAAGGCUGCAUCAGCACAUACAAAAUGGCAAUGAAGAUGGCUUGUUCAUUAGUUGUAUAGCUUCUUCAAAAAAUGUGUGGGCUAUCAUUAUGGAUGCUGGGACCGGCUUUUCUUCUCAAGUUUUCAAUCUUUCACAAAAUUUCCUACAGAAGGUGUGGUACCUUCUAUGCCCUCUCUAGUUGGAAUUUUGAUAAUCUGGAAUCUUGACAAUAUCUUGUUUCUAACUUUUUAUGUAGGAUUGGAUUGUGGAGCAGUGGGAGAAGAAUUUCUACGUAACAGCAAUAGCUGGAGCAACCAAUGGAACCUCAUUGGUUGUCAUGUCCAAAGGUUUGUAAAUUGCCUGCUCUCUGUCGACAAUUAUUCAUUUGUUCAAACUGCUCCCUUUUAUGAAGAUUAAACGUUUGAAAAGGAUACUGCUAUACGUAUGACACAAAGUAGUAUGCUUUCAUACGAUGCAUCACAUAAAUGUUUGAUCACACAACUUUUGUGGUGUUAGAGCAAGAGAGACUACCACAUUAGAUUGCAUUGAUUUGAGGUGUAAAUGUUCUUCUGGAUGUUAUUUCUUUAGUGUUUAUUUUUUCCAGCGGAGUUUGUCGUAUCAAUUUCAUAUUUCCAGAUCUGAAAAAAGGUAUAAAUAUCCGGACUGUUGGGUUCUACUGGUUGUUCAUGGAACUUAACAGUUGCCAGUUUUCUAUUUUUUAAUAUUUAUAAAUGAAGUGUUAUGCUAAUUAAACAAAUUGUCAGCAUCUGUCUACUUACUGUCUAAUCUUUGAUGUUUCGUAUAGUCCACUGGUCCUUUUGUAUUUCCAUAAUAUAUACAUCGAUUCUGAUCUUUAAUACCAUUACAGGGACUCCAUACAGACAGCAGUCAUACAAAGUCAGUGAAUCUUUUCCUUAUAAAUGGAUUAAUAAAAAGUGGAAAGAAGGUUUUCGUGUAACAUGUAUGGGUACUUCCGGGAAUCGUUGGGGUGUGGUCGCGUCGACGAACGCGGGCUACUCCUACCAGGUCAAAACAUGUGCCUGCACUUCUUUGCAAUAAAUCAUUUGGAAAUAAUCCUUUUCAUGAAUUUGAUGAUUCCUCAUAUGUUAUAAUUUCUUCUGUGGUGAACAUUCAUUAAAUGACUGCAUAUGUCGUCGACGAUAGAAAGUAAAAAACAAUAUGCGCACUAAAAUUAUUUAGUUCUGAGCCCGGGAAGCCAAACUCGUUUGAGCAACUAACAAUUUGAGUGCUGCAUGUCUAAUAUCUGCUUGCAAACAUAUGCUGCUUCAAGAAUGGCUUCAGUUACCCUUAGAGAACCGGUGCUCUGCCCAGCUUCCCUUUAUACCAAAAUAUCAGUAAUUGUGUAGAGGGUUGUGCGAAGUCUGAAUGUUCGUAUUCAGCCUGAUGUGAUCAUGUGAAACUGAAAUCUGCGUUGCAUCCUGCAGGUUGUUGAGUUAGAUUUUCUGUAUCCAAGUGAAGGAAUCCAUCAGCGAUAUGGCGCCGGUUACAGAAUAACCUCAUGUGCAGCCACGCCUGACCAAGCCGCCUUUAUCAUGAGCAUAGCCAAGGAGUCCAAGACGAAACCAGUGGACGAAACUUUUCUAACUUGUGAUUUCCCCAGCAAGGCUACAAAGGUAUACUACUACUACCCCGGCAUGCUUUGCUGACCGGAUGAAUCUCAAAAUCUGGUGCAACAUUCAUAGUUAUGCUAUAUGCUGUGUCUUGCUGGUUUACAUGUGUGAACCUAACCUCGGCAGUCGGAACACCAAAAUUUCAGGAACAAUGGGCGAAGGACCUGUACAUCACCUCGAUCUGCCAUGGCCGAACUGCGUGUUGAGUGUUGACGGCUGCGUUGAGCCUCCAAGGUGAAUUCGCUAGAGUUUUAACUUUGGCCUUGGUGGGAUUCUUUUUGGUAUUUUGAGCUGCAAAAUGGCCUCCUCUUAUUGUAAAGAAAAAGAACCAUGGUUUANNNNNNNNNNNNNNNNNNNNNNNNNNNNNNNNNNNNNUUCCCUAUCAGAAGUUAACCUUGCCAAAAAUGUGUAUUCCACAAAAAAAGGAAUGUAUGCUGCCAGGAGGCAAGAGCUUCACCGUAUCGGCUUCGGAUGAUGGAAACGAGGCCGAAGCAUACCGUAUCCGAAUACGACUCUCCGUAUGCACCCGUCCAUAUGAAGAGCUAUAUAUACGUAGAAAAGCACCACACCAUCGCUCAAAGACUCGGAUGGCGGCCUCCCCAGCCGAGUUCCCGUGCCCAAGCCGCGCUCCGCGUCUCCUUGGGGCGCGUUUGGUUACUUUCUUUGCAGGGCCUGACCGACGGCAAAAAAAAAAAAAAAAAAAAAAAAAAAAAAAAGAAGCAGGCUAAGCAGGACUGGCUAAACGAGGCAAAAAACGAAGUUAUAAGUAGUUUGGUUGCCUGCAUGCAUGUGAUGUCUUGUUAUCGUGAAGUAAUUUUUACCUAGUGUUCGAUUGCAUAAAUACAUAUAAUUAGCAGUUAACAACGACUAGGUUAGGCUUGACGUCGAUGACCUUCAUUUCCUGAAACACGUUGAGUGCUGCGUUGUCGAAUUGGACGGCUGUAAAAGCAGCUGUCCUCGCCAACCUUCCUCCCAUUGCCAUAGACGUUGUGGCCAUGCCCGCGCCCGAAGUAAUUUAGGUUACAUGAAUUGCCACCCCUUUCCCACUUUGAGGGUUGCCAGUCACUUGCGUGCAGUAGAUGUACUUGUUCACUUCUGCUUUAAUGACCCCAUCGAUGUUGAAGAGAUGCCACAUUAUGGUUGGUGACGAUAGGAUGCGGCUUCAAGUAUUGCUUUUGUUCAUGAUAUUCCUUUCAAAUCUUCUCUUGAUACUUGUUCCCCUUUUGCUUCGUGCCGCAUAUUGGAUCCACUGUUAUGGCCUAUUAAGAUUUGACUAACAAGAUAUUUUUAAAAUUUGAGAAUGUCAGACCUCUCGCCUUUGUCGUCUUUGGCUUCCUCUUCUUGCUUAGAUUGGGAUUUGAAGUUGUCUCAACUUCAAAUGAAGGGCAAGUCGGAUACCCAAUUCGUAGUUCAUUUGGGUUGGAGCUUGAUUAUCGUUUCCAAAAUGAACCAACAAUUUAUUGAAAACAUUAAACAUGGCAUAUGCAAAGUUGCUUGAGUAGGAGCAACGAGAACAUACCAAGUAUUGUUUGCUGUGAAACGUUGCAUGGGAAAACAAAAAAUUUCCUCCGCUCACCAAGAUCGAUCUAGGAGAUGCACAUCUAUGAGGGGAGAGAUUGAAUCUACAUACCCUUGUAGAUCGCUAAGCAUAAGCGUUCAAGAACGCAGUUGAUGUAGUGGUACAUCUUCGCGAUCGGAUCACGAUCCGUCGCACGAACUCCCGACCAAGCGCCGAACAGACGACACCUCCGUGUUCAACACAUGUACAGCUUGGUGACGCCUUCACCUCCUCGAUCCAGCGAGCGAUGGUGAAGUAGCAGCCCGACUCCUCCGACAGCACGACGGCGUGGUGAGGUGAUGGAGGUGAUAGCUCAGCAGGGCUUCGCCGCGCGAUGUUUAGAGAUGAAGAAUUACGAGGGGGAGGAGGAGCAACGUCGCGGCAAGAUUAUGUGUGGCUGCCCUCUCUCUACCUCUCUAUAUAUAGGGGGCAGCGGCUAGGGUUGGGGUGGCCCCUCCCACUUGGGUGCCUUACCACCUAAGUUGGGCUGGUCGGCGCCCUAGGGAGAGGCAUCCCUCCCUUCGGCCGAAGUGGGCAGGGGUGAGGGGCUGCGCCCAGUCCUCUAGUGGGAUGCGCUGCCCUCUCUCCUUAGCCCAUGAGCCCCCCAACAAUUGUCGAGGCCUCCCGAAACUCCUUUCGGUAUUCCAUCACUUCCUCGGUGUGCCCCUGAACACUUUCGGACUCCGAUGACCUUCAUCCUAUAUAUCAAUCUUCACCUACGGACUAUUUCAGAGUUCCUCGUCACGUCCGGGGAUCUCAUCCAGGACUCUGAACAACCUUCUAUCACCAACACAAUGACUCAAUUAUGCUUAUAUCAUCACCGAACCUUUGUAUAGACCCUGCGGGUUCGAGAACUAUGCAGACAUGACCGAGACACUCUCCGGUCAAUAACCAAUAGCGGGACUUGGAUGACCAUAUUGGUUCCUAGGUAUUCUACGAAGAUCUAUAUCGGUCGAACCUCGAUGUCAUGGAUUCAAUCAACCCCGUAUACAAUUUCCUUUGUCCAUCGGUAUGUUACUUGCCCAAGAUUCAAUCGUCGGUAUCUCCAUACCUAGUUCAAUCUCGUUACCGACAAGUCUCUUUACUCGUUACGUAAUACAAGAUCCCGUGCCUAACUCUUUAGUCACAUUGCUUGCAAGCUCAUUGUGAUGUUGUAUUACCGAGUGAGCCCUCAGAUACCUCUCCGUCAUACGGAGUGAAAAAUCCCAGUCUUGAUCCAUGUCAACUCAAUAGUCACCCUCGGAUAUACCUGUAGAGCACCUUUAUAGUCACCCAGUUACGUUGCGACGUUUGAUACACACAAGGUAAUCCUCCGAUGUCAAUGAGUUGCACGAUCUCAUGGUCAUACUAAUAGAUAACAUGUAGAAAACAGUAGCAAUAAACUGACACAAUCAUAUGUUACGUUCAUAGUUUGGGCCUUUUCCAUCGCAUCAUUCUCCUAAUGUUGCGAUCCCGUUAUUAAAUGACAACUCAUGUCUAUGUCCAGGAAACCUUGACCAUCUUUGACCAACGAUCUAGUCCAUUAGAGGCUCACUAGGGAGAGUGUGUUAUUUAUGUAUCCACACAUGUAUUUGAGUAUCCACACAUAUAAUAAUAACCACUUUAUUAUUGCCUCUAUGGCAUAUUUCCAACAGUCUCCCACUUGCACUAGAGUCAAUAAUCUAGCUCACAUCACUAUGUGAUUUACAUUAUAAUGAAUCUGACACCCAUACAGUUCUGGUGUUGAUCAUGCUUCGCUCAUGGAAGAGGCUUAGUCAAUGGGUCUCCCACAUUUAGAUCUGUGUGCACUUUGCAAAUAUUUAUGCUCUCCUCCUUCAUAUAAUUGCGGAUGGAAUUGAAGCGUUGUUUUAUGUGUCUGGUCCUCUUGUGAAAUCAUGGUUCCUUGGCUAGAUCAAUGGCACUAGUGUUGUCACAAAACAGAGUCAUUGGAUCCAGUGCACGGGGCACAACUCCAAGAUAUGUCAUGAACUACUUCAUCCAGACACCUUCUUUAGCUUCCUCCGACGCAACUAUGUACUCCGCUUCGCAUGUAGAAUCAGCUACCACGCUUUGCUAGGAACUGCACCAGCUUACUGCACCCCCAUUGAGAAUAUUUAUGUAUCCGGUCUGUGACUUAGAGUCAUCCGGAUCAGUGUCAAAGCUUGCAUCGACGUAACCCUUUACGACGAGCUCUUGAUCACCUCCAUAAACGAGAAACAUUUCCUUUGUCCUUUUCAAGUACUUCGGGAUAUUCUUGACCGUUGUCUAGUGUUACAUUCCUGAAUCACUUUGAAACCUUCCCACUAUACUUAUGGCAAGGCUGACAUCAGGUCUUGUGCACAGCAUUGCAUACAUGAUAGUGUUGGAAUUAUGCCCUAGAGGCAAUAAUAAAUAUAGUUAUUAUUAUNNNNNNNNNNNNNNNNNNNNNNNNNNNNNNNNNNNNNNNNNNNNNNNNNNNNNNNNNNNNNNNNNNNNNNNNNNNNNNNNNNNNNNNNNNNNNNNNNNNNAGACGGCGCGGGGCGACGACGGUGACGGCGAGGCGGAGACGGACGGGCAGCCUGGCGGCGUCAGGCGACGGGGAAGAACGAAUUGAACCAAAUUUUCGCGAGUGCUGCUUAUAUAGGCAGAGCAUUGGUCCCGGUUCAUGGCACCAACCGGGACCAAAGGCCUCUGUUUUGGUGCCACAAACCGGGAAAAAAGAGGGGCAUUGGUCCCGGUUGGUGCCACCAACCGAAACCAAAUGGCGUGUGCUCGUGCGGUGCGGUGCUAUGUUUAGUCCCACCUCGCUAGCCGAGAGGGGCUCAAAGUGGUUUACAAGCCCCGACGAACCAACCACUUUGAGCUCCUCUCUACUGCAGACUUACGGGUCUAAAAUCACUCUCUGUGCUUGUGGGCCUAUUGGGCCUACUGUGGGCCUGCAUCCUGGCCCUAGUAAUGGGUUUCUAGUCGUAUGCAGGCCGUGGUGGCUCUGUAGGUGGCACUUUUUUUAAAACAAAUCAUGUUUUUUGCUUUCUUUUUUAUUUCUAAUUACUUAUUUAUUUUCUUUUACAAUAAUUAUUUUUGCUAUUAAAGUUUGUAACAAAAUUCUAAUUACUUAUUUAUUUUCUUUUAUGAUAAUUCUUUUUGAUUUUAAUGUUUUGAACAAAAUUCUAAUUACUUAUUUAUUUUAUUUUAUGAUAAUUCUUUUUUCUAUUAAAGUUUGUAACAAAAUUCUAUAUAAUUUUAGUUUUAAUAAUACUAGAGGUUUAUAAAAGCUUUUUAGUUAAUUCUUUUAUUUUAAAUUUUUCUCAGUUUUUUGCUUUCUUUUUUGUUUCUAAUUACUUAUUUAUUUUCUUUUACGGUAAUUCUUCUUGCUAUUAAAUUUUGUAACAAAAUUCUAAUUACUUAUUUAUUUUCUUUUAUGAUAAUUCUUUUUACUAUUAAAGUUUGUAACAAAAUUCUAUAUAAUUUUAGUUUCAAUAAUACUAGAGGUUUAUAAAAGCUUUUUAGUUGAUUCCUUUGGUACGAGUUCUAAGGAUGUUACAAAGGCAUUUUAUUUGGUACAGGUUUUAAGGUUGGGGCUCCACGAGCACCUUUUAGUACCGGUUCGUGGCAAUGAACCGGUAAAUGAGUUUUUUAGUUGAUUCUUUCUGCAGCUGUGUUUUAGUCCCACCUUGCUAAGCGAGAGGCACUCGCAGCGGUUUAUAAGCCCUGAGUGUAGAGACGAUGAAGGGAGAAGCGCAGUGCUCACCUGCACGUUGGCCUGAAGCUAAGCAACGCGCAGGUGAGCAUUGCGCCUCUCUUUUAUUUUGGCAUGGUAUCAUCAUUUCAUCCACAUAGCAUAUCCAAGAAAGUUGAGAGGGUUACGGCAAAAACUGGAUGCACUUCGUGUACAAAAUGGACAAUCUCUUUCGAAGUAUCAGGAUUUCAUACGGAAACUUGUGUGUUACAACAUGCAUUUCAAAUGAACUACAAAAAGGUUGAAAGUUGGCAUGGUAUCAUCAUAAUAGUUGUGGAGGAAGUCUUCACUUUUUCUUCGCUUGUGUCCUUUCCUUAUUGCGCCGUAACUAUGGAUAAUCUUCAUCAUUUAUCAGGAUGCUUGGGUCAGCCUUGACUUUGAAGGGAGGAAUUUCAUGAAACUUUUCAUAAUCUUCGGACAUGUCUGUCUUGCCCUCCACUCCCACGAUGUCCCUUUUUCCUGAAAGAACUAUGUGGCGCUUUGGCUCAUCGUAUGAUGUAUUCGCUUCCUUAUUUUUUUCUUUUUCUCGGUUUGGUAGACAUGCCCUUCACAUAGAUAACCUGUGCCACAUCAUUGGCUAGGACGAACGGUUCGUCAGUGUACCCAAGAUUGUUCAGAUGCACUGUUGUCAUUCCGUACUGUGGGUCUACCUGUACCCCGCCUCCUGACACAUUGACCCAUUUGCACUAAAACAAAGGGACAUUAAAAUCUACUCCGUAGUCAAGUUCCCAUAUGUCCACUAUGUAACCAUAAUAUGUGUCCUUUCCCCUCUCGGUGGCUGCAUCAAAGCGGACACAGCUGUUUUGGUUGGUGCUCUUUUGAUCUUGGGGAUCCUGUAAAAUGUAUUCCCAUUUAUCUCGUAUCCUUUCCAAAUCGUAACAGUGGAAGAUGGUCCCCUGGACAACGAGUACAGCUCAUCACAAACAGUGUUUUCAUCUCUGAGACUUGUUUCCAACCAACUGCUGAAAGUCCUGAUGUGUUCACAUGUAAUCCAGUCGUCGCACUACUCUGGGUGUUUGGAGCACAGACUGUUCUUGUGUUCAUCGACAUAAGGGGUCACCAAGGUAGAGUUCUGUAGAACUAUGCAGUGUGCUUGAGACCAAGAAUAUCUGUCCCUGCAUAUUAUUGUCUCCCCUCCAAGCGUGCCUUUUCCAGUCAGUCUCCCCUCAUACCGCGAUUUAGGGAGACCUAUCUUCUUAAGGUCAAGAAUGAAGUCAACACAAAACCCAAUGACAUCCUCUGUUUGAUGGCCCAUGGAGAUGCUUCCUUCUGGCCUAGCGCGGCUACGGACAUAUUUCUUUAGGACUCCCAUGAACCUCUCAAAGGGGUACAUAUUGUGUAGAAAUACGGGGCCCAGAAUGACAAUCUCGUCAACUAGAUGAACUAGGACAUGCGUCAUGAUAUUGAAGAAGGAUGGUGGGAACACCAGCUCGAAACUGACAAGACAUUGCACCACAUCACUCCUUAGCCUUGGUAUGAUUUCUAGAUCGAUCACCUUCUGAGAGAUUGCAUUGAGGAAUGCACAUAGCUUCACAAUGGCUAAUCGGACGUUUUCCGGUAGAAGCCCCCUCAAUGCAACCGAAAGCAGUUGCGUCAUAAUCACGUGGCAGUCAUGAGACUUUAGGUUCUGAAACUUUUUCUCUGCCAUAUUUAUUAUUCCCUUUAUAUUCGACGAGAAGCCAGUCGUGACCUUCAUACUAAGCAGGCAUUCAAAGAAGAUUUCCUUCUCUUCUUUGGUAAGAGCGUAGCUGGCAGGACCUUCAUACUGCUUUGGAGGCAUGCCGUCUUUUUUGUGCAAAUGUUGCAGGUCCUCCCGUGCCUCAGUUGUAUCUUUUGUCUUCCCAUACACGCCCAAGAAGCCUAGCAGGUUGACGCAAAGGUUCUUCGUCACGUGCAUCACGUCUAUCGAAGAGCGGACCUCUAGGUCUUUCCAGUAGGGUAGGUCCCAAAAUAUAGAUUUCUUCUUCCACAUGGGUGCGUGUCCCCUAGCGUCACUCGGAACAGCUAGUCCGCCGGGACCCUUUCCAAAGAUUACGUGUAAAUCAUUGACCAUAGCAAGUACGUGAUCACCGGUACGCAUGGCGGGCUUCUUCCGGUGAUCUGCCUCGCCUUUGAAAUGCUUGCCUUUCUUUUGACAUUGAUGGUUGGUCGGAAGAAAUCGACGAUGGCCCAGGUACACAUUCUUCCUGCAGCUUCCCAGGUAUAUACUUUCGGUGUGAGCUAAAUAGUGUGUGCAUGCGUGGUAUCCCUUGUUUGUCUGUCCUGAAAGGUUACUGAGAGCGGGCCAAUCGUUGAUGGUUACAAACAGCAACGAGUGCGGGUUAAAUUCCUCCUGUUUGUGCUCAUCCCACGCACGUACACCGUUUCCAUUCCACAGCUGUAAAAGUUCUUCAACUAAUGGCCUUAGGUACACAUCAAUGUUGUUGCCGGGUUGCUUAGGGCCUUGGAUGAGAACUGGCAUCAUAAUGAACUUCCACUUCAUGCACAUCCAAGGAGGAAGGUUAUACAUACAUAGAGUCACGGGCCAGGUGCUGUGAUUGCUGCUCUGCUCCCCGAAAGGAUUAAUGCCAUCCGCGCUUAAACCAAACCAUACGUUCCUUGGGUCACGUGCAAACUCAGCCCAGUACUCUCUCUCGAUUUUUCUCCACUACGACCCGUCAGCGGGUGCUCUCAACUUCCCGUCUUUCUUACGGUCCUCACUGUGCCAUCGCAUCAACUUGGCAUGCUCUUUGUUUCUGAACAGUCGUUUCAACCGUGGUAUUAUAGGAGCAUACCACAUCACCUUCGCAGGAACUCUCUUCCUGCGGGGCUCACCGUCAACAUCACCAGGGUCAUCUCGUCUGAUCUUAUACCGUAAUGCACCGCAUACCGGGCAUGCGUUCAAAUCCUCGUACGCACCGCGGUAGAGGAUGCAGUCAUUAGGGCAUGCAUGUAUCUUCUGCACCUCCAAUCCUAGAGGGCAUACGACCUUCUUUGCUGCUUACGUACUGUCGGGCAAUUCAUUAUCCUUUGGAAGCUUCUUUUUCAAUAUUUUCAGUAGCUUCUCAAAUCCUUUGUUGGGCACAACAUUCUCUGCCUUCCACUGCAGCAAUUCCAGUACGGUACCCAGCUUUGUGUUGCCAUCUUCACAAUUGGGGUACAACUUUUUUUGUGAUCCUCUAACAUGCGAUCGAACUUCAGCUUCUCCUUUUGACUUUCGCAUUGCGUCCUUGCAUCGACAAUGACCCGGCGGAGAUCAUCAUCGGGCACAUCAUCUGGUUUCUCUUGAUCUUCAGCAGCUUCCCCCGUUGCAGCAUCAUCGGGCACAUCGUCUGGUUCCUCUUGAUCUUCAGCAGCUCCCCCCGUUGCAGCAUCACCGUAUUCAGGGGGCACAUAGUUGUCAUCGUCCUCUUCUUCUUCGUCGUCUUCCAUCAUAACCCCUAUUUCUCCAUGCCUCGUCCAAACAUUAUAGUGUGGCAUGAAACCCUUGUAAAGCAGGUGGGUGUGAAGGAUUUUCCGGUCAGAGUAAGACUUCGUAUUCCCACAUUUACUGCAUGGACAACACAUAAAACCAUUCUGUUUGUUUGCCUCGGCCACUUCGAGAAAAAUAUGCACGCCCUUAAUGUACUCGGAGGUGUGUCUGUCACCAUACAUCCAUUGCCGGUUCAUCUGCGUGCAUUAGAUAUAAUUAUGUGUGUCAAAAUUAAGAAAAUCAGACAAAUAUCUAUCUAAAGUAAGAAAAUCAGACAAGUAUCAUAAAGAAGAUAAGAACAAGAGGCUCACCACGGUGGUGCCGGCGACGAGAUCGGCGCGGGCGAUCAACGGCGGUGAAAACGGGGACGGGGCGUGACGGGCCCCUAAAUCUAUACAAAUCUCAAAAAAAUGGAGCUCCUAGGUCGAGCUUCGAGAGGAGAAAGCUUAACUAGUGUGGCUCGGGCAUUUCAUCGAACACCUCAUGUGCAUAGGAGGUGAACACCUCAUGUGCAUAGGAGGUGAACUAGAAACCUCGCCGGAUUGAAAAAACAGAGCACUGUGGAGUGCUCUGCCGCGGCGGUGGGUAUAUAUAGGCAAGUUAUUUGUCCCGGUUCGUGGCAUGAACCGGGACUAAAGCCACCCCUUCUGUCCCGGUUCAUGCCACGAACCGGGACCAAUGGUUGUGGGCCAGCACCGAGGACCAUUGGUCCCGGUUCGUGGCUCGAACCAGGACAAAUGGUUCUACACGAACCGGGACCAAUGCCCAUGAGGCCCCGGCCGGCCCCCUGGGCUCACGAAGCGGGUCUAAUACUCCCCAUUGGUCCCGGUUCUUGAAGAACCGGGACUAAUGAGCUGGCCAGGGUCGAACGAUAGCCCUGUUUUCUACUAGUGUGGGAGGAGAUAAGCUUGAGUGUGUGUGAACGGUUUGGAUGAUACAUGGCUAGAAGGGGUAUGUGAUCGAAAGGACAUUUUGUCCAUGCGAUGAAAGGGAUCGGACGAUGUACGAGGUGGUGGAUGCAUGAAAAUCAUGAGCCGGAUGAAUAGAAUCGUUUUCCUUAGAUCAUAACAUGUUUAAUAACAUAAAAUAUAGGUUGGUCCUAGUAAUUAUAGACACACAAAAAUAAGCUUAUUAAGAUUUUUAGGCUCUCCCACUAUCCGUCACUGGGUCUCAGUCAUUAAUCUAAUGACAACACGAAUCUUAUUUAAUUUAAACUAAUGCAUUUAAAUGUUGUACAUAUUUCAUCUUCAGCUACUCUCCCCCCUCUCCCUCUCUCUUCCUCUCUCCCGCUUCUCAAAUUGGAUUUAAAUUUGCAUGGCUUAAUAUCAUUUUGCUCAAAUAUUUAGAGCCACAAAGAACGUUCAAACGAUAAUCAAAACACAUUAUUUUUAUAUGACAUAAUAUUAUAUAAGGAUCGUGUUGUAAGCCCCUGUCUGUUAAUUAUGGUGCCAUUUGUGUGAUAAAUCAUGCUUACCCAUUAGAGCUCCAGAAAAAUGACAAGAUAAGGGAACCUAAAGAUGAAUUUUUACGUUGUUGCAUAGGGUACCUCCAACACUUAUAAGUAUGAGAGUGGCUUCUCCAUGAUUGGAUUCGUUCUUGGGAGUAGCUAUUUGAAGUUUCAAAGUAAAUGAAAAAAAUGUACUAUCGCAACUAGAGAGUUAAACCAUGCAUGUUACUAAGGCUGCUCAUAGUGGAGAGUAACAUAUAGUAGUAUCAUGCAUAUGUUACUAUUGUAUGAUACUACCUUCAUAGUGCAUAGUAUCAUAAACUAGUAUCAUAGAUGAUCUCAUUUAUUGACAUGCAUAACACAUAGUAGCAUAGCAUUUAACAUGUUACGGUAUCUAGCUAUGUUACUCUAAUCCUCUCUCUCUUCUUUAAUUACUUGUCACAUCACCAUGUUUGCUAGUCCCAAAACUAUGUUACUAGCUAUGAUACCCCCACUAUGACCACCUAAAACCUCUACUGCUAAAGGAGGAAUUUGGUACGUCAUUCGUCUCGCACCCCCUCGAUCGAAAGAAAAUCGUCCAUAGACCCCGUGUCCCCCCUCCCUCCCACUGAUUUUUCCACCACAAGCCACAUAGUUUUUUCCUCAAAGAAAAACCGAGCCUACCCCCCACAUCGCCGCUGCCAGACUCCUCACCCACGCCUCCCUCAAUCCCUAACCAAGUCGUUGCUCAUCUCCCCUUCUCUGACCAUAGCCGCCGCCGCACCCCACCCCUUUCCUUCUCGCCCUCCACACAUCUUCCCAUACCCCUCCCCUAUAGCCGCACAUCUACUUCGGCCCCGACCCUCCACAUGUUUUGCAAGGGUUUCAAAAGGAUGGCGUUCCUGUUGAAGGUCGGGAAUGUCCUCAAGAGAUUAGCGGGCUCCGGCUCAUCGAUGCUCUAGGCGGUUCGGUCCAUGUCCUCCUCCAAGGUCAUCGUUUGAUAUUCGUCGGAUUUCUCCCUCUUGUACAUCUCAUCUGUUACCUUUGCACCCUGAGAUGAGAUUUUCUUGUUGGGGGAUCCCUCGUAUAUUAUACUGCCCUAACUUGUCAUGUCCUAGCAGGCAUCUCGUAUGGCAGGGACGAGACUAUUGACACCAAAUUUUGGCAUGGUUAAAAACUUAAUUAAGGUGACCUCAUAUGGAAAAGUACUCAACAUGAGAAAGUUAUACAUCACCGAAUGGAACAACUUUGAUGCUUAGGUCAUCACCUUCCAACCUCAUAUUAAGGGCCGAAAUUGUACUCCUAGAAUGAUAAUUUAACUUCGUGAGUGUUGUUCGGCUGAUUAAGCCCCCAAGAUGACCUCAUUUGAGAAAAUGUUCUACAUGGAUUAUCUUCGUCUUGUCUCGUCGAUCGAUUUUGAUAUAAAAGCCAUCUCAAUCCGAUGCAAAAGUUAGAGCCAUCGGAAUGCGGUCCUAUCACAAGCCAAAAAGUGGCGCUCAAUCACACAUGUGUCUGAUAGGUAGCGCCCUGAUUUCUUGUUUUGCACGAGCAUUUCGGCACACAACGCAGCCCUUAAUCGAAAAAUGUUCAACACAAAAUUUGUUUGUCUCAUCGAAACUAUUAAAUUUGCUUUUAGGCUCAUCUUCAUCCGAGGUCUUUCUUGGCCUGUGAGACCCAAAAACCCGAACUGCUGUCUUAGACUUACCUAAAUCUGAGUUCGGUUAAUUUUGAAAAGAUUUGGACGGAGUUUGAAGUCUUUUUCUUAUACGAGAAGUUCAGCCGCCUCAAUACACCACAAAUUCUAACAUUAAAAUGGCCGUUUGCGUCAACUUUUAACACCAUCGAUGUAACUGACUCUACAAAUUUACAUCAUGUGGCAAUACAUGACAAACUUUUCCCCUAGCUUUAUAACAAGAAACAUCUCAUGUAUCAAGGACGAUAAACCCAACAUAGAUUUUGAUUUAUUCUUUCAAUGAGGGUCAAUUUUGUUAACUUGAAAUAACAUACUAAGUGGAUAUGAACACACACAUCCAUCCUCAACAUAGUCUCCAUCUCUACCUAAUAAUAAGAUAAAUACUGCUUCUGGUCGUAUGUCGUGAUGUUUUUGUAGAAAGGUCCCUGUUGUUUCUGUUAAUUAAUCCGUAGUCCGUUUAUAACUGAGACAUAACCGUUUUUUUGCGUUUUACGCAAGACCCCCUUACUUUUACACUAAAUAACCUGUGUUCCAAAUUUUAGUCAGAAUGAAUCGUUUUUUUUUAAUUUUACGUAAACCCCUGACAUAUGCAUUAAUAACCUCGGAGUCUAUUCAGAAUAAAUAUGUAUUUUCAAAUAACAAUAUCUUUUAAACCGUAAAUUCAAUUUAAACAUGUUAUAUAUGAAAUUUGAUUAGAAAAAUGUGUAGAGUUUGAAUAUGUUGUUAUUUUACAUGUUAAAUAUUUUUUAAAUACUAUAUAGGAUACAAUAUUAAUCAAUAUUUGUCUUUAUUUCGUAUCGACGAUCUGUAGUGUAACAUGUAAACUUAAGCGUCAAUAUUUGGAAAAUGUUAUAAUCUUUGGGCAUGAUGUAUUUGCACUAGGUUCUUUUUUUGUACAUAUUUUAUAAUCUAAAACCUUACGUACGUGUCUUUUUUUACAGAAUCCACGCACGUUUUUGCCAACGGAUUAUACUUUUUUUGUAGUGAAUACACAAACAAUUUUUAUAGGUUGUACAUGCACUUAUAAAAUUGAUGAACAUCAGAAGUACAUGGAGGUUUAUUUUAAAAACAUCUGAACUAUUAUCUGAUAGUAAUUGAAUGUUAAUAAUUGAAUUUUUUGUUUGAGGAUAACAGUUGAAUUGAUAAGUACAAUCUUAAUUUGUGUUCAUCUAUUGCAUGUGAUGGAUAUACAUAUAGACUUUUUUGAAUAGACUUAAUUUAUAAACACGGCCUCCUCGAUAUCGAACAACACCACGUCGAUGAUACCUGAGUGUGGUCGUAGGUGCACACCAUCAAUAUAACGAAUCAGAAUCAAAAUUGAAUCAAAAUGAUAACGGCUCAGGUAAAAAAAAACUAUCUGUUGCAACGCACGGACUGUUUUGCUAGUUAGCUAGGAUACACAUGUAGACGUUGGGUGUGUGUGUGAUGAACUUGCUAGAGUGGGGCGUACAUAGGUUCAAACUGCAGUGUGGCUGAUCUCAGGUCCGAGUGGGGUUAGAAAAGGACACGGUUACUUAUCCUUGGUGAACACGGGCAGGGCUGCAGUUUCUACCAGUCUCCGUCCACUGCUCCGACGGUGAAUGGAGGGGGGUGGGCUCCGACGGUAUGUUCAAUUAGGUAGGGCUCGGUUUUUGUCCAGUGUCCCCAGAGCGGUGAGGACGGCGGCGUGUCGAUAAUAAAUUGUCUCCGGUCCCUUCCUCACCAUGACGAUGCUCAGGGCGUUGAGGGGCCUGUGCGAGCUGUGCGCUUGCACAAGGCCCCCAAAAUUCUAGGACCCCCAACUAGGGUUCAUAUGUAUAUGUAUAUAGUCUGGAAAAAAAUCAGUUAUAUAGAUCAAAUAUGCAAAGAGUUCACUGCCAGCCAGGGUCCGCUCCGCUUGAGGCUUUCUUGGGUCUGGCCUUUGGAAUUGCCACGCACACGUACUAACAAAUUGUCUAGCGUGGAAACUUGCCAGGCCCGCCAGGGACAUUGUAUUGUACUAGCGUGGAAACUUGUAGGAACGAGGUGGAUGUGCAUUGAUCUACUAGCGAAACGAAAGUCCCAGCGCACUACUUUCCUAACCUCCGGCACCGAUUCCUCUUCUUUCGGACUGAAACAGCGGCAGCAAUCGAGAUCGCUUUGCAGGUUGACGUGCGCAGCGAGCCGACAAGUAGAAUCGGACGCCGGACGCCGCCGGCAGGCCGCCGCGCGCCCCCGCCGGCGGCCGACCGGCACUGCCGCAGAAGCGUCCAACAGGAACGGUAGUUGUGUGGUGCCCUCCCUACGCUCUUNNNNNNNNNNNNNNNNNNNNNNNNCGCUCUUCCCCUUUUCUCUAACUUCGAUACAAAUUACAGAGAUAAUCACCUGAUGCAGUCUAGUUCUGGAAGAAAAUACGAUUGCCUUCAAGCUUAAGAAGAAACAGAAAUUAGAAGAUGCUCAAUCUCAGCAUGGCGCUCUUGAUAAAUAUGUUGUGAAAGGGCCCCAAACUAAUUCUGACAAUCAAACUCCAGAUGCUAAUAUUGAUGGAGAUCAAGAUGUUAAUGCAGUAGAGGUUGAGGUUGUCGCCGCAAAAAUUUAAGAAGGUGAUCAUGGUCAUUGUGAUAAUGCAGAAGAGGUUGAGGUUANNNNNNNNNNNNNNNNNNNNNNNNNNNNNNNNNNNNNNNNNNNNNNNNNNNNNNNNNNNNNNNNNNNNNNNNNNNNNNNNNNNNNNNNNNNNNNNNNNNNGAAUGUACCGGGAAUGACGAAUGGGUUCCGGGAGUUCACCGGGGGGGGCAACCCACCCCGGGGAAGCCCAUAGGCCUUGGGGGAGACACACCAGCCCUUAGUGGGCUGGUGGGACAGCCCACAAGUGCUCUAUGCGCCAAGAGAAGAAAAUCAAGAGGAAAAGAAAAAAAAGGGAGGAGGUGGGAAGGGAGGAGGACUCCCUCCCACCAAACCUAGUCCAACUCGGUUUGGGGGGGGAGAGUCCUCCCCCUUGGCUCGGCCGACCCCCUUGAGGGUCCUUGGACCCCAAGGCAAGGCCCCCUCCCUCCCACCUAUAUAUACGGAGGUUUUAGGGCUGAUUUGAGACGACUUUUCCACGGCAGCCCGACCACAUACCUCCACAGUUUUUCCUCUAGAUCGCGUUUCUGCGGAGCUCAGGCGGAGCCCUGCUGAGACAAGGUCAUCACCAACCUCGGGAGCGCCGUCACUCUGCCGGAGAACUCUUCUACCUCUCCGUCUCUCUUGCUGGAUCAAGAAGGCCGAGAUCAUCGUCGAGCUGUACGUGUGCUGAACGCGGAGGUGCCGUCCGUUCGGUACUAGAUCGUGGGACUGAUCGCGGGAUUGUUCGCGGGGCGGAUCGAGGGACGUGAGGACGUUCCACUACAUCAACCGCGUUCUCUAACGCUUCUGCUGUACGGUCUACAAGGGUAUGUAGAUCACUCAUCCCCUCUCGUAGAUGGACAUCACCAUGAUAGGUCUUCGUGCGCGUAGGAAAUUUUUUGUUUCCCAUGUGACGUUCCCCAACAGUGGCAUCAUGAGCUANNNNNNNNNNNNNNNNNNNNNNNNNNNNNNNNNNNNNNNNNNNNNNNNNNNNNNNNNNNNNNNNNNNNNNNNNNNNNNNNNNNNNNNNNNNNNNNNNNNNGCAUCGUCUUGAAGAGCUCCGGAUCCCGUUUGCACGCUCCAUGGUCUGGACACUCGCGGCAUUGCAGUAGGCAGGUGCUCGUCUGGCGAUGUGUUUGUUCUGCGCGGCUUCUUGUGUGGCAAGAAUUUUGGCUUCAGGCAGAGCUGGCUUGCUGAUGGUUCUUGGUAGUCGGUCUCUUCCAGCAUGUUCGAGGGAUCGUUGUGCCUCGCUUUUGUCUUCAUGAAGUCAGAGCUGUUGAGGAGGGUCCCUUGCGAUGAAGAUGAUACGAUACGGGUGGUCGGCUUUGGCGCUGGCUCGGCGCAAGCCCAACGGUUUUCCCCGACAAUGCUCAUCGAAAGAGUCGGAGCUGCCUAGUCGCCGGCGCGUGUGGCUGACUGUUUGGCUUUGACCGACGCGGGCCUCGACGCUUGUCCGCGGUGAGGGCUUCUUCGGUGGUCGUCGAUGGUGGAGUCAGAGUCGCCCUCGUGGAGGCGUGAUGACGAUGACAUCGGGUUGCAGCCUUGAUGAUCUUUUCUCCAUAGCGGUUUGUGUGCGUUUCUGUGUGGGUUGCGAGGUCGCCCUUUGUGCCAUGUUUUUGCUGGCAUGUUGUGACGGUUUUCUUUCGGUUUUCCAAUAGUUAACCAAACAAUUCUCCUCAAUCUUUUUAAUGAAUCGGGACCUAAGGGACGGUGUUAAAAUUUUUUCCACGGGGGUGGAAAUGAAUUGUUUGGUAGUGUUCACUAUUUGGCCCGCAUGACAUGAACAUUAAAGCAACUUCCAGUCAGGCCUAUUGGAAACGCUUAAAUCGACAAUUUCCGCGGAGCUAGUAUAGAGUCUGUACGUGCUAUCUUCUUCUACCUUCAUUAAGCUCCUCCCUAACCCCUUUCUUCCUUGUCCCUCCUAAUCUACACAACGAUGUUUCAGUUCGAAAUAAACUCUAGACGAAAAGAUGCACAUCGAUGUUAUGGUUCCGACCGAUUCGUAGUUUCUUCGACCCUAAAUGCUUCAGAUGUGGUGUCAACGAGCGCUUCUCAUCCUCUUUGUUCUUUGAUUUAUCCUCCUCGGUCUNNNNNNNNNNNNNNNNNNNNNNNNNNNNNNNNNNNNNNNNNNNNNNNNNNNNNNNNNNNNNNNNNNNNNNNNNNNNNNNNNNNNNNNNNNNNNNNNNNNNAUGUGAUGUGAUAUAUUGGAUGUAUGAGAUGAUCAUGUUGUAAUAGAUAAUAUCGACUUGCACGUCGAUGGUACGGCAACCGGCAGGAGCCAUAGGGUUGUCUUUAUAACUAACGUUUGUGCUUGCAGAUGCGUUUACUAUUUUGCUAGGACGUAGCUUUAGUAGUAAUAGCAUGAGUAGCACGACAACCCCGAUGGCGACACGUUGAUGGAGAUCAUGAUGAUGGAGAUCAUGGUGUGACGCCGGUGACAAGAAGAUCGUGCUGGUGCUUUGGUGAUGGAGAUCAAGAAGCACGUGAUGAUGGCCAUAUCAUGUCACUUAUGAAUUGCAUGUGAUGUUAAUCCUUUUAUGCACCUUAUUUUGCUUAGAACGACGGUAGCAUUAUGAGGUGAUCUCUCACUAAAAUUUCAAGACGAAAUUGUGUUCUCCCCGACUGUGCACCGUUGCUACAGUUCGUCGUUUCGAGACACCACGUGAUGAUCGGGUGUGAUAGACUCAACGUUCACAUACAACGGGUGCAAAACAGUUGCGCACGCGGAACACUCGGGUUAAGCUUGACGAGCCUAGCAUGUGCAGACAUGGCCUCGGAACACAUGAGACCGAAAUGUCGAGCAUGAAUCGUAUAGUUGAUAUGAUUAGCAUAGAGAUGCUUACCACUAAAACUAUUCUCGACUCACGUGAUGAUCGGACUUGAGAUAGUGGAUUUGGAUCAUGUACCACUCAAGUGACCAGAGAUAUGUACUUUUUGAGUGGGAGUUCUUAAGUAAUAUGAUUAAUUGAACUAAUUGUCAUGAACAUAGUCUAAUGGUCUUUGCGAAUUACGAUGUAGCUUGCACUAUAGCUCUACUGUUUUUAUAUGUUCCUAGAGAAAAUUUAGUUGAAAGUUGAUAGUAGCAAACUUUGCAGACUGAGUCUGUAAAACCGAGGAUUGUCCUCAUUGCUGCACAGAAGGCUUAUGUCCUUAAUGCACCACUCGGUGUGCUGCACCUCGAGCGUCGUCUGUGGAUGCUGUGAAUAUCCGACAUUCACGUUUCUGAUGACUACACGAUAGUUCAGUACAAAAAUACUUAAUGGCUUAGAAGCAAGGCGCCGAAAACGUUGUAAAAUGUCACGGAACAUAAGUGAUGUUCUAAAGAGAUGAAAUUGUGAUUUCAUGCUUGUGCCCUUGUUAAGAGGUACGAGACAUUCGACAAGAUUAUUUGUCCACAAAGUAAAGGAGAAAGGCUCAAUCGUUGAGCAUGUGCUCAGAUUGUCUGAGUACGACAAUCGCUUGAAUCAAGUGGGAGUUAAUCUUCUAGAUGAGAUAGUGAUAGUUCUCCAAAGUCACUGCCACCAAGCUAUGAGAGCUUCGUGAUGAACUAUAACAUAUCAAGGAUACAUACAAUGAUCCUUGAGCGAUUCGCGAUGUUUGACACUGCGAAAGUAGAAAUCAAGAAGGAGCAUCAAUAGUUGAUGGUUUGUAAAACCACUAAGUUUCAAGAAGGGCAAGGGCUAGAAGGGAUACUUCGUGAAACGGCAAAACAGUUGUUGCACUAAUGAAGAGACCCAAGAUUAAACCCAAACCCGAGACUAAGUGCUUCUGUAAUGAGGGGAACAGUCACUGAGGCGGAGCAACUCUAGAUACUUGGUAGAUAAGAAGGCUGGCAAAAGUCGAAAGAAGUGUAUUUGAUAUACAUGAUGUUGAUGUGUACUUUACUAGUACUCCUAGUAGCAUGUGGGUAUUGGAUACCGGUUCGGUUGCUAAGUGAUUAGUAACACGAAAUGUAAGCUACGGAAUAAAUGUAGACUAGCUAAAAGCGAGGUGACGAUAUGUGUUGGAAGUGUUUCCAAGGUUGAUAUGAUCAAACGUCGCACGCUCCCUCUACCAUCGGGAUUGGUGUUAAACCUAAAUAAUUGUUAUUUGGUGCUUGCGUUAAGCAUGAACAUGAUUGGAUCGUGUUUAUUGCAAUACGAUUAUUCAUUUAAAGAGAAUAAUGGUUACUCUAUUUUCUUGAAUAAUCACCUUCAAUGGUUUAUUGAAUCUCGAUCGUAGUGUUACACAUGUUCAUGAUAUUGGUGCCAAAAGAUACGAGUUGAUGAUGAUAGUACCACUUACUUGUGGCACUGCCGCUUGAGUCAUGUUAGUAUAAAUUGCAUGAAGAGGCUCCAUGCUGAUGGAUCUUUGUACUCACCUGAUUUCGAAUCACUAGUGACAUGCAAAUCAUACCACAUGAGCAAGGCCUUGUUUUUCAUUGAGAUGAAAUAAGAUAGUAACUUGUUGGAAGUGAUACAUUUUGAUGUAUGCAGUCCAAUGGGUGCUGAGGCACGCAGUGGAUAUCAUUAUGUUCUUACUUCACUGACAAUUUGAGUAGAUACAAGAGUAUUUACUUAAUGAAUCACAAGUCUGAAAUGUUGAAAAGUUCAAUUCCGUUUCAGGGUGAAGUUCGUCAUAACAAGAGGAUAAACUGUCUACGAUAUGAUCAUGGAAAUGAAUAUCUGAGAUACGAGUUUUGGUACACAGUUGAGACGAAAGUGGAAAUUGUUUCGCAGUUCAUGCCACCUGGAACAUCAUAGUGUGAUGAUGUGUCUGAACGUCAUAGCCACGCACUAUUUGGUAUGGUGCAUACUAUGAUAUCUCUUAUCGAAUUACCACUAUCGUUUAUGGGUUAUGCAUUAGAGACAACCGCACUCACUUUAAAUAGGGCACCGCGUAUUUCCGUUGAGAUGACACAGUAUAGACUGAGGUUUAGAGAAAUCUAAACUGUCGUUUCUUGAAAGUUUGGGGAUUUCGACACUUAUGUGAAAAAGUUUCAGUCUGAUAAGCUCGAACCCAAAGCGGAUAAAUGCAUCUUCAUAGGAUAUCCAAAGCAGUUGGGUACAUCUCCUAUCUCAGAUCCGAAAGCAAAGUGUUUGUUUCUAGAAACGGAUCCUUUCUCGAGGAAAGGUUUCUCUCGAAAGAAUUGAGUGGGAGGGUAGUAGAACUUGAUGAGGUUAUUGAACCAUCACUUCAACCAGUGUGUAGCAGGGCACAGGAAGUUGUUCAUGUGGCGCCUACACCAAUUGAAGUGGAAGCUGAUGAUGAUGAUCAUUGAGCUUCGAAUCAAGUUACUACAAACCUCGUAGGUCGACAAGGUCGCGUACUGCUGCAGAGUAGUACGGUAACCCUGUCUUGGAGGUCAUGUUGUUGAGCAACAGUGAACCUAUGAGUUAUGGAGAAAGCGAUGGUGGGCCCAGAUUCCAACAAAUGGCUGGAAGCCAUGAAAUCCGAGAGAGGAUCCAUGUGUGAAAACAAAGUGUAGACUUUGGUAGAACUACUUGAUGGUCAUAGGACUAUUGAGUAAAAAUGGAUCUUUAAAGGAAAACAGACGAUGAUGGUGAUAAGUCACUAUUAAGAAAAGCUCGACUUGUCGCAAAGAUGUUUUCGACAAGUUCAAACAGUUGACUAUGAUGAGACUUUCUCACUCGUAGCGAUGCUAAAGGUCUGUUAGAAUUAUGUUAGUUGUUGAUGCAUUAUUUAUGAAAUAUUGCACGUAGGAUGUCAAAACAUUGUUUCCUCGACGGUUUCCUUGAGCAAACAUUGUAUGUGAUACAACCAGGAGGUUCUGUCGAUCCUAAAGAUACUAGCAGGUAUGCAAGCUCCAGCGAUCCUUCAAUGGACUGGUGCAAGCAUCUCGGAGUUGGAAUAUAUAUACUUUGAUGAGAUGAUCAAAGAUUUUGGGUUUGUACAAGGUUUAUGAGAAACUUGUAUUUCCAAAGAAGUGAGUGGGAGCACUAUAGAAUUUCUGAUAAGUAUAUGUGGUUGACAUAUUGUGGAUCAGAAGUAAUGUAGAAUUUCUGUAAAGCAUACAAGGUUGUUUGAAAGGAGUUUUUCAAAGGAAUACCAAGAUUGCGCUACUUGAACGUUGAGCAUCAAAGAUCUAUGGAGAUAGAUCGAAAGCGCUUAAUAGAAGUUUCAACAAGAUGCAUGCCUUGACAAGUUUUUGAAGGAGUUCAAAAUAGAUCAGUAAAGAAGGAGUUCUUGGUUGCGUUGUAAGGUGUGAAUUUGAGUAAGACUCAAAACCUGACCACGGCAGAAUAAAGAGAAUAGACGAAGGUCGUCUUCUAUGCCUUAGCCGUAGAAUGUAAAGUAUGCCAUGCUGUGUACCGCACCUGAUGUGUGCCUUGACUCAAAGUCUGUUGAGAGGUACAGAGAGGGAUCCAUGAUUGAAUCACUAGCAGCGGUCAAAAUUUAUCCUUAGUAACAAAUGGACUAAGGAAUUUUUCUCGAUUAUGGAGGUGGUUAAAGAGUUCGUCGUAAAGGGUUACGUCGAUGCAAGCUUUGACACUAAUCCGAAUAACUAUGAGUAGUGAAACGGAUUCAUAUAGUAGAGUAGAUAUUUGGAGCAUUUCCGAAUAGCACGUAGUAGCAGCAUCUAUAAGAUGACAUAAAGAUUUGUAAAGAACGCACGGAUCUAAAAGUUUCAGAACCGUUGACUAAAACCUCUCUCACGAGCAAGACGUGAUCAGACCCCAUAACUAUAUGGGUGUUGGAUUCGUUGGAAUCACAUGGUGAUGUGAACUAGAUUAUUGACUCUAGUGCAAGUGGGAGACUGUUGGAAAUAUGCCCUAGAGGCAAUAAUAAAUUAGUUAUUAUUAUAUUUCUUAGUUCAUGAUAAUCGUUUAUUAUCCAUGCUAUAAUUGUAUUGAUUGGAAACACAAUACUUGUGUGGAUACAUAGACAAAACACUAUCCCUAGUAAGCCUCUAGUUGACUAGCUCGUUGAUCAAAGAUGGUCAAGGUUUCCUGGCCAUAGGCAAGUGUUGUCACUUGAUAAUGGGAUCACAUCAUUAGGAGAAUCAUGUGAUGGACUAGACCCAAACUAAUAGACGUAGCAUGUUGAUCGUGUCAUUUUGUUGCUACUGUUUUCUGCGUGUCAAGUAUUUGUUCCUAUGACCAUGAGAUCAUAUAACUCACGGACACCGGAGGAAUGCUUUGUGUGUAUCAAACGUCGCAACGUAACUGGGUGACUAUAAAGAUGCUCUACAGGUAUCUCCGAAGGUGUUCGUUGAGUUAGUAUGGAUCGAGACUGGGAUUUGUCACUCCGUGUGACGGAGAGGUAUCUCGGGGCCCACUCGGUAAUACAACAUCACACACAAGCCUUGCAAGCAAUGUAACUUAGUGUAAGUUGCGGGAUCUUGUAUUAUGGAACGAGUAAAGAGACUUGCCGGUAAACGAGAUUGAAAUAGGUAUGCGGAUACUGACGAUUGAAUCUCGGGCAAGUAACAUACCGAAGGACAAAGGGAAUGACAUACGGGAUUAUAUGAAUCCUUGGCACUGAGGUUCAAACGAUAAAGAUCUUCGUAGAAUAUGUAGGAUCUAAUAUGGGCAUCCAGGUCCCGCUAUUGGAUAUUGACCGAGGAGUCUCUCGGGUCAUGUCUACAUAGUUCUCGAACCCGCAGGGUCUGCACACUUAAGGUUCGACGUUGUUUUAUGCGUAUUUGAGUUAUAUGGUUGGUUACCGAAUGUUGUUCGGAGUCCCGGAUGAGAUCAUGGACGUCACGAGGGUUUCCGGAAUGGUCCGGAAACGAAGAUUGAUAUAUAGGAUGACCUCAUUUGAUUACCGGAAGGUUUUCGGAGUUACCGGGAAUGUACCGGGAAUGACGAAUGGGUUCCGGGAGUUCACCGGGGGGGCCCACCCACCCCGGGGAAGCCCAUAGGCCUUGAGGGUGUCACACCAGCCCUUAGUGGGCUGGUGGGACAGCCCAAAAGGGCCUUAUGCGCCAAGAAGGAAAAAUCAAGAGAAAAGAAAAAAAGGGAGGAGGUGGGAAGGAAGGGGGACUCCCUCCCACCAAACCAAGUCCAACUCGGUUUGGGGGGGGGGGGUCCNNNNNNNNNNNNNNNNNNNNNNNNNNNNNNNNNNNNNNNNNNNNNNNNNNNNNNNNNNNNNNNNNNNNNNNNNNNNNNNNNNNNNNNNNNNNNNNNNNNNNNNNNNNNNNNNNNNNNNNNNNNNNNNNNNNNNNNNNNNNNNNNNNNNNNNNNNNNNNNNNNNNNNNNNNNNNNNNNNNNNNNNNNNNNNNNNNNNNNNNNNNNNNNNNNNNNNNNNNNNNNNNNNNNNNNNNNNNNNNNNNNNNNNNNNNNNNNNNNNNNNNNNNNNNNNNNNNNNNNNNNNNNNNNNNNNNNNNNNNNNNNNNNNNNNNNNNNNNNNNNNNNNNNNNNNNNNNNNNNNNNNNNNNNNNNNNNNNNNNNNNNNNNNNNNNNNNNNNNNNNNNNNNNNNNNNNNNNNNNNNNNNNNNNNNNNNNNNNNNNNNNNNNNNNNNNNNNNNNNNNNNNNNNNNNNNNNNNNNNNNNNNNNNNNNNNNNNNNNNNNNNNNNNNNNNNNNNNNNNNNNNNNNNNNNNNNNNNNNNNNNNNNNNNNNNNNNNNNNNNNNNNNNNNNNNNNNNNNNNNNNNNNNNNNNNNNNNNNNNNNNNNNNNNNNNNNNNNNNNNNNNNNNNNNNNNNNNNNNNNNNNNNNNNNNNNNNNNNNNNNNNNNNNNNNNNNNNNNNNNNNNNNNNNNNNNNNNNNNNNNNNNNNNNNNNNNNNNNNNNNNNNNNNNNNNNNNNNNNNNNNNNNNNNNNNNNNNNNNNNNNNNNNNNNNNNNNNNNNNNNNNNNNNNNNNNNNNNNNNNNNNNNNNNNNNNNNNNNNNNNNNNNNNNNNNNNNNNNNNNNNNNNNNNNNNNNNNNNNNNNNNNNNNNNNNNNNNNNNNNNNNNNNNNNNNNNNNNNNNNNNNNNNNNNNNNNNNNNNNNNNNNNNNNNNNNNNNNNNNNNNNNNNNNNNNNNNNNNNNNNNNNNNNNNNNNNNNNNNNNNNNNNNNNNNNNNNNNNNNNNNNNNNNNNNNNNNNNNNNNNNNNNNNNNNNNNNNNNNNNNNNNNNNNNNNNNNNNNNNNNNNNNNNNNNNNNNNNNNNNNNNNNNNNNNNNNNNNNNNNNNNNNNNNNNNNNNNNNNNNNNNNNNNNNNNNNNNNNNNNNNNNNNNNNNNNNNNNNNNNNNNNNNNNNNNNNNNNNNNNNNNNNNNNNNNNNNNNNNNNNNNNNNNNNNNNNNNNNNNNNNNNNNNNNNNNNNNNNNNNNNNNNNNNNNNNNNNNNNNNNNNNNNNNNNNNNNNNNNNNNNNNNNNNNNNNNNNNNNNNNNNNNNNNNNNNNNNNNNNNNNNNNNNNNNNNNNNNNNNNNNNNNNNNNNNNNNNNNNNNNNNNNNNNNNNNNNNNNNNNNNNNNNNNNNNNNNNNNNNNNNNNNNNNNNNNNNNNNNNNNNNNNNNNNNNNNNNNNNNNNNNNNNNNNNNNNNNNNNNNNNNNNNNNNNNNNNNNNNNNNNNNNNNNNNNNNNNNNNNNNNNNNNNNNNNNNNNNNNNNNNNNNNNNNNNNNNNNNNNNNNNNNNNNNNNNNNNNNNNNNNNNNNNNNNNNNNNNNNNNNNNNNNNNNNNNNNNNNNNNNNNNNNNNNNNNNNNNNNNNNNNNNNNNNNNNNNNNNNNNNNNNNNNNNNNNNNNNNNNNNNNNNNNNNNNNNNNNNNNNNNNNNNNNNNNNNNNNNNNNNNNNNNNNNNNNNNNNNNNNNNNNNNNNNNNNNNNNNNNNNNNNNNNNNNNNNNNNNNNNNNNNNNNNNNNNNNNNNNNNNNNNNNNNNNNNNNNNNNNNNNNNNNNNNNNNNNNNNNNNNNNNNNNNNNNNNNNNNNNNNNNNNNNNNNNNNNNNNNNNNNNNNNNNNNNNNNNNNNNNNNNNNNNNNNNNNNNNNNNNNNNNNNNNNNNNNNNNNNNNNNNNNNNNNNNNNNNNNNNNNNNNNNNNNNNNNNNNNNNNNNNNNNNNNNNNNNNNNNNNNNNNNNNNNNNNNNNNNNNNNNNNNNNNNNNNNNNNNNNNNNNNNNNNNNNNNNNNNNNNNNNNNNNNNNNNNNNNNNNNNNNNNNNNNNNNNNNNNNNNNNNNNNNNNNNNNNNNNNNNNNNNNNNNNNNNNNNNNNNNNNNNNNNNNNNNNNNNNNNNNNNNNNNNNNNNNNNNNNNNNNNNNNNNNNNNNNNNNNNNNNNNNNNNNNNNNNNNNNNNNNNNNNNNNNNNNNNNNNNNNNNNNNNNNNNNNNNNNNNNNNNNNNNNNNNNNNNNNNNNNNNNNNNNNNNNNNNNNNNNNNNNNNNNNNNNNNNNNNNNNNNNNNNNNNNNNNNNNNNNNNNNNNNNNNNNNNNNNNNNNNNNNNNNNNNNNNNNNNNNNNNNNNNNNNNNNNNNNNNNNNNNNNNNNNNNNNNNNNNNNNNNNNNNNNNNNNNNNNNNNNNNNNNNNNNNNNNNNNNNNNNNNNNNNNNNNNNNNNNNNNNNNNNNNNNNNNNNNCUUGCAUCAAGACUGCACCACCACACCCACAAUUGGCACAAAUCUGGUAUUCCCAGGUUGCCAAGACAUAUAACAACCCAACAUGAAUGGAAUGGAGCAAGGAAGAGCACCACAACAUCAACUAAGCACACACAAUGAUCAAAAUGACUAUAUUACUCAAUCUGCCAUAAUCUCCAUCUUAGCUCUUUGUGAGCUGCAUGCAACAUAGCUACAGCCCUCCAAAUAUGACAAAUAAUAUAUGUGUAUGUAGCCUACCAAGAACACUACAAGCAACAGCAAGAAUCACAGAAAAAGGAAUUAAACUCUAGAAGAUACAAGGCCACAAACUUUCCCAAAACCAUCAGAUCUCAGGGACUUAGUGAAAAUUCCUGCACCUGACUUUCUGUCUUAGUUAUGAAGCUUUUUGACAGCAAUCAAAACACAACCUAUUGGACUCCAAAUGAUAUGAAAUUUGACAGGGAUCUUCACAAACAUAUCAGGUCCAAACUCCUAGCACUGAGCUAAGGCUAGUUCACAACACAAUGACCAGCACAUCCUCAUCUACAGGAGAAGAAAAUGUUUCCAGAUUCUCACACUUAGUGAAAUUCCAGAUUUCACUAAGCUGGACUUUUUCAGCCACAUGCCCACUUUGUCUAGACAUAGUUUGCACACAAAUAAGACCAAGUGAUAAAUGACACCACUAUGGUGUAAGGCAAAACUCCUACUACUAUCACACAAAAACACAUGCCCUUGGGCUCCACCUAUUCCAUGGAAACAAAGAGCAAACUUGCAACAAAUCUGAAUAUGUCAACUCCAUAAAGUAUCUCCAUGGCAAAACUAACUUCACCACUGGAUUCCUUGGGAGAUUCUAUCCCAAAUUCAUAUAUAAUAUGUGGGCACUUACUUGGAACAAUUGACAACAUAUUAGGGAAGAAGAAACCACUACAAAUCAUGCCUAGUGAAUGGGGCAUCAUCUCAUGUAGUUCCACCAUAACAACAACUACAAAGGUUGAGCUCAUGUGCACAAUGACAAAGUGACAUGGGGGUUUGAACCCCAUGUUUGUGUCAUUCACAUCAACUUCACAACCCCUACUAUUAAGCUUCCCACACAAAUAUCAUGCCAUGCCCUCUCACAUAUGGACAUGUGAAAGUGCAAGGCUUGUUUGCCAAGGUGGGAUGCUACUCACACACACACCUAGUCCACAUCACCCACAAGCACAUCAUGCUCAAGAUCAACACCACACACUUACACAUGUUAUCAUAGCAACCAACUAGAACAAGGUCAACUUUAUUUAUACACACACAACCUAGUGCAACAUUAAGUGCUAGCACCUACAACAAUGAAGAACCUACACAUGCUUCAACUACAUGCUAUCAUAUCCCUAGGAACAACUAUCAACAGAACCACAUACACACAAUCUAGUGCAACUACACUCAUGUGUAUGCCCACACACACACAUGCACUUCUUACCAGCACAUCCACACACACUAUACCACCUAGCACCAUUAUAAAUGCAAAGGAAAAAUAAAACACAAUGCCAUGGCCACCUAUGCCUUUGUCACAAGAAUAGCAACAACAAAGAAGGAAGUGAAAAUGCAGCAAAAGAGAAAAACAAAACGGGGGGCUUCCUGGGAUUCGAACCCAACACCCACUGGUGCAACAAACUUCCCCCUACCACUCUGCUAGUGUCAACUUAUCGACAGCACAGAGGGUUCAGGCAAGGUAAGGCUACCCUGCAGUUAACUGUGCCGAAAAAUCAAAGAAACAAAAGGUGCCGAGGGGGGGAUGGAACCCAGCACCUCGCAUCAGGCACAACAGGACACAUACCACUAGGCUACGCUACGGAGUCUGAUCUAACACGCGGAACAAGCGAAGUGAAGGAGGUCCCUCUGCUGAUCUACUACCGGCGGCAGACCGAAACAGGGGAAGGCCCUCGCCGGCGACAUGGUGCAAAUCGAGCAACGGCUCGGGGAGGGGGNNNNNNNNNNNNNNNNNNNAAUCCCACACACGCAUGGGCUCAUUGCAUGUGCUAACUGCACCCGAGGGGCUCUACUACGGCGCAGUGACGGCGAGCGGCGGCACCGGCGACAGAGAGCAUGCGCGCAUCAAACCUACUGCUACUGCACCCGAUCUAAGACAAGGAGGGGGUAGGAGGAGCACUACCUCGCGUACGAGUCGAGGAGAGGAACGGCUCAUAGAGGAAGUAGUGGAGGAAGGCCGUCGGGGAAGCUCCUCGUCGGAGGGGAUGCACCGCCGGGAAGCAGUGGACGCAGAGCGGGGGAGGUCGAUCUCGCGCCGGGAACGGGCUCCUGGAGGCGUCCUCGAGCUGCUGGAGUCAUCGUAGAGGAGGUAGGGGAAGUAGAUCGACGGCGGUGACGAACUCCUACCCGUCGGCCAUGGCGGACCCGAGCGCUCCUCACCUUGCUGCGACGAGAGAGAGAGGGGGAUCGGGAUCUGGACGUUGAGGCGGCAGGGAGGAACCCUAACACGACUGCACGGAUGCCAAGGGGUUAAAUAGCUGGAGAGGAGGAACGCGAGGGCGUGCCGUCGGCCAUGUGCUGUCGUUCCUCUCGGUGGAGCAGAGGGGAGGGAUAGAGAGGAUGACAGGUGGUGCCUCCUGCCUCGCUGGAAAGGGAGGAGGACGAUGCACCGCGCGCAUGAGCUAGCGAGGAGUUGGGCUGGGCCGCGCUGGUGGCUUUGCCACUGGCGACAGAUAGAGGAGGGGGCCUGAGAGGGGUUUUGUUCUUUUAAAUAAACACAACAAAGGUUUUAAAACAAGUGGCAAUUCUGUUGGGGUAAAAAUCAAAACAAAAAUGCCCCUGGUCAUAAGGAUUUAUGACCUAUUUGAAAUAAAUAGAAAAGAAAUAUUUGGAGCAAUUUUAUUAAAUACAAAAAAACAAUUUAUUUACUGUUAUCGAUUUAUUGGCACCCUUUAAAAGCAAGAAUCAAAACAGCAAAUCACAUCUUGGCAUCCUCCACAAAAUACACUAAAUCAUGGGCAUCUUUAAAAGAGGGAAGGGAGAAGAGAAUCUUGACAUAGGAGAAUUAGAGAGGAGGGGUGGAGAUGGUUUUGAAUCCCAAGUUUAUACUAGCACAUGUACACCCCACAAUAACUAUACACCACAUGCACAUCAUCACAAGGCAUCACAAGGUGCAACCACAAGUUCACCACCACCACAAGAAAUGCUAAGAUCAUAUGGCACAACACAAGACAAGGGCAUGCAAUGAUAUGCUAUGCAUGCAUGCAUGGGAAGGAAGGAAAAUACAAGGGACACCACAUGAGGUCAUGGCACAAUUGGAUACAUCAACUCACUGACAAGGUGGACCCACAUGCAACAGGUUCCAAAUAAGGCAAGGUUUACAUCUGGGGCACUACAGGAAUUGUAUACGGGAUUGAUUGAAUCCUUGACAUCGUGGUUCAUGCGAUGAGAUCAUCGUGGAGCUAGUGGGAGCCACCAUGGGUAUCCAGACCCCAAUGAUGGUUAUUGGCCAGAGAGGUGUCUCGGUCAUGUCUGCCUGUCUCCCGAACCCGUAGGGUCUACACACUUAAGGUUCGAUGACGCUAGGGUUAUAGGGAAUUGUUAUACGAGGUUAUCGAAAGUUGUUCGGAGUCCUCGAUGAGAUCUCGGACGUCACGAGGAGCUCCGAAAUGGUCCGGAGGUAAAGAUUGAUAUAUAGGACGGAUGGUUUCGGACACCGAAAGUGUUUCGGGCAUCAUCGGUAACGUACCGGGACCACCGAAGGUGGCCCCGGGGGUACACCGAAGGGGGGCAACGACCCCGGGAGGCUAGAUGGGACAAGUGGGGGAAGGGAAGCAGCCCCUAGGUGGGCUGGGGCCCCCCCCCCCCCCCCACUCAGCCCAUGGCGCGGGAAGAGGGGAGAGGGGGGAAACCCUAGCGCAGGUGGGCCUAAGGCCCACCAGAGGGGUGCGCCACCCCUCCUCCCCCCCUUGUCCGCCGCACCAGCUCCCAUCUAGGGCUGCCCCCCCCCCCAGGAGAGGGAAACCCUCAAGGGGGCGUAGCCCCUCCCUCCCCCUAUAUAUAGUGGGCACUUUUGGCCAUUGGGAAUCAGACUUUGGCCUCUCCCUCGGCGCAGUCCUGCCCUUCUUUCUCCUCCUCUCUGUCGGUGCUUGGCGAAGCUCUACCGGGAGACCUCGUCUCUCCAUCGACACCACGCCGUCGUGUUGCUGGAGUUCUUCCCCAACCUCUCCCUCCUCCUUGCUGGAUCAAGGUGUGGGAGACGUCACCGGGCUGCACGUGUGUUGAACGUGGAGGUGCCGUAGUUCGGCACUAGAUCGGAAUCACACCGCGAUCUGAAUCGCCGCGAGUACGACUCCAUCAACCUCGUUCUAGUAACGCUUCGUCUUAGCGAUCUUCAAAGGUAUGAAGAUUUUCUUACCCCUCUCUCGUUGCUGGUCUCUCCAUAGGAAGAUCUGAAUAUGCGUAGGAUUUUUUUUGAAUUUAUGCUACGUUACCCAACACCCGGCUGCCUGGCACAACCGGCUGGUCGAAAUAGCCGGCCAUGGGUAGGAAUCGGAGUAGCCGGACUGGGCGGGUAGGCACCCCGUCCGACUCGCCAUCUUUCGGGUCCCCGAGGGUCAUCCCCUCGAGAUCGUAGGUCGACGAGGGCAUGCACCGCUCCCGAGUGGUACGGUAACCUUGUCUUAACAGUCAUAUUGUUGGACAAACCUAAACCUACAAGCUAUGGAGAAGCGAUGGUGGGCCUGGAUUCCAACAGAUGGUUAGAGUCCAUGAAAUAUGAGAUAGGAUCCAUAUAUGAAAACAAAAUAUGGACUUUGGAAGUAUUACCUGAAGGGCGAAAGGCCAUUCAAAAUAAAUUAAUCUUUAAGAAGAAGACGGACGCGGACGGUAAUGUCACCGUCUAUAAAGCUCGACUUGUGGCAAAGUGUCUUUCACAAGUUCAAGGAGUUGAGUAUGAUGAGACUUUCUCACCCGUAGCGAUGCUUAAGUCCGUCAGAAUAAUGUUAGCAAUAGCUGCAUUUUUUUAUUAUGAAAUUUGGCACAUGGAUUUCAAAACAGCGUUCCUUAACGGUUUCCUUAAGGAAGAGUUGUAUAUGAUGCAACCGGAAGGUUUUGUUCGAUCCAGAGAAUGUUAACAAAGUAUGCAAGCUCCAGCGAUCCAUUUAUGGAUUGGUGCAAGCAUCUCGGAGUUGGAAUCAACGCUUUGAUGAGUUGAUCAACGCGUUUGGGUUUAUACAAGUUUAUGGAGAAGCAUGUAUUUACAAGAAAGUGAAUGGGAGCUCUAUAACAUUUCUAAUAUUAUAUGUGGGUGACAUAUUUCUGAUUGGAAACAAUAUAGAAUUUUUGGGAAGCAUAAAUGGUUAUUUGAAUAAGAGUUUUUCAAUCAAGAACCUAGGAGAAGCUGCUUACAUAUUAGGCAUCAAGUUCUCUAGAGAUAGAUCAAGAUGCUUAAUAGGACUUUCACAUAGCACAUACCUUGACAAUGUUUUGAAGAAAUUCAAAAUGGAUCAGGCCAAGAAAGGGUUCCUUCCUGUGUUGCAAGGAGUGAAGUUGAGUAAGACUCAAUGCCCAGUGACUUCAUAAGAUAGAGAAAAGAUGAGUGUCGUCCCCUAUGCUUCUGCCAUAGGCUCUAUGUGUUGGGGAACGUCGCAUGGGAAACAAAAAAUUUCCUACGCGCACGANNNNNNNNNNNNNNNNNNNNNNNNNNNNNNNNNNNNNNNNNNNNNNNNNNNNNNNNNNNNNNNNNNNNNNNNNNNNNNNNNNNNNNNNNNNNNNNNNNNNAACAUAACAGGGAGAUUCGUCGGGGCCUAUAAAAGGGGGUCUUCUUCCCCAUUGCCUCCAAUGUUUUUUUGGCAAGUUUUUCCUCACCAUUCUUGACCUCCUCGAGCUUGCUUUCUCUCCAUUCCUUCUAUAAUCUAGAUAUAUAUUUUCGCCAAUCCAUCUCUCCUAUAAACGAGGGGACCCUUUUGAUCUAGAUCUUGGAGUUCUUUUAUGUUGGCCUUGUUCUUCCUCUCAUAUUCCUCCAUAGCUUUUGUUGCUUUGGUAGAAUUUGAAAGUGAGGGACUUGACCACUUCAUAUGUUCUUGCAAUUGCAUUAGUUGCAUCGGUUUGAGUUCUCCACGGUGAUACAUGGAAGUGGAAGGUUGAGAAGCUUAUUACUUUUUGGUGUUUGAGCACCCUAGAGCUUCUGCCUCUUGGGUGCUUGGACACCCUAGACGGUUGGUGGUGUCGCGAAGCUCAAUUAUUGUGGCGUAAAGCUCUGUACAAGUUUUGGGGUCUCCGAUUAAGUUAUGGAUAUUGCCCGAGAAAUUUGUACAAGUUCAAUGACCGCCCCAAGCAUUGCCAAUUGUAAGGGUUCGGUGACCGCCCCAAGGGUAACUGUUUGUAUGGGUCAGGUGACCGCCCUCAAGGCCUAAUGGAAUCACGACACCUUGCAUUAUGUGAGGGAGUGAGGAGAAUAUGGUGAUACUAGUGGUAUUUUCGGAAGCAUUGUGUCUCUCACCACUCUAAUGGAGAUUAGCAUCAGCAAGGAUAUAAACUUUGCGAUACAUCGUCGUCUUCGCGUGGCUCGGUUAUCUUUUACCCGAUCCCUUUACUUAUGCACUUACUUUGUGAUAACUAUAGUGAUUCAUGGUACAUAUCUUGGUCGGGGACGAAUACGAGAUCAUUGAAUUUCUUGACACCUACCAAAAGAUUGAAAACAAUGCUUCACACUAUCAAAUCCGUCAUGAUCUUGUUGAGCAUCAGUGGCAACUCUAUGGAAGAUAGACUCUCAUUUUAAUUUGAACAAUUUGUUGUUGUAUUUGUGUGAUAUUUGAACAAUUUGUUAUUGUAUUUUUGUGAGAUUCAAACAAUUUGUUAUUGUAAUAACUAUUUGAAUUUGAACAUUUGCUGUAAUAAAGAUGAUUGUUCUAUUGUGAAUUGCCCUUCGGAUCAUUUGAUUAUUUGAUAUUGUGAUUCUAUUCGGUUUAUAUCGUCGAAAAUCAAGAAUUUGCAAAUCUCUGAAAAAUUGUAGUAUUGCGACGCCUCUGAUAGGGAACAGAUCCUUUAAACUCGCCCCGUAGAAAAUUAGCGGUACAAGUAUACACGACCUAUUCCGGCGAAGGUCUCAUGGUUCUGUAAUUUUUUUAUAGGUCUCUCGUAAAUGACUUUUGUGAGAUGUAGCGUAACCAGAUCUGCUAGGAUGUGUUCAAUUGUCAUUCGUGAAGUUGCAUGCACUGCAUGUGUUGGUGAGUUGGGCAUGGCUGAGUGGAAACACGGUAAAACCAAUAUGUGCACCUCGAUUUGUUGUUCGCAUUGUGCAUUAGGGGAUAGGUUUUGGAACGGUGUUUGGUGUCAUGCAUUGUAUCGGCACAUGUAAUUACACGGUGUUUGGUUGUAUACACGUGAUAUGAUUAAGAGUUAAUAGUUACACAUAACAAACACUGUUACACAGUGCCAUGGCGAUUGCGACGGACGAUGGUGGCGAUGAAGCGGUUCGGUGGUGUUGGGUUUGCGCUCGGCUGCGGCUGCAAGGACCCAAGGCCAUGACGGCCACGACAACAGGGGCGGCCUCCUCGUCCCCGCGCUCUGGCACAAAUACGUCAACAGUGACCACGACCACGUCAUGCAGGGCGGGGACUCACCGGUCGGCAUCGACGUCCAUGGGCACGCUCACCAUGCCCUUCGCCCCCUUCUCCUUCCUAUGGGAGGAUGACGACACCAACAAGGCAGCUGCACCUUCUCGUCGGCGUCGUACCCGAGCACCAAUGUGCGGCCCAGCGAGAUGCACACCGCCAUCAGCUCGAACCGGGAGCUCCCGCUCAUGUGCAUCAAGCAGGGGCUGAGUGGCACCGAGGCGCAGAUCCGACUUGCCAUCUUCACGACCAACAAGCUGGAGGAGAAGACAGAGAGUAAGUUGCUCAAGUCCCUCGGCUUCAUGUGAAACCCGUUGGAGCCGCUCCAGAACACGGAGACCGAGGAGGAUAAAUCAAAGAACAAAGAGGAUGAGAAGCGCUCGUUGACACCACAUCUGAAGCAUUUAGGGUCGAAGAAACUACGAAUCGGUCGGAACCAUAACAUCGAUGUGCAUCUUUUCGUCUAGAGUUUAUUUCGAACUGAAACAUCGUUGUGUAGAUUAGGAGGGACAAGGAAGAAAGGGGUUAGGGAGGAGCUUAAUGAAGGUAGAAGAAGAUAGCACGUACAGACUCUAUACUAGCUCCGCGGAAAUUGUCGAUUUAAGCGUUUCCAAUAGGCCUGACUGGAAGUUGCUUUAAUGUUCAUGUCAUGCGGGCCAAAUAGUGAACACUACCAAACAAUUCAUUUCCACCCCCGUGGAAAAAAUUUUAACACCGUCCCUUAGGUCCCGAUUCAUUAAAAAGAUUGAGGAGAAUUGUUUGGUUAACUAUUGGAAAACCGAAAGAAAACCGUCACAACAUGCCAGCAAAAACAUGGCACAAAGGGCGACCUCGCAACCCACACAGAAGCGCACACACACCGGUAUGGAGAAAAGAUCAUCAAGGCUGCAACCCGAUGUCAUCGUCAUCACGCCUCCACGAGGGCGACUCUGACUCCACCAUCGACGACCAUCGAAGAAGCCCUCACCGCGGACAAGCGUCGAGGCCCGCGUCGGUCAAAGCCAAACAAUCAGCCACACGCGCCGCCGACUAGGCAGCUCCGACUCUUUCGAUGAGCAUUGUCGGGGAAAACCGUUGGGCUUGCGCCGAGCCAGCGCCAAAGCCGACCACCCGUAUCGUAUCAUCUUCAUCGCAAGGGACCCUCCUCAACAGCUCUGACUUCAUGAAGACAAAAGCGAGGCACAACGAUCCCUCGAACAUGCUGGAAGAGACCGACUACCAAGAACCAUCAGCAAGCCAGCUCUGCCUGAAGCCAAAAUUCUUGCCACACAAGAAGCCGCGCAGAACAAACACAUCGCCAGACGAGCACCUGCCUACUGCAAUGCCGCGAGUGUCCAGACCAUGGAGCGUGCAAACGGGAUCCGGAGCUCUUCAAGACGAUGCCCCAAGGAGGGAAGCGACGAUGUCGACACCGUCGCUCGACCCUGACGGGCCUUAGGCUUUCACCCGAAGACGAGAUCCGAGGGUGUGGAGGAUACGGGGCUCCACAAUGAUGCCUGCAAGAAGGUUAUUCGACGCCCACAGACGCUGACGCCGUCGGCCCGAGACCGGGCAAGCUUUCGCUGGGAGCAAUCCAACACCAGAGCCACCCCCACGCACAACACCUCCGCUGACCCACCCCCUCUCGCAGAGCCACUACGUCGGAAGCACUGGAGAGCCACCGAGCUACACCCAUCCCCGUCGACCAUACAUCGACGAGCCAGAUCCGGCCAGAUCUGGAAUCCCACCACCGCAAGGCCAACGGGAGCCAACAAGGCUAGCGCGCAACCGGCCCGCGCGAGGACACGCCCACGGAGCAGUGAGGGGGCGAACCCGCCUCUACAUGCUGAAGAANNNNNNNNNNNNNNNNNNNNNNNNNNNNNNNNNNNNNNNNNNNNNNNNNNNNNNNNNNNNNNNNNNNNNNNNNNNNNNNNNNNNNNNNNNNNNNNNNNNNUUGCCCUUGAAAAAUAUGCCUGUUCUAGUGAUUCAGGUGCCAUUUAAACUGACAUAAGUUGGCUCUUGCAUACAUUAUUGGCCAAACUUAGCCUUGCCACGAGUAUCGUACACCCUCCCCUCUCCCUUCCUGACCCAUAGUCAGCAGUCAACACUCGUCACAUGAUCUUUAUGCUCGAGAUCAGGGAUCAGAUGAGAUGUUUAAGCAUUGGAUGGCUGUACUUAGCUGGAUUAAGCUAGAAUUUGAGUUACCGUGUUGUGGUGAUUCAUGUCGAACAUACGAUCUCCCCUCUCCCUUCCUGACCCAUAGUCAGCAGUCAACACUCGUCACAUGAUCUUUAUGCUCGAGAUCAGGGAUCAGAUGAGAUGUUUAAGCAUUGGAUGGCUGUACUUAGCUGGAUUAAGCUAGAAUUUGAGUUACCGUGUUGUGGUGAUUCAUGUCGAACAUACGAUCUCCCCUCUCCCUUCCUGACCCAUAGUCAGCAGUCAACACUCGUCACAUGAUCUUUAUGCUCGAGAUCAGGGAUCAGAUGAGAUGUUUAAGCAUUGGAUGGCUGUACUUAGCUGGAUUAAGCUAGAAUUUGAGUUAUCUUAGUGUGAACUCACACUUUGAAGUGUCAUUUACCUUGUAAAAGCUGUGAUUCGAAUUACACUACUCCCUCCAUCUACUAAUAUAAGGCCACUUCAUAUUUUUAUUUCUAGCUUUGAACAUUAAUUUUACCAACAAAAUGUGAGUCAUAUGUCAUAAAAAGUAUGUCAUUGGAUGCAUAUUUGAAAGAACUUUUCAAUAAUAUAUUUUUUAUAAAUUAUAUUCCAUAUUUUGUUGAUCAAAAUUACAAGUCAAAGCUUGACACGAAAAACAAAGUGGCCUUGUAUAUAAAAAUGGAGGGAGUAUUAUUGUUUUUUGUAACUGAAGCAUUCAUGGUAGCUCUAGUGAUGGAAGGGGCUUGGUUUGUGCUUAUUAUGAUUUAAGCUUGUGAAGCUCCUGUUUGGUUACGCUUGCUUUCUUGAGCUUGAAAUAUUUAACGGUCAAUUAUUUAUCAAUUAUCAUCCUUCGUAAAUUGAUGUAUUGGUUAUUUGUCCUUUUUAUAGAUACCACUACAAUGUAGCUGAUUCAAGGUUGCACCAGCAUAUAGAAAAAGGCAAUGAAGAUGGCUUGUACAUUAGUUGCGUAGCUUCUUCAGCAAAUUUUUGGGCUCUCAUAAUGGACGCUGGGACCGGUUUUGGUUCUCAAGUGUAUGAGCUUUCACAAAUUUUCCUGCACAAGGUGCGCUACGGUCUCCGUCCUCGCUAGUUGGAAUUUUGAUAAUCCAGAAUAUUGAUGCUAUAUUGUUUAUGACUUUUUAUAUAGGAUUGGAUUAUGGAGCAAUGGGAAAAGAACUUCUAUAUAACAGCAAUAGCUGGAGCAACCAAUGGAAGCUCACUGGUUGUGAUGUCCAAAGGUUUGUAAAUUACCUCUUCUCUCUUGACAACUGCUCAUUUGUUGAAACUUCUCCGUUUGGUGAAGAUUACAUGUUUGACAGAGAACUGCUAUACGUGUAACACGAACUAGUAUGCUUUUACUGAUGUACUCCCUCCAUCCGGAAAUACUUAGUUGAAGAAAUGGAUGUAUCUUUGACGUAUUUUAGUUCUAGAUACAUCCAUUUUUAUCCAUUUCUUCGACAAGUAUUUCCGGAUGGAGGGAGUAUCACAUAUUACUAUAUUAGAUCAUCUGUACAAAAUUUAUACCUGAUUUUGCUGUAUGUGCAUUCGUUCCCUUUUUAAAAUGAGCAGUUGUCUUGCAAACUAGCCAUUUAGCAGGACCUCCAAGCCACCAUGGUUAUGUAAGAGGUCAUCAGAAUUGGUGUGUGGAGGUUGCCACAGCAUUGUUGGUACAGGAUACAUCAGUCAGUCUGAUAAACUAGUGCUGAGCAAACAAUGUUACUAGUUUUCUGUUUUUAAUAUUUACAUAUGAAGUUAAACAAAUUAUCAGCAUCUGUUUACUGUCUAGAGCCUUGAUUUUUUGUAUAGCCCGUUGGUCCUUUUCCUGUGAUUUAUACAUGUAAUCUGAUCUUUGAUAUCGUUACAGGAACUCCGUACACGCAGCAGUCAUACAAAGUCAGCGAAUCUUUUCCUUAUAAGUGGAUUAAUAAAAAGUGGAAAGAAGGUUUUCAUGUAACAUCCAUGGGUACUGCUGGGAACCGUUGGGGAGUUGUCAUGUCGAGGAAUGCUGGCUACUCUGACCAGGUCAAAACACAUGCUGCACUUCUUUGUGAUAAAUCAUUUGGAAAGAAUAACUCUCAUGAAUUUGGUGGUCCCUAUAAUUCCUCGUGUGUUUAAACAUACAUUUGAUGACUGCAUAUGUUCUAAAAAAAAGAUGAAAAGCAAUAUUUCACAUGUGUCUGCUUUUCGGUUCUGUAGAUCUCUGCAAGCUAAACUCUUUUGAGUUGUUAGAUGGUUCAAAUCUGACAACCAUCAGUUUGAGCAUUGCAUGUAAAGUAUCUACUUGUAAAAGCAUAUGCUGCUGCUAGGAUGGCUUCAGUUAUCUUAUAGAACUGGGCUCUACUGUUUUGAUGAGUAAUUAUGUAGAGUUGUGCCAAGUCUGAAUUUUCAUACAUAUAGGUCAUAAGGUGUGGCCAGUGCUGAAACUGAAUCUGUGUUGCAACCUGCAGGUUGUGGAGUUGGAUUUUCUGUAUCCAAGUGAAGGACUGCAUCGGCGAUGGGAGAGUGGCUACAGAAUAACUUCAUCCGCAGGCACACCUGACCAAGCUGCUUUUAUCUUGAGCAUACCAAAGAGGAAGCCACUGGACGAGACCCAGGAAACCCUUCGAACUUCUGCCUUCCCUAGUAACCAUGUGAAGGUACCUCGUGCAUUUCUGUCCAUCAUACUACAAGGACGUGCAAAACCAUAUGUUACAUGUGGUUAUUAUUAGUGUCUUUACUGAACCCAACCUUCGGAACUGAAAUAUUUCAGGAGAAGUGGGCGAAGAACCUGUACAUCGCCUCGAUCUGCUACGGACGAACUGCGUGUUGAUGCCGUACUUGAGCUUGAGGGCGAAAUCACCUGAGUUUUACCACUGGAGCCAGAAGAGAGUUCGAGACGGAACAAACUCCGCGUCAACCUUAUUACCUAGGUUUCAAGCGCAAUUGGCUGGCACUGGCACUGGGCUGGCCUCUUUCGGUUGGCGGCAUGCUAUUCUAAUUGUAAAGAAUCUCGUGAAGAUCAUCGGUGUUGUAUCAGUCAGUCCUCAUCGGAUGGAUAUGAACCUGUUGAUAAGAUAAGGUCAUAUUAUUGGCAGAUUUGCUGUUGUUCAUUCCGCA
RNAcentral lists this long non-coding RNA (129829 nucleotides) under Hordeum vulgare. Its description in RNAcentral is "long non-coding RNA (HVUL_LNC014053)". The stretch from base 128094 to 128220 matches the Rfam family "MIR1120/MIR1122 microRNA precursor family". Lineage: Eukaryota; Viridiplantae; Streptophyta; Magnoliopsida; Poales; Poaceae. The record is from RNAcentral.